This 126609-nucleotide long non-coding RNA is filed under the name Arabidopsis thaliana (thale cress). Its description in RNAcentral is "long non-coding RNA (ATHA_LNC000143)". The stretch from base 29741 to 29847 matches the Rfam family "Plant small nucleolar RNA R71". Lineage: Eukaryota; Viridiplantae; Streptophyta; Magnoliopsida; Brassicales; Brassicaceae. The record is from RNAcentral.
CUUAAUUAAGUUAUCAAAUAUGGCUAGUUUUGCAAAUCACCCAAUUUUUUAGUAGGCCUCGAAUCGAGACAUCAAUUUGGAAAACAAUUAAACAAGUAAUCCUUAUUGAUCUUACCAAGGUCUGUUAUUACAUGAAACAAUAACAAAGUUUCAGGCUCCGUGAUCGCAACCCAAACUCACGCAUGAGUUGUGAUAUACUCUAUAUUUAUCACUUUAUCAUGGUUGUUAAGAGUAAUUUUAUUGUGUUUCAUUCGUAUUUUCAUUGUGUUUUGUUGCAUUUAGUGUCCUAUAGUGUGUUUGUGUGUAUUUUGGUGUUUUGUGUGUGUUUUAUGAGCUAUUUCAGGUUAAAAUAAUGGAGGACACACAUUUGGAUGCAAAGAAAGGAAUUGAUGAUUCAAAACCAGUCCGAAGUCCCUCAAAGAUCGACUCGGAUGAAGAUCUUUCAUUGAGAUUUAGCUUUGGACCUCUCCACGAAAGUUAUAAGCAAUUGAGUGAGCUUUCUAAUGGAUGUCAUUGCAAGCCAAUCCGAGCUACUGUUUGGGGGUUAUGUAUGUUUUCGUACACAUAUGUUAGUCUGGCACGAAGAAGAAACUCGUCUAUAAACCUCUCUUGAAUACGGACAGAGCAUGUUCUCCACAUCUCAUGUAUACUCGUCUAGUUAAAAGUUUGUCAAACACAAAAAGGGAGUGGAAACUUGGCUACAGAGCAAAUAGAAAAGGAAAAAAAAGAAUUGUUAUUACGAGAAUAUAAGCACACAAGCAAUUUCACAAAGUUUGGUAAUGUGCCUAAUUCUCAAUAACUUUUUAUUAAAACAUAUGUAGACAAUUAAACCCUAAACUUUGCCUAAAUGGAAUUUCACUAAGACACCCGUUAGUUCGACUUCAACAAAUUCCUAGUGAACUUUAGACAGUUACAUUGAUACAAAACCUAAGGACUACUCUAUUUCUCUCAAGAACAACUCAAAAUGCUUUUUAUUGGUGUUUGUCUCUGUAAUGGCCGGGCCUCAAAGAACCUUCUUUUCUUUACUUUUUAUCAUCUACUUUAAUUUAUGCUCUCUUUAAUCUAGAGGAUUUGAAAAUAACCAAAUUAUCUUUACUGUACCACAAGAAAACAAUGCUAUAAGAUAUAAAUUUAUUAAUUAACUAUAAUAAUAUAUCCCAUGGAAAUAUUUCAGUAAUAUUUCUCGGAAAUACGUUCUCUUGGAAUUCUUUUGGAAAUCUCGGUCCUUUAGAUAUCCCUCGGACAUAUUUGUCCCUAAGAAAGUCCUCGGAAAUAUGGUGUUCUUGCAAAACUGAAAUGUUGGAGCAUCGGGGGUGUGUGUCUUGUGCUCUAACGCAUUAGAAACAUGAGACCAUCUCUUCUUCACUUCUGAUUACUCUUUCGAAGUCUUGUCAGCUCUUGCCAAGAACAUAUUCAGCUCAAGGUACACAAAUGUCUGGCCAUCGAUCGUUCUCUAUGUCUUCCAAACCUCGAUCCACACAUUAUAGAGAGAGAAAAACAAAAUGCGGCAUGGUCCGAUGGAUUGAAAAACAAGCAAAUACUCAUCUAUCAUAUAUUCAAGCUUUAGGUGACAAACGUCGUUGUAGAAAGGGACCGUUAGUAUAAUUACAAUGUGGUUUGGUUCUAGAAGUUAAAAUUUGUAAAGUCUUUUUAAAAAAAAUAAUUCAGAGUCAAAACAACGUUGAAUGUAAAAACGUUAUUUUUUCUUUGAAUUUUAUUUAAUAUUACAUACAAAAAAAAAGAGAAAAACAAAGUGUAUUUUAGGAAAACCUUAUGUUUACUUGUAGAUAUCUUUUAAUUCGUUAGUUAAUACUAUUAACUCAUCAUCAUACAUAUUCAAGCUUUAGGCGACAAACGUUGUAGGAAGGGACCGUAAGUAGGAUUCUAGAAGUUAAAACUUGUAAAGUCUUAUUUUUUAAAAAAAAAAUUCAGAGUCAAAGCAACACUGGAUGUAAAAGCCUUAUUUUAUCUUUAAAUUUAAUAUUCUUACAUACAAAGAAAAAAGAGAAAAACAAAGUGUAUUUUAGGAAACAUCUGUUUUCUGGAUUUUAAAACUUUCAAUAGGUUAUUUAGUUAUUCAAAAAAUAAAAUGAGUUAUUGUAACUAAUCACCCAAAUAAAUAAUCACAGUUUAAAUAUCUAUAUUCCAAAAUAUAUUGAUAUCUAAUUGUAGAAUUAAUUUCUUAAUUAUAGAUAGUUGCAUAACUGGUAAUUAUUUAAGAACUUUAAGAUUAUAUUUUUCUACAGUACUUCAUGUUAACAAUUUUAGUAGUCUUGAGGUCCGCGUAGCGUACACAUCUUAAACCAGUCUGGUUCUAUACUUAAACCAAUUGGCUAGUUUUAAUUGUAAUCCAAAAUACACAUCUUGGCCAAUUCAAAAGUUAAUUACUAACCUAAGAACAAACCGAGAUCCUCAAUCCAUAAAUGCUUCUAUACUUAAACCAGUGUGGUUCAUGAUUAGAGAUAGGUUCGGAUGAUACACAAAACAUUUCCAUAAACCACACAAAAAGGAAAAAAAAAAUUACAUCUUACAAACAUUAGAAUCAAAGACCCUAAAGAACCAUUUCUAAACCAUUUUGAAACAGAUAAAUAAAUAUGUCCAUCUCACAUUUCUUCAAACACAAGCCGAUCUCCACACCUCCGGGUUCAUCCCUCCUCUCCGACAUCGAAAACGCCUCGUUUCGGUCAAUGGACGCAAUCUCACUGUUACAUGGUUUUCCCCACCCGAAAUCUGACCCGUAUAGCCCAAACUGGUUCGAACCGGCAAUGGAUCCAAUCUGUGUACCUGGUUUCACACUCUUUGUUCCAUUAAUGUACAAUUCGCAAAUUGUUUCCAACUUUCGUAAACCAAUACUUCUAACCGAAUCACUUAGAAUUUCGACCAUAUUAACAAACCCAUCUUCUCCCAAAAACACAUUCGCCUUGUAACCAAAGCAACCUAUCGGGAACACGCAGUUCCCGAAAUACAUCUCAGGAACCGGUGGAUCUAACCGGUUCCUGAAAUCAGCAGCAUACAUGAAACGGACCGGUCUGUUCUCAUCUCCUCCACGCGUCUUUACCAAGCAUGUCCAAAGAUACGCGUUGGCAACAACGAACGUUGACAAGUGAAGCUCAUGAUGAGAGCGAGCUGACUCCCUCUUGGCUUGCUCCCUAAGUUUCUCUAUAUUCUCUCGAGUCAACUCGAGCGAGAUCCGUACUAGGUCGGGGCUGAUCUCCUUGGGAGGAAGCAGCUUCAAUGAUCUGAAACUAUCUUUCACUUCUGAGAAAUAUGACAAAAGUUCAAUGAUUUUUGCAUCAAGACUUGCAGGGACAUUGAUAACCGUACGAUCUAAAACCGGAGUCAAAUCCUCCGGUAAAUCCAUGGCUCCAUGUUUACAAAUGUGAGCCCAUGAUUUUAUAAACCUAACCACUGUUUUCCCGUCCAUAACAGAAUGAUGAGAAGCGAUACCAAUACAAAACCCUUGGUUGGGGAACAAAGUGACUUGCAAAGAAAGAACCGAAGGUGAGUCACAAGAAAGCGAUAACUCGGGCACCAAAGAGCGUAUCUCCGAUUCGGGACGUAUCCCUUUACCGGAGAUACGGGAGAAAUCAGCAUCACUCUCCGCGACAGUCAAGGAAACAUAGUCGUUCGGAGAGACGAUGAUGCUAGGUUUAGGAUCUUGUGAGCUCCAUGUGAGGCGGCCAGCGAGCGGGAGGUAGUGACGAAGGACGAUGGAGAGAGAGAGCUCAAGUUUGGGGAGGAUCACGGAGAGGAAGGACUCAAGAGAUGAGUCUUUGAUGAGUUUGUAGAAGAUAACUCUUUCGGUGGGAUGGAAUUGUAACCAACGUAAGUCGAAGAACGUCAGUGGAAGAACCAUCGAGUUGGCUGAGUCAUUGGACGAGUUACUUGCUGGGCUGACUUGGGAGAUCUUGGUUACCUUUAGCGCCAUUGAUGAUGAGUAUGUAGCUCAACAAUCUCUAAUGGUAGUAAAUAAACAAGAUUUUUCUUUGCUUUGGUCACAAAUAAACAAUAUUUAUAUAUCACGCCAGAUUCAUGUUUCCUGCAAAAUCAAAUUAUAUUCAUUUACAAAUCAAAUAACUAAAUUAAAUGGAGUAAAAUUUAAAUUUAUAAUAAGUCCUGAUUCAGACCAGCUGUUACCAAGUGUGAAUGUUUGGUAAGGGAUUUUAAUAACCUUUGUGGUAGAAUUUUAAAAUAGAUAAAGAUGCUUCAGUAUCAGUCUAGAUUAAAAAUGAACUUCCCACAAUUUGCGCUAAUUAUCGUCACAAUGAUUUGUUUUGAUUUUUUUUUCUUACACCUAGAUUAAAACUAAACUUUCCACAAUUUGCAGUUUAAAACAGAUAUUCUUUUACACCUAAAUAAAAGAAGAUCAUCUUAACAAGAUACUGUAUGUUUGUAGGACAAACAAUUAGACUACUGAUCCUCUUCCAAAAUCUUUUUAACCUCACUUUUGAAGUUGAAACAAUAAAAAUUGGGUGACAGAGCCGUAUCUAAUGCAUCAAAUUUUAGUAUCCAGAUCAUACAUAAAUAAGGUAACUUUGACAAAUUUAAAAAUUCUGCAUGGAAAACGUUACUUGACCAAGAGCAAUGACAUAUAUGUGUAAUGUGUUGUGCAUAAUAUUGCAACAAUUGUUUUUUUCAAAAAGACAAAUUGCAAGCAAGCACCACUAAAGAGGUGAUACAAUUAUGUCCAAACCAUAAUUAAACGAAGACAUAAAAGUAUCCAUCUCACUCUGUGCAGGGUCUCGGCUCCCGAACCGUACGUGAGCUGCCUCGUACGGCUCUUCCUAAGAACUUGAAGCCCCAAAACUUGAACUACGCACAUACAUACUUUAGAGAAAAGGUAAAGCCAAGAGAGCUGCCCUCAACCCUACUACGAGGAUAGCAUCUUCUUCAAACACAAGCCUAUCUCAGCGCCACCGAUCUCAUCCCUCCUCUCUGAUAUCGUGAACGCUGCAUACCGGUCAAUGGACACAAUCUCGUCGUUUACGGGUUUAACCCACCCAAAAUCUGACCCAUAUACCCCAGUUCGGUUCGACCCCGAAACAGAGUCAACUUGAGUACCCGGUUUCACCUCCUUCGUUCCAUCAAUAUACAACUCGCAAGUGCUUCAAUUCCUUGUGAACCCAAACUUUUGACUGAAUCUCCAAGAAUCUCGAUAGCGUUUAAGAAACCGUCUCUUCCCGACAAUAGCUUUGCUUUGUAACCAAUAGGGAACACCCAGUUCCCAAAGUACCUCUCUGGAACCAGUGGAUCUAAUUAACCGUUUUCUAAAUUCGGCUGCAUGAAUACAUGGACAGCACCGUUCUUUCUUUGCUGCCACCGCGCGCCUUCACCAGACAGCUCCAGAGAUAGGCCAUUGUGACGACGAACGUUGAGAAAUAUAGAUCAUGUAGAGAGCGCGCUGAUUCUUGCUUGGCUCGCUCCUUAAGUUUCUUGACUUUCUCCUGAGUCAGCUGGAGUGUGAUUCGGACAAGAUCGGUGCUGAUAUCCCCCCUUGGAGGCGGCUUUAGGGUUCUCUUGCCAUCUUUUUCAUACAAGAAGUAGCACAUUGAUUCCAUAAUCUUUGAUUCAAGACCGGGCGGGGCAUUGAUGUAUGAGUACGAUCUAAAAUUGGAGUCAAAAUAUUUGGAAGGCACGUGAACGGUUCCAUGUUCUAGUAAUUUACAAAUGUGAGCCUAUGAUUUGAUACACAUUAUCGACCCUGUUCUUCGCUCUGUAUGCAGAAAGAACAUUCAAAUAUUUGAAACUAGAAGAUCCACGUCGAUGCAUGGAAAUAAUUUGAAUUUCUUAUGUUAUGAAAAAAUAGUAAAAGAAACCUUACUUUUAGUUUUUGAAUUCACGAAUGUGAAAAGAUUAUAGUAGUGCAUUUCAAUAAUUCAAUAAUAGUUACUAUCAUCUCUUAGAUGUAAAUGUACAUUAUAGAUUUAGUGCAUGGAGUUAAUAAAAUAAUCAUAAAUGAAGACUUUUUUUUUUGCUACGGAGUGUUAACACUUUGGACUAUAUUAUUCUCUAUGCUCAGAAGAAUCAAAAAUUAAAAAUAUAACUUUUUUUUUGUAUUAUUAGUUCUCUCUCUUAAUUUAUGUAAGUUAGACAAAAAUACCUCAUCGCAUAUAUCAAAUUAUUUAGCAAUGUAAUUAAAUACUUAGGGAAAAAUGUCAUUAAAAUCCCCAACUUAUAAAAAAGUAGAUUUAAAUCCUCAACUCCCGACAAAACGAAAUUAUUAACAAAGUUUUGUUGACUUUCCAAAUAAAUACCAAACUUUCGUAUAUAUGACCAUAUUAGGCAUAAUAUUAAGUAGAUUAACAUAUUGUGUUUACGGAGUUAAUUUUCUGUUAACAGAUCCGUUAAUUCAAAACGUUAUUGUUUCUUAUAACAAGAAAGCGACCUCGUUUUGUUAUAACGACCAAAUUAAAUCCUCAAAUCCAAUCUUAGAUCUCCAAAUCGAGCAAAAUUCCUAACCCUAAAUCUUCAUAUGAUUUGAAAUUAGGAUUUAAUUGAGCCGUUAUGACAUAAUGACGUUGUUUUAUUGUUAUAGGGAACAUUGUCGUUUUCAAUUAACGAGUCUGUUAACAAAAAAUGGACUCUAAUAACAGGGUCUGUUAAUGUCAUGCCUAAUAUGGCUAUGCCAAUAAAAGUUUGGUAUUUAUUUGAAAAAUCAACGAAAGUUGUAUAUUUAUUUGGAAAAUCAACAUAAGUUUGAUAUUUAUUUCGUUUCGUAAAGAUUUAAAGAUUUAAAUAAACUUUUUCAAUAAGUUGGGGAUUUUAAUGAUAUUUUUCCCUAUGUACAAUGGUAAACUUAUUCAACACCCACCUUUUUCCCUUUUUAACACUCCACGUUAUUUUUUCUUUCCUCCACAUAAUAAUUCAACACCUACUUAUAUGUUAAACACUCUAAUGGUUUUGUUUAAUAAAAUUCAACACUCUACCCCACUAGUUUUAUUUCAUUAUUUAUUUUUUCUUUUAUAUUCAUAUUUUGUGAUUACAUAAUAAUAAUAAUUAUUAAUAAAUAAAAUUAAAAUAUCGACAAAUUAGAUUAAAUUAACAAAAAUUAAUUAUUUUAUGUUCUUAACUAAUUUUUUUGAACAAAACAAAUAAUUAUUAUUAAAACAAAAAAAAUAUUACAAAUUUUGAUUUACAAUAUGAUACAAGCACACAACACAAUUAAUAAUAAACACACUUCACUUCAAAUACAUACGGAUUAACUCACAAACAAUUAAACUCUUAAAUCACACAACACAUAAAGACAUAAAAAUCUCUUUAAUUUCAGGACAUUCUGAAUUUCGCCAAGAUAUGUUUGACUAGAUCUGCUUGCAAUUCAUGAUGUGCAUUUGAAUCACGUAACUCUCUCUUGAUGUAUUUUCUUUUGUUACGACGUGGAUAAUCUUCUUCAACAUUGUUGCGACGCUCUCUAGACUGGUUUAUUAUAUACUUCUCUUCAAUUUGAUAUUGUCUAUUGUAAGCUUCAAUAUCGAAAGGAAAUUCUGAUGGAUCCAUUGGAUUUUUUUUAGUAAGAUGAUGUUUGUGAUAUUAUUUCAUCAAUAGAAAAAUGAAUUCCCAUUUAUAAAAAAUCGAGUGGUUGAAAGAGAAGGAUAAGAUAAGGAUUUGAUGAAAUAUCAUGUGGUUGAGAUCCAACAGAUAAGGAUCAUGUGGUAAACUAAAAUAUAAGGAUUAGAUACUAAGUUUCUAACAUAAAAAGCCAAAAUCGAUGGAUUACAUUGUCGGAAAAUAAUGGAAUACUGACAAACAAAUAUUAUUGCAUAAAAUGACAAACAACAAUUAUAGCAUAAAAUGAUAAAAUACACACAUACAUAUGACAAACAUAAACAUUAAAGUAGAAAGUGACGAAGUGUACACAUACACUUCAAAUCCACUAAUUUCCAAAUACUUCGUAGUUCAACUUCUCUAACAGCUUUUUGCUCCAAUCAUUGCGAUGCUCACUCUCAAAUAGCUUCAUAAACAUCUCCAUCUUCUUCAAUUUGUUUGCCUCUUCUGUCUCUUGGCAAUUUUUUCCAAGUUUUCUAACUCUUUCUCUUUCAAUUGCUUGAAAUCAUUUCACUCUUCAUUAACGACUUCCAAGCAUGCAUCACCCUUACCUUUUUUUUAACUUUCUUUUUAGACGCAUCCCUCCCCAUGGGACGAGCACUAGAUCCUACAGAGUUUGAGUCACUUGCAUUAGGAUUGUGAGCUCUCUUAGAUCCACUGCUUCCAGACCCCGUUUUUCCUCCUACCUGACUACUAUAGCAUGGUUGAUCAUGAACAGCAAGUCACUCUAACAUUAAAUUAAAAUACACAUUCUUACCAUUUGAAUAUAGUUCAUGUGCUUUUGCGAAUACAUCAAUCUCUGACCAUCCGCUUUGUUACAUACACUUAGCAUUAUCGUAAGCGCCAAUCCAUUUGCCCAAUAUUUUGUUCACGUAGUUGAAAUGAUUUCUGCACGUAACUCCAUCAUACGGAGGAUCAAAUGAGCAUUGCUCAUUACAAUAUUCAGCAAUUUUAAUCCACUAUGAUUCACUCUUUUGAUUUCUUUCAACAAUGCUAUAUGUUCCAUAUUUAAUUCAUCCACUCAAAAACACCAAAUUUUGCUUAGUUGUCCAUUUGGGGCUUUUUCGUCGAGUAGAAGUUGAAUCUUCAUUGUUUGGAAUGUCUUCAUCAGCACCAGUCAUCCCUCCAAGAGUCAUUUGUGUAGAAAACCCAGUAAAUUCAGAUGGUGGUUGAGAUGAAUAUGACAUCAUCGAUGCAUAAUAUGGAUGAUAGUAUGGAACAGAUGAUGGCACUGAAAAAUUUGGUGGAAAUCCAUAAUUUGAGACAUUUUGAGACUAGUUGAAAGAUGGAUUUUGAUAUUGAUAAUUACUGGAAUUUGGGUAUGGAAAAAGAUAAUUAGUAGAAUUUAGGGUAGAAUUAUUAUUGGAAUUUGGGUAAGAAAAUGGAAAAUUUGCGGAAUUUUGUGAAGGAUUAUUAUUAAAAUCCAUUUCACAAAACAAAAUUAAAAAUAAAAACAAUAUUUUUUUGGAGAAUAAUUAAAAAACUAUAGUAAAAAUAUUUGUUUUUUAUGUGUCCAAAUGAACCAAGUUUAUAUUUAUAAAGAUUAAAAUGUUAUAAAUUUUCAUAUAAAUAUUUUUUUAUAUAUAAAUUGUUAAUUAUAUAAUAAUUGAUUGUAAAUAGAUAAGAUGGGAUAAAAAAUCUCCAAAAUCUCAAAUGCCAAUAAUAAUAUAACAAGUGUUAUUAUCUCAAGAAAGUGAACUCUUCACUUGCAAAGAACGUGUGUGAAACGUACAUCUCAAUAACAUGGUGACAUGUGGAAUAUAUGGACCCAAAAAAAAAAAGUUUCGACAUGUUGAAUUUAUUCAACACUUAUUAAUUCACAUAGAUUUUUUUUGAGUUUUCAACACCUCCAUUGCAAACAUGAAACAGUUGAAUCUUUUAUUCAACAUGUCCAUUGCACAUAGUUUAAAAAGAAUAUUUUCAAAAAUUACAAUCCCAUCUAGUCAAUCCUCUAUUUUUAUGUUAUUUCGACUAAAACCAAAAACAUGCAUUUAAUUAUUAUUUUUUUAAACUACAAUAGGAUAAUUUUAUAAAUCUCAAUACAAUGCCGGCACUGGACAGAGCGAAGAGAAACAUUGGUAUGAGGCCCCCAUUUUUAAGGGGCUCCCAUUUAAUUUUGUUUUUAUAUAUACAUAUUUAUAUAUCUUACAUGUCCUAUGCUAUAUGCUAGAGCAAAAAUAUUCACAGAAUAAACAUGAUAUGAAGAAAGAUAUGUUAAAAACAAAAUAAAAAAUCAAUUUAUGUAGUGUCACGUGUCAGCCAUUCAGCCAGACAAUCUAUAAAACAAAAACUCAACUUUAAUACAUAAAAAAAAAAACUACAAUAAUGUUUUGGUUUGUCAUUAUACCCAUGACCUUUGAUUAUCUUCCUCUUCUCUGUUUCUCUUUUCAUCAACGUCGUUCUUCAAUCUCUACUUCUACAAUCAAUUCUCUAUACUCAUGACUGAUAAUUUUCCUAUUUUAGUCGAUAAUGUGUUUAUGUUUAUACUUAAUUUUUAGUUGAUUUUGAUCAUAAACUUAAAUUUAUAUAUAAACUUUUUUAGGUAUUUCAACAAGAAAAACAAAGUGUAAAACAAGGGCUCAAAAAAGAAAGAAACAGAGAAAAGAUGAAGAACUUGUGAAAUCUUUGAGUAAUUCUAUGUUGAGGUAUGUUAAAAGAUCAAAAUCUGGUAAGUUUGAUGAAAGUGAUAGAGUUGGUGAUGAGAAUGAGAAUCAAGAAGAUGAUAAGGCCGGAGAAGAAACAAUGGCUGACUGUGACAAAGAGGAAUGUGAAAAAAUCUCUAAAGAAGAUGAUGUGCCUGUGGAUUUAGAAAAACCUCCGGAGAUUUCGAUUUUACAAUUUACAGAUCCUGCAAAUUGGAGAAAAAAUGAUCAGGGAUUAAAAGAUUAUCUAGUGCAAAAAAGUUCUAUGGAAAGAGUUGAAAGAGACUACGUUUUCCCCAAAAAUGAUGUUGGUAGACAUUUUUUUUAUAGAUAUUUCAAAAGGGAGUUGAAAAAUGGAGAAAAAUAAGAUAGGAAUUGGUUACUUUAUUCAAAAGCAUAAGACAAAAUCUAUUGCUUUGUUGUAAGUUGUUUAGAUGGGAACAAGAUGCCACUCAGUUGUCAAGCACAUGAUUCAACGAUUGGAGGAAUGUCAAGAUAAGACUCGGCCAACAUGAAAUUAGCCAUAGUCACAUCUUUUGCAUGGGUUAGUGGAUAGAAUUAAUUGAGAUUGCGAAAGGAGCAUACCAUUGAUAAGUAUUUAAAAGAAGAAGUCAAACGAGAGAAAAACCAUUGGAGAGAAAUUUUGUUGAGACUUUUUGCAUUGGUGAAAAAUCUUGCUAAGCAGUAUAUAGCAUUCCGUGGAACUAAGGAGAAGAUUGAUGAGAGAAAUAAUGGAAACUUCUUGAGAUUCAUUGAAACGUUUGAAGAGUUUGAUUCACUUACGCAGGAGCAUAUCAAACGAGUUAAAGAAGGUAAAAUUCACUAUCACUAUCUAAGCUCCAAAAUCCAGAAUGAGUUGAUUGCUAUGCUAGGAUCUGAAUUCAAACGUAUGAUCAUCAAAAAAAAUUCAAGAGGCAAAAUAUUUAUCAGUAAUUCUCGAUUGUACUCUAGAUAAAAGUCAUAAAGAGCAAAUGAGUUUUGUUAUCAGAUGUGUUGAUGUCUCCACCACAACGACACGAGUUGAAGAACUUUUUGUGACGUUUUUAGAAGUCAUCGAUAGAUCGGGGAAGGACUUUUUGAGUUGCUUUGUUAUACAUUCGGUGAUCUCAAGUUGAAAAUCGAUGAUGUGAGAGGACAAGGCUAUGAUAAUGGAUCCAAUAUCAAAGGAAAACACAAAAGAGUACAAAAGCGAUUGCUUGAUAUCAAUUCAAUAGCAUUUUAUGCGUCAUGUGGUUGCCACAGUCUUAAUUUGGCACUUGCUGAUAUGGCCAAAUCAUCUUCAAAAGCGAUUUUAUUCUUUGGAAUAUCCAACGCAUCUACUGCUUGUUUUCAUCCUUUACACCUAGGUGAGAACUCCUAAAGAGAUGGUAGGAGGUCUCACACUUAAGCCAUUAUCAGAGACUCGUUGGGAAAGUCGCGUAGAAAGUGUUCAAGAAAUUCGUUUUCAAGAUCCAAAAAUAAGAGAUGCUUUAGACUAUUUGGCUGAAAAUUUUGAUGAUCCUAAAGCUCGCAGCGAUGCCGACGCUCUUGCUACAAGUGAAACUCAUGGAAUCGGAAGGUUUGAGUUCUUAUUUGGUUUGGUUAUUUGGUAUGAUCUUUUAUUUAUCGUAAACACGGUAAGUAAGGUGAUGCAAAUAGAGAAUAUUGCUAUUGAUACUGCUCUUGUUCAACUAAAGGGGUUGCUCUCGUAUUUUAGAAACUACAGAGAAGUUGGUUUUGAAGCAGCAAAAGCGGAAACUAAAAUAAUUGCAGAAUCUAUGGAUGUCGAGCCCAAGUUCCAGUGAAAAGAAAGCGUAUCAUCAAAAAAAAAUGCAUUUUGAUGAGGAGGUGGAGAAACAUGGUGAAAGUGUGAUGCUAAGCGAGGAAGAGAGUUUCAAAAUCGAUUAUUUCUAUACAAUCGUGGAUCAAGCUAUAGUAUCUCUUCAAGCGAGGUUUGAACAAUUUGAAGAGUAUGGGAAACAUUUUGGAUUCUUGAUUGAUUUGAGAAAGCUCAAAAGAGAAACUGAAGAUGGAUUAAAAGCAUCAUGUAUCAAUCUUGAAACUUCUCUUAAACAUGGAAAGAAUUCAGACAAAUAAUUAACUUCAUCUAAAUGUUAAACACUAUACCUUAACCCCUACCAAAUAACACCAAUAUUUAACUUAGUUUAGAUGUAUGACGCUAUAUAUACAUACUCUAACACUCAUCUAAAAUAGAGAAUGAAAUUAACUCUCUUUUAAGAUCAAUUUUUUUGUUGUUUUUUCGUGAAAUUGGCUCUUAGAUGAUUCAUUUUAUGUUGAACGUAAGAGAACUACUUAUUAAAAUAACAGUUUUAUAUUAUAAAUUCUACAUGUCGGCUCAUACAGUCCGCUGGGAUGCUGUAGACGGCAACAAAUUUAACUCACAAAAUCAUUUUUCCUUUGAAUAUACGUCUUCAAUACUCCCAAAAAUAAAAAUUGAACUUAUCGAUAAUAACAAAAAAAUAUGGAUGCAGAGCUUGCAGCCCUUAAAACUUAUCUUUAAAUGACUGUAUCAACUUUGUUUCUAGCAUUAUCUUUGCUAUAAAAAAUUUUAAAGUAUCUUUUCAUAUAAUUUUUCGACAUAUGUUUCUUUUGACUACUUUUUCUGGGAUAAUUGAAGGUUAAAAUAAAUUUGGAUAAACAAUUUAAAAUUUUCGGAUCAGUAUAAUUCAUGGUAAAGUAAACAUUAAGAAAUUAAGCACCAAGGUAAUUAAAGAAAUACACAUAACAUAAUACAUGUUUUCCAACAAUAACACAAUAGUUGACUACUAUACACUUUCAAAAUUGCCAUCACAUCUCUUUCAAAACUUUUCAACGGAUUGAAAAAAAAACACAGAGCUCACUCACAUUACAUAAAAGUUUUAGAAGUUGAGAUGGUAAAGAACAUGAUCUCAUAAGCUCUUCUUAGUAUUUAGCACUUAAAUCCUCAAGAACCACAAGUGUUAAAGUAGCUAAUUAACUUAAAUGAGAAGAAGGCACAACUAUUGACAUUUACCAUCUUUUUAUUAUUGUUUAUGACCAAAAUUAGUGUAUUAUUAGUCUCCUCCGCACCGGAAAAACUUCUAGUUUAGGACAUGUACAAUAAACAAAUAUAUCUCUACUUUGGAGCUUUAUAAAAUGCAUGGCCAUCUCAAAAAUCUGUUUUGCCAUCUUGACGCUGAAAUGAUUUAUCAUACCACUGAACAAUGCACUAAAGAAAAACGAUAUGAAAAUGACAUAUGUACUAAAAAAAUUUAGAGUAGAGAACAAUGGAUUAGUUAACGACAACAAAACCAAAUACCGAAAAUAUCCACCAUCUUGAUUUCUAGGUCUGCUAAAAGUCUCAAAAAUCAAAAGAAUUGAUUUUGCUUUUUAUAAGUUUUUUUUAUUAAACAUUCUCUUUUACGUUUGUCUUCUUAUAUUUUCUUCUUCGAUCUCCAGUUUGUGGUGCAAUGACCCAUCAUAAAACUCAAAAACACUUAUCACAGUAACAAAUAACGAUAGCGGAUGGGAUUUAUGAUGGAUCUUGUCAAUCUAUAGUCUUCAACUGGUAAACUAAUCCGAGAAGUAAAAAGUAUGUGUGUAUCCGGAUACGUUUUAUACAAAACUUUUGUUUUACUUAAAAUGGGGAUUUCUCUCCAAAAACUAUUCAUAUUAUAACCAUGUCCUUAUAAACAACCUUAAAGUUGAUAUAUAUGAGUGUUAUGCUUAUAUCAUAUCACAUCUAGAAAAGAAUGAUUAAAAAAGUCAACAAAGACCAGCUUUCAACUUUCAUAGCCUUUAAAAAGGCAUCAACGUUUGUGUGUCUAUAUAUUUUUAAGUCUCGCAACUCUCAUUAAUCCCACCCAAGCUUCAAAAUAGAACACAAAGACAUGAACCGAACACAAUCUCUAAACACGCUCUAUUGUCGUCUUGGCAACACUUUUUCUUAUGAGUCUUGUUGUGUGUACAAACACAAUUUCUCCAAUAACUUUGUCUUGCUGAAAGCCGAUUACUUUGAGCUCCGACCUUAGGCUAUUUUCUCCACUGGAUAUAUAACGAAACAAACGGUACCGUUUCCAUCGUUUUUCGCCAACAUGGAACCGCUCCUUCUUCUUGGAUUGCUUGGGGACUUAACCCAAGUAAUACUCAUGGUUGGGACGCAAGCGCUAGUCGCCUUAACCAACUAAAUGGCCAAUUCCAGGUCUAAAAAAUCGAAAGAAUUGAUUUCUCUUUUUUCAAGUUUCUUUUAUUAAUAAAACCUUUUCUUUUACGUUUAUCUUCUUUUCUUUUCUUUUCUUCUUUGAUCUGUAAUUUAUGUGGCAACAAUCUAUCAUAAAAGUCAAAAACACUUAAUCACAAUAUAAAAAAACUAAUAUAAACCCAUCAUCAUCCAAGCUCCCUUGAGUUCCUAGAGAUGCAAGGCGAAGCCUGACUUUUUUUUUAUCGGAUAUAAAGAGACAUACCUUGAAAAGAUGAACCAUCUUACGCCAUAAAAGAGAUAAAGAUACAGUAGAACCUCUAUAAAUUAAUAUUCGACAAACGAAUAAACACUAAAAAAAAAAAAAAAAAAUCUCUAAAAAGAAUGGUAGAUUUGUGUAUUGCUUAGGUUUAUUUUAGUAUAUGAGCCUUUAUUCUCUAGUGAUUUUUAAUAAUCUACCAUUUUAAAAGCUACAUAACUCCUUAUUUUUUCUCUAAUUCAAGAUAAAUUUUAUAUUAAAGUGAUAGUUGGUGACACUCUUUGAUCAUAAUUUGCAUAACACAAAGUACUAAAUCUAUUGAAAAUAUGCAUAAGAUUGAGUAUUUUUCAAAACAAAUAUAUGUCCAACAUUAUAAUUUGUUAUUUCAUUACCAACACAGAAAUCAAGAUUUAAAGAUCCAUUGAGAAUAUCAUGAAAAACCACGAAAGGAAAACAGUUGUCAAACCUCAAAUCUCCUAUAUAUGAAAUGAAUUCACACGCCAAAAAUUUAAUUAUAUAGACAUCAUCUUUAUAUAGAUCCCCAUUUGCAACUAAUCAGCUAUUUGCAUUUAUUCAAAGAACUUCAAAUUAUUAUUAUGAUUAUUAUACUUUUUGUAAUAUGAUAUUUUCAAACAAAAUGCAAAGUUAUAAUUAUAUAUUUUUUUGUGUAAAUUACUAUAACUAUAGGUUUCUUUCUUGUUUCAUGUAUGUGUUGUUGAAAGAUUCUCUUUGAAUUUACCCAAUAAUUUCCCCAAAAAAAGUCCUUUUAAGAAAAGAGAAUUUAAUUAACUAUUUUUGCGUGUGUGGUCGAUCAAUUGUUUGAGAUUUCCUGAUUAUUCUAUAUGUCCCCCACAGACACAGAAACUCAUAUACAGAGACAUAAUAAAACUGAAUUGGCAUCCCUUUUCUUUGGAUGGAUUUAAUACAAAAUUUGACCCAAAUCUAUAUAGUUGAUGUUCUGCAUACAUAAAACGUGUCCCCAUUCCUGUGACGCAUACAUGUGAAGUGUUUAAUUGUAAUCUCUUUGCUUUCUGGUUUCCAUGAAGAGAAGACAGAAGAGUUUUGAGAUGAGACAAAGUGAGAUGAUUAAAGAUGAUAUAUAAGAGAAGUAAAAGGGUUACUUCUAGUGUUGUAUGAAGCAAUAGAUUAUUCAAUGUAAUGCUAGUACAAUGAUAACAAAAGAAAGCUUUGUAUACCAUUAGGGCACGGGUUCGAGACUUGGGAAGCUCUUGAAUAAAUUUCCCAAACCCACUCAGCCUAACUCUACGCUUAACUUCCACCAUCGCCGGCCACUCGCUCGUUUCUGCUUUCUCACCACUGCCAUAGAAAAACCUAGUCAGAGAAUGAAAGCAUAUAUUCAAAUGUCAUAACUGUCGUCAAGAUUCAUGGUGAUUUUGCACAAGUACCAUGAUAUUCUGAAUUUCUGAUAGAAGGAAACAUGAAACCUACAGAUGGACUCUGGAGCAUCCCAUACUCUACUCAGAAUACUUGACCCCCUUAAACAACUGAUGCAUCUUCUUUUUUAUACUUUUCACAGACACUAUCUAGCUUGCUGAUGUUUCAAUUGAUCUAUUCUUAAGCUUAUUCAAAUGCCAUUCUAAUUGAAUUAGAGAAGAGAUUGAUUGCUAACACAAUUCCAGUUCAAGUACAAUUUAUAAUCUUCAAAGAAAUAUCUAAUAUUAGCAUAGAGCAGAAAUUGUCUGUGCCCGAAGAAAACAGUAUCAAAAAUAUUGAAUAAUAGUAGCUAUAUUAGUUAAGGUAAUAAGAACUUACCUUUUGAAAAUGCCAGCAACAGGCACUACGGAAGACAUACUCAGUUGCAGUAACCAUCCCAUGCUCUCUCUCCCUUAUCAUCACUAAGUGCAGCUGCUUUCUCAAGUCUAGAGAUAUCGUCAUCAUACAUAGGUUAUUAAGCAAAGUAGUCGUCAAUGAGUCUUUGGUUUCCAGCUACAUGAUCUCUCUUGAUGUAUUUUCUUUUGUUACGACGUGGAUAAUCUUCUUCAAUUUUGUUGCGACGCUCUCUAAACCGGUUUAUGAUAUAUUUCUCUUCAAUUUGAGAUUGUCUUUUGUAAGCUUCAAUAUCGAAAGGAAAUUCUGAUGGAUCCAUUGGAUUUUUUUUAGUAAGAUGAUGUUUGUUAUAUUAUUUCAUCAAUAGAAAAAUGAGUUUCCAUUUAUAAAAAAAUCGAGUGGUUGAAAGAGAAUGAUAAGAUAAGGAUUUGAUGAAAAGAUCAUGUGGUUGAGAUCCAACAGAUAAGGAUCAUGUGGUAAACUAAAAGAUAAGGAUUAGAUUCUAAGUUUCUAACAUAAAAAGCCAAAAUUGAUGGAUUAUAUUGUCGGAAAAUAAUGGAAUACUGACAAACAAAUAUUAUUGCAUAAAAUGACAAACAACAAUUAUAGCAUAAAAUGAUAAAAUACACACAUACAUAUGACAAAUAUAAACAUUAAAGUAGAAAGUGACAAAGUGUACACAUACACUUCAAACCCACUAAUUUCCAAAUAGUUCGUGGUUCAACUUCUCUAAUAGCUUUUUGCUCCAAUCAUUGAGAUGCUCAUUCUCAGAUAGCUUCAUAACCAUCUCCAUCUUCUUCAAUUUGUUUGCCUCUUCUGUCUCUUGGCAAUUUUUUUCCAAGUUUUCUAACUCUUUCUCUUUCAAUUGCUUGAAAUCAUUCCACUCUUCAUUAACGACUUCCAAGCAUGCAUCACCCUUACCUUUUUUUAACUUUCUUUUUAGACGCAUCCCUCCCAUGGGACGAGCACUAGAUCAUACAGAGUUUGAGUCACUUGCAUUAGUAUUGUGAGCUCUCUUAGAUCCACUGCUUCCAGACCCCGUUUUUUCUCCUACCUGACUACUAUAGCGUGGUUGAUCAUGAACAGCGAGUCACUCUAACAUUAAAUUAAAAUACACAUUCUUACCAUUUGAAUAUAGUUCAUGUGCUUUUGCGAAUACAUCAAUCUCUGACCAUCCGCUUUAUUACAUACACUUAGCAUUAUCGUAAGCGCCAAUCCAUUUGCCCAAUAUUUUAUUCACGUAGUUGAAAUGAUUUCUGCACGUAACUCCAUCAUACGGAGGAUCAAAUGAGCAUUGCUGAUUACAAUAUUCAGCAAUUUUACCCCAGUAUGAUUCACUCUUUUGGUUUCUUUCAACAAUGCUAUAUGUUCCAUAUUUAAUUCAUCCACUCAAAAACACCAAAUUUUGCUUAGUUGUCCAUUUGGGGAUUUUUCGUCGAGUAGAAGUUGAAUCUUCAUUGUUUGGAAUGUCUUCAUCAACACCAGUCAUCCUUCCAAGAGUCAUUUGUGUAGAAAAUCCAGGAAAUUCAGAAGGUGGUUGAGAUGAAUAUGACAUCAUCGAUCCAUAAUAUGGAUGAUAGUGUGGAACAGAUGAUGGCACUGGAAAAUUUGGUGGAAAUCCAUAAUUUGAGACAUUUUGAGACUAGUUGAAAGAUGGAUUUUGAUAUUGAUAAUUACUGGAAUUUGGGUAUGGAAAAAGAUAAUUAAAAGAAAUUUGGGUAGAAUUAUUAUUGGAAUUUGGGUAAGAAAAUGGAAAAUUUGCGGAAUUUUGUAAACGAUUAUUAGUAAAAUCUAUUUCACAAAACAAAAUUAAAAAUAAAAACAAGAUUUUUUUGGAGAAUAAUAAAAAACUAUAGUUAAAAUGUUUGUUUUUUAUGUGUCCGAAUGAACCAAGUUUAUAUUUAUAAAGAUUAAAAUGUUAUGAAUUUUCAUAUAAAUAUUGUUUUAUAUAUAAAUUGUUAAUUGUAUAAUAAUUGAUUGAAAAUAGAUAAGAUGGGAUAAAAAAUCUCCAAAAUCUCAAAUGCCAAUAAUAAUAUAACAAGUGUUAUUAUCUCAAGAAAGUGAACUCUUCACUUGCAGAGAACGUGUGUGAAACGUACAUCCCAAUAACAUGAUGACAUGUUGCAUAUAUGGACCCCAAAAAAAAAGACAUAUAUGAACUUAUUAAUUCACAUAGCUUUUUUUGAGUUUUCAACACCUCCAUUGCAAACAUUAAACGGGAAAAAGUUAAAAAAACAAACAAACUAAUUUUAAUUUGGAAGUUUAAUACCCAAUAUUUUUAGAUUGGAAUAAAACUACCUCAUCUAAUUAUUUGUAGUCACAAAAUACCUCAGAUAUAAGUUAUUGGUGGAAUCAAAUCCAGUCGUUAACGGGCGUUACGGAAUCAUUUAACGGUGUUAAAUUCUAAUUCCGUAUGAUCUAGUUUAUAUAGGGGUUGUUUAGAUUUAUUAGUUGAGAAUAUUAUUGUAUCCUAGUGGCUACACACGAGGCUAACUUAUUCUCCUUACUCGGGUUUGAUACCCCUAACUCGCAAUUUUUUUUUUAGUUUUUUCUUCUUCUUCUCCUCCGGGUGUUCGUUGAGAAAUCAAAAUUGGAGAGAAAUCCAGAGUCAAGGGUCGAAGAAGCUUCUCAUGAUUCGGAUCUGCUAUUUGAAAAGGUUGAAAGAGAAGAGCUUCUUUGUAGAAAGAGUUUGGGGAGAGUUCCAAGUUCCAACAUGGGCGGAUUGAGGUGGAGGAGGUGAAAGAAGUGGAGUUACAGAAGGUGGAAGGCAAGAAGGAGGCGUUGGAGGUGGAGGAAGUGGAGUUACAGAAGGUGGAGGGCAAGAAGGAGGCGUUGGAGGUGGAGAUGAGGUGAUUGGCGGAUCUGUUAAGAACCACCGGCGAAAAUAAGAAAAGGGCCUUACUAGGGAUUCGAACUCGGGUUAAUAGGGUUAAGUGACCUUGCUAAAUACCACUAGGGUACGGUAAUAAAUUUCGUUUAGUGUAGACAAACAAUUAUAUAUAUAUAUAUAUAUAUAUAUAUAUAUAUAUAUAUAUAUAUAUUAAACUAGUUAGAGUUAAAAUUUAACGCCGUCAAAUAAUUCUGUAACGCCCGUUAACGGUUGGGUUUGAUUCUACCAAUAAUUUGUGUCUGAGAUAUUUUUGGAAUACAAAUAAUUAGAUGAGGUAUUUUUAUUCCAAUCUAAAAAUAUUGGGUAUUAAACUUCCAAAUUAAAAUUAUUUUGAGUUUUUUAUAGCUUUUUUCCCAACAUUAAACAGUUGAAUCUUUUAUUCAACAUGUUCAUUGCACAUAAUCUAAAAAUAAUAUUUUCAAAAACUACAAUCCCAUCUAAUCAAUCCUCUAUUUUUAUCUUAAUUCGACUAAAACCAAAAACAUGCAUUUAAUUAUUUCUUUUUUUUUAAACCACAAUAGGAUAAUUUUAUAAAUCUCAAUACAAUGUCAGCCCUGGACAGAGCGAAGAGAAACAUUGGUAUGAGGCCCCCAUUUUUAAGGGGCUCCCAUUUAAUUUUUGUUUUUAUAUAUACAUAUAUUUAUAAAUCGUACAUGUCCUAUGCUAUAUGCUAGAGCAAAAAUAUUCACAGAAUAAACGUGAUAUGAAGAAAGAUAUUUUAAAAACAGAAUAAAAAAUCAAUUUAUGUGGUGUCACGUGUCAGUCACUCAGCCCGACAACCUAUAAAACAGAAACUCAACUUUAAUACAUAAAAAAAACCAACAAUAAUGUUUUGGUUGGUCAUUAUACCCAUGACCUUUGAGUAUCUUCCUCUUCUUUGUUUCUCUUUUCAUCAACGCUGUUCUUCAAUCUCUACUUCUACAAUCAAUUCUCUAUACUCAUGACAGAUAAUUUUCCUAUUUAGUCGAUAAUGUGUUCAUGUUUAUACUUAAUUUUUAGUUGAUUUUGUUCAUAAACUUAAUUUUUAUAUAAACUUUUUUAGGUAUUUCAACAAGAAAAACAAAGUGUAAAACAGGGGCUCAAAAAAGAAAGAAAUAGAGAAAAGAUGAACAACUUGUGAAAUCUUUGAGUAAUUCUAUGUUGAGGUAUGUUAAAAGGUCAAAAUCUGGUAAGUAUGAUGAAAGUGAUAGAGUUGGUGAUGAGAAUGAGAAUCAAGAAGAUGAUAAGGCCGGAGAAGAAACAAUGGCUGAUUGUGACAAAGAGGAAUGUGAAAAAAUCUCUAAAGAAGAUGAUGUGCCUGUGGAUUUAGAAAAACCUCCGGAGAUUUCGAUUUUACAAUUUACAGAUCCUGCAAAUUGGAGAAAAAAUGAUAAGGGAUUAAAAGAUUAUCUAGUGCAAAAAGGUCCUAUGGAAAGAGUUGAAAGAGACUACGUUUUCCCCAAAAAUGAUGUUGGUAGACAUUUUUUUUAUAGAUAUUUCAAAAGGGAGUUGAAAAAUGGAGAAAAACAAGACAGGAAUUGGUUACUUUAUUCAAAAGCAUAAGACAAAAUCUAUUGCUUUUGUUGUAAGUUGUUUAGACGGGAACAAGAUGCCACUCAGUUGUCAAGCACAUGAUUCAACGAUUGGAGGAAUGUCAAGAUAAGACUCAGCCAACAUGAAACUAGCCAUAGUCACAUCUUUUGCAUGGGUCAAUGGAUAGAAUUAAUUGAGAUUGGGAAAGGAGCAUACCAUUGAUAAGUAUUUACAAGAAGAAGUCAAAAGAGAGAAAAAUCAUUGGAGAGAAAUUUUGUUGAGACUUUUUGCAUUGGUGAAAAAUCUUGCUAAGCAGAAUAUAGCAUUCCGUGAAACUAAGGAGAAGAUUGGUGAGAGAAAUAAUGUAAACUUCUUGAGAUUCAUUGAAACGUUUGAAGAGUUUGAUUCACUUACGCAGGAGCAUAUCAAACGAGUUAAAGAAGGUAAAAUUCACUAUCACUAUCUAAGCCCCAAAAUCCAGAAUAAGUUGAUUGUUAUGCUAGGAUCUAAAUUCAAACGUAUGAUCAUCAAAAAAAAUUCAAGAGACAAAAUAUUUAUCAGUAAUUCUCGAUUGUACUUUAGAUAAAAGUCAUAAAGAGCAAAUGAGUUUUGUUAUCAGAUGUGUUGAUGUCUCCACCACAACGACACGAGUUGAAGAACUUUUUGUGACGUUUUUAGAAGUCGUCGAUAGAUCGGGGAAGGACUUUUUGAGUUGCUUUGUUAUACAUUGGGUGAUCUCAAGUUGAAAAUCGAUGAUGUGAGAGGACAAGGCUAUGAUAAUGGAUCCAAUAUGAAAGGAAAACACAAAAGAGUACAAAAGUGAUUGCUUGAUAUCAAUUCAGUAGCAUUUUAUACGUCAUGUGGUUGCCACAGUCUUAAUUUGGCACUUGCUGAUAUGACCAAAUCAUCUUGAAAAGCGAUUUCAUUCUUUGGAAUUAUCCAACGCAUCUAUUGCUUGUUUUCAUCCUCUACACCUAGGUGAGAACUCCUAAAGCGAUGGUAGGAGGUCUCACACUUAAGCCAUUAUCAGAGACUCGUUGGGAAAGUCGCGUUGAAAGUGUUCGAGCAAUUCGUUUUCAAGAUCCAAGAUCAAUCUUGAAACUUCUCUUAAACAUGGAGAGAAUUCAGACAUUGAUGGGGAUCAUUUAUUUUUGGAGCUUAAAGUUCUAAGAGAAGUUUUACCAAGAGAGAUCAAGAAGCCUAUUGAGGAAUUGGAUUUUUUGAAAAAGUUUGAAAGUUGUUAUCCAAAUAAAUGGGUUACUUUUAGAGUGAUGUUAACCGUUCCAGUUUCCGUCGCCUCGGCUGAAAGAAGUUUUUCCAAGUUAAAGUUGAUAAAAUCUUACUUGCAUUCUACUAUGUCGGAAGAAAGAUUGAAUGGGCUGGCUAUAUUGUCAAUGAGAGGGACAUGGUUGGAGAGCUGGACUGUACAAGUUGGAUGGAUAACUUUGCCGAGAAAAACGCAAGAAGAAGUUUGUUCAAAAAAUCGAAACAAAUAUUGAAUUUUGAUUGUUUUUUUGUUGAAUUUGUGUUUCAUGGCUAGUUUUAUAUUUAUGUUUGAAACCAAAUAUGUUUGAGCUUGAUUAUGGUUUUAAGGUGCGACAUAAGGACCUCCGUUUUUGUCAGGGCCUACUCUGUCUCAAUAUUAUGUAAAAUAGCCUAACUAAGGCCUAAACUAUCAUCUCCUAAUUUCUGGACAUUUUAUAAUUAUUCUCACCGCUUGUUUUUAAAUUAUCAACAAAUUAUACUUUUUCUGAAAUAAUUUCAAAAACCUAUUAAAAAUAUUGAUAAAGUCAACACUAAAAUUUUCUCAUCAUCAAACUUAUAGCAUCUCCAAUGGCUCAAUAUUUCUCCCAAUGGUUUCUCUCAACAAAAUUGUUGAAAAACUAAUUCAGAAACCUUUUAAUCGGAGAGAGAUGUCUCUCUUGAGAAAAACUUUUGAUGAGAUGAGAAACGUGUACGUGGCAUGUUCUCAUUGGAUGUUUUAUGUGACAAAACUGAAGGAAAAAAACGCAUGGAAAAAAUUGUUUCUCAUCUCUCUCUCUCUCUCUCUCUCUCUCUCUCUCUCUCACGUUCUCUCUCUCUCACGUUCUCUCUCUCUCUCUCUCUCUCUCUCUCUCUCUCUCUCUCUCUCUCUCUCUCUCUCUCUCUCUCUCUCUCUCUAUCUCUCUCUCUCUCUCUCUCUCUCUCUCUCUCUCAACGAAACGACGAUGGCGAAGGCGACGGCGACAGAGCCGGACUUUUGAUCCGACGAUUAAGGUUCAAUUGAAGCAGUCGAUCUGUUGUAUGAGCAGUUGUUGGGCAUGAGCAAACGACGACGACGACGGAUGCGGAUCCGUCUUUUGCAAAACCGGUGGUCACGAGCGCAUGUGGAAAAUGAAUCGAAUCGGAGAAUCGCUGACUGAAGCUCAUAACUGGUAAGAAUCUAUUUCUUUCUGCAAUUUAUCAUGAUUUAAUUUGGGAAAUUUGAUGUUUCUUUUAGGGUUAUUUGAAUUCUGAAUUUAGGGUUUUAUAUUGUAAGCAUUGAGUAGGAGUUUUUUUUAUUAUCAAUGGAGGCUAAGUGUUUGUUAUUUGACAUGAUUGAUGUGAGGAUGAGUCAUUGAAUGUUUGAUUUAGGGUUUUUAGUUUUUGUUAAUCAAAUUACGGUGAAUUGAAAACAUAUUUGAUCUGUGAUUCAUGCUUUCAUAUGUGUCUACAACAUGUUUGGCAACUUUUUUUGAGGGAAUCGUUUUCACCUGAAGAAUAUAUUAACACGUAAUAAAAUCUUGGAUCAAGAAAAAUAUCAUAACUUGUAAACAUAUAUACUAGGAAGUGUUGGCAAACAAUCAUACAUAAGUUAUGAUAAAUCUUAAUCGCUACUAAAGCCUUUGCGAUUUUGUUGUUUAUGUAAUAAAAUUUAUAUUCUUAUAAUUGUUUGGCCUCUUCUUGAAGCUAACAUGAAGGAACUAGCAAGAGAUUGAGAAGCUUGUGAAAUUCAAUCGCUUGGUACUUCUUAAACUAAGAGUCUAAGAUUCAUAACCAAAGAGGUUAGACAAAUAAAAUCUCCUCUCUCUUUUGUGCGGGAACAAUUUUGACUGCAUACCCUUUAUACUUAUGUGAAUAUCAGAAAAAAAAAAUCCUAUUUUUUUAGAAACACCAAAAGAGUCAAUCUCUUUUAUCUAUAAAUAUUUUAAUCUUGUUUCCUGUUUAUACCUUGUGUUUAUUCUUCUUGGUAUCACAGUGGUCAGAGAGAGAUUGUGCUUUUGUGUUUAGUUUAUAUGCCUGCAAUCUUUUUGUAUCAAGAAGUGUUUAGUUUAAUUGUUGUGAUAAAUUUACCUUGCAUUCGUGUCAAAGGGAAAGGAAUAUUGAAGACUGGGCAUGGAUAAACGUUAAGAGCAAUAUUCUAAUGGUUAAGAGAUCAAUAGAAAAUAUGUGUGCAAGCCUCACGAUUUGAUAUGAAACAGUAGAACAAGAUCAUUAGUGCUUAUAUAACACUCAUUAAAAAUGAAGUGUUGAUUCUAACAUAGUUUCUCUGAUUCUCCAUAUAGUGAAUAACAUUAUUUCCUUCUGUUUGAUGUUUAGGCUAAUAUGAUUUUGUUUUCUCUAUUUUUGUGAGGUUAAAUGGAGUGGUUGUGGAGACGAUUGGUACAAGUAGAGAACGCAAGAUAUAUUUAUCACAUCAACUAAAUCAAGGCAUAUUUAAAAGUGGUUGUUGUCUCAUUGAUUACCGGUUUGUGUUUAAUAUAGAGUUAAGCGUAUAAGUACACUUUCAUUCUUCUAUUUCCUUCUUCUUUAACCUUCAAUUUUCUCUGAAUUUCUCGUUUCCAUCUUCUUCAACCUUCUUCUUUAACCUGCUUCUUUAAUGGAUGAUAUGAAUCCAUUUUAUCAGUCUUCGGGUUUCAUAGACCUAUUGCAUAGUCAGCAAGAAGACAUAAUCGUUUUGCAAGUGGAUCAUCUGAAGUCCCAACCUUUAAUACACAAAUGUUUGAAGAAGGAAGUGAAGAUGAAGUAACACUCAUGGGUUGUACACAAGAUGAAGUCAAACCGAAGGUUGGUUUAUCACAAAAGAAAUGGUUUCCCAAAGAAGAUAUUGUUCUCGUCAGGGCAUGGCUUAACACUAACAAGGAUCAUGUGAUUGGUAAUGACCAACAAUGUCAAUCAUUCUUGAAACAGAUUGCAUCAUAUGUUGCAAUCAGUCCGCAACUUGAUUAUCUGCCAAAGAGAGAGCAUGCUAAAUGUAAGCAAAGGUGGUCAAAGGUCAAUAAAAGUGUGACCAAGUUUGUAGGUUGUUAUAAGACGGCAACAACUCAUAAAACUAGUGGACAAAGUGAGGAUGAUGUAAUGAAGUUGGCUUAUGAAAUCUACUACAAUGAUACCAAGAAGAAGUUCAACUUAGAGCAUACGUGGAGAAAGUUAAGGUAUGAUCAAAAAUGGUGUGAAGCUGCAACUAUUAAAGGGAAUAAAAAUGCUAAAAGAAAGUGUGUCGAUGGUUAUUGAUAUGGUUCAAAUUACCUAGAACUACUCUCUCAAAUAAGAGAUCAAUUGCAGUAUUUUAGGAUCGAAUUCACGGAGUUCUUUUGUUAAAACAGUUAGUUAAAUGUCGAGAUUAAGCUAGCAGGGUAAUAGUGAAAAUAAAGGAGAACAAAGUAAAAAGACAGCAGAUUGAUUGUGUUGUAAACGAUUUAAUAAAGAGCUAGGAACAGGGUAUUCUCAAGAAACUAUUGGUUAGUAGAUUUAAUGAAAGCUAGGUUGUUAUCGAACCAUUCUUAAACUCAAACUCUAAUUAUGGAAUAACCGGCGGGCUUGCCGCGAAACUCCCUAUAUCUAUAGCUAAUAAUAACCGGAGAAGCCGAGAAACUAUCAACAUAAAUAUGCAUUCUUAACGAGUUCAAUUGUUCAUCUUAGUAGAUAGGCCGAUUCUUAUUACACACCUAUAAACCAGAUUCAUCAUAUAAUAGAUCCAACUACAGAUACCUAUGGGCUAUGGCGGGCAUAUCUAUUGUCUGGAUUCAAGAUCUAGUUAAAUACUCUAGAUCUAGCAUUAGACAUGAUUAAAGAUGAAAAAUUCUACAUAUAACCUAGCAAAGGGGGCAAUCUACUAAACCAUAUGAAUCCCUAAUGAGAAACCCUAUUCCUAACAAGCAGACUACUCAGACAUAUUGGAUGAAGCAAACAACAUAUUCGAGUGUGAAAACAUAAACACAGUAAUAGAGGUAAGAGUUAGAAAAGAUCUCUUCACUGUAUUAAGAACUGGAAUGAAUCUCUCAAGAACAAAUGGAUGAAUAGCUUCUGUCUCUCACAAUAAGGUUUGCAAAGAACUUGAUAAAACAAACUUAGGUCUAAAAGCAAGAUAUAUAAAACCCUAAAAACGUCCAGGGACUAAUAAUGCAAAUAGGAAAGUUUCUGGGGCAAAUUUCCUCUUCUGUAAACUUGAAAGCGUCUAGGGUUUUUGCUGGGGCCGAAACUGGUGUCGAUUGACACCAAGAGUGUGUCGAUCGACACUCCUCGCUGAUUCCUGAACCAAAGUCAUCCUUAGCUUCCUUUUUCUUAGUGUUUGCUCCAAAAUGUCUCCUUAUCUCUAUUGUUGUCCCAUUGCAUAGAGUACCUGAAAAGACACUAAAAACACUCGAGAAAUAACAUAAAGACUCAAAAUCCUAUACCUAAAACAUAGUUAAAAUCGGUGAAAAUCGGGUUAUAUCAACUCCCCUAGACUUAGCUUUUGCUUGCCCUCAAGCAAAACACAAAAGCUGAACCCGUGGAAGAGGUUUUGAAAACAAAGGAACUCCCAACAUUCUCUAGCCUAUUGCCAUGAUCUUUCAAACUAAGUCCAUAUGCCUAACAAGUCUAAUCAAAUCCUAACCAACAUAUACUUCUCUGCAAGCUUACACAACAUUCUAGAUUCCAUACCUAAGUUCCACAACUAUAUCCACCAUGCUUUCAUCGCUGGGUCUCAUCAAACAAGCCAGCAUUCAAGAUCCUUCUAGACUCAUUCAUGUACUAUACCAUGAUAAAUUGACCAUUCUUUUAUAUAUUUUUUCUUUUUCGGUGUUCUUUCUCUACCCCAGACUUAUUCUUUUUAGAGAUUAAAGAAAGGGGAACUCGCAUACUGGAUCGACAUCCUCAGCAUUUUUCCAACCUUUGUAAUUGAUCAUUCCAAAUAAUGUAUAAUAAUGGGGUCAUAGAAAACAUUCCUACCCCUAUACACUAUCUGAAAGUCAUCUCAAUCUCUCAUUAUCUUUUUCUUUUUAUAAGGUGAGAGGAACAUAUUCUUUUUUAUCACAUUGGUCUCAAUAUCAGGUACGAACAAGGAGUCAAGAUGUAUGAAUACUAAUCGUUUGAAGAAGUAAAAGGAAGAGCAGUGAGAUUAGCUCCAGCCUUAGUGGUUGAGUUGGAAACUAGGAUAUCCUCAAGUCUGUUAGUUUGCCAACUAGAUUUUCCAAUAGUCGGAUUGACUCGAACCUGCAGCACUCAUCAAUCAGGCAAUAAACAAGUAAACUAAAGAAAACGUUUCUUUUUUUUUUUUUUUUUUAGAGUUAGAAAAUAAAAGAAAUAACCAAAUGAAUUGCAAAACGAAAAAUAAUAAGAAACAAAAAUAAAAGCCAUAUUAGUACGAACCUCCCCCAGACUUAAACGACAUUUUCCCCAGUGGCAUUCAAAUCCAGAGAAAGCGGGAAAAAUAAAUCAAAAAUAGAAGAAAAGAAAAGAGAGGGAAAAGAAAAAUCAAACCAGUGGGUUGCCUCCCACUAAGCGCUUGUUUUGAGUCAAUAGGUUGACUUGGCGGAGUUCAGGAUGUGGGUGGAGUGGUGGAGGAUUGAUGCUGCCUCCUCGCCUUCCAAGGCGGUGUGUAAACGGAUAUGGUUCGAGCAGCUUCUGGUGUCGAUCGACACUCAGGGGUGUGUCGAUCGACACUCAGGGGUGUGUCGAUCGACACUCUUCUCGUCACCUGCAAAAACAACAGGAGAAACAAGCUUUCGAGGAAUCUAGGCUUGUUAUCAUGUGAAGCAGUCUUCGAAUAAUCCAAAGAAUUAAUCAAAGAUAAAACAGGAGAAGAGAGAGAAGAGAACUUAUCACAUAGGUCCUCAAGUGGUGUGGGCUGAAGAGAAUCUGCAAAAUUCUCUGUCCGUGAAUCCCGAGGGUGUCGAUCGACAGGGGUAGUCACCGUUGCUCUACAACUCUCAUUGGCGAGCUGAACGUGUUGGAGCGUUGUGUGUUGCUCUAUGGUGGGAUUCUGAUCAGUCUGAGGAGGUGUGCCUAUGCUAGAAGCAAUGCAACUGAUAGGCUUAGUAAGCUUUGAACCAUCCAUGCCAAACUCCAUCUCCGAAUCACAAACCUUGAGAGAGAUUCUCCCUCUCUUCACAUCAAACCUAGCACCAGCUGUAACUAGGAAUGCUCUUCCAAGGAUAAGGGGAUCCUUGGGUUCCUUUUCAUAGUCCAGGACCACAAAAUCAGCAGGGAUAACAGAGUUACCAACCUUAACAGGAACAUCUUCAAGGAUUCGCUUGGAACGAUCCGCAAUGAGAAGAGUAAUGCGAGUAGGCUUGUAGUGAGUCAUGCCUAGUCUCUUAGUAACAGACUUAGGCAUGAGGUUGAUGCUUGAUCCCAGAUCACAUAAAGAGCGGCUGAAUCUGCUUGUGGAGAUAGAGCAAUCAAGAACAAAGCUACCUGGAUCUGGAAGCUUCUCGGUGCUCUGACCAGGAGUAAUGGUGCGGAUGUACUCAGCUAUGUCUACUCUCUAUGCCUUCUCCUUCUUGGCCUUAGGCAGCAUGAUUGCACUGAUGUCUCUGGUAAGUACCUUAGCUUCAUCUGAGCUAAUUUCAUUGUCAACAAGUCGCUUGACAUACAUGUUGAGUGAAGCAGAAGAUGUCUCAGAAGCAUCCUUAGGAAGAGUAUGGAGGAUCUUCUCCAUUAUGGAUGUGCACUUAGCAGCAUGAAUCUCUUGCUUAGAAAGACGCCUCCUCGGAUACGGGACAUGAGGAGUGUAGACAGACUCGGGCAGCAUAGGUAUUUGCACCUCAUAAGGUGUUGUCCGGAUCCAGUGUCGAUCGACACUAGAGGGGUAUCGAUCGACACCGUCGUAUUGAGUCGUCUCUGAGAAUAGCGUCCCAUAUGGUGCCGAUCAACACAGGAGGGUGUCGGUCGACACCAUCUCUGCAACUGCGAGCUCCAACUCGUCUUCAGUGUCCAAUUCCUCCCACACAUCAUCUCCUUCUCUGAUCAAGAUGGCAUUGCGGCUCUUCCUUGGGUUAGCAUCAGGAUUACCAGGAAGAAAACCCUCUUGUCUCUUGAUAGAUUGUGCAGUUUGAGCUUCUUGUACAUCUAGCUUCUUCAAGUGAGAGCUCUGAUUAUCGAUCUUCCCAUUAAGAUCUGUGUAGACAGCAUCAAACUUGCCAUUAAACUCCACAACAAGCUUAGUCUGGCUCUCUAGAAUCUGCUCAAGCAUCGAUUCCAUUCUUGUCUCUACUAAGGGUGGAGGGGGGGCUUGGUAAGUUGAAUUACCAUAGUUCCUUUGAAAGAUGCUUUGAGGAAAGGUCUUUUGGAAAGCAGGCUUUGGAGUGUAGUUGAAGGAACCCUAGUUCCCUGUAAACCUGUUGCCACUGAAGUUGCCCUGUGGCUGCCCAAACUUCCUGUAUCCCUGACCAUCUAUGUAGAAGACUCCUUCUUCUGACUCAGGCUCAGGCUCAAUAGUUUCUUCUUUAGCUGCAAAGUGGACAUGCUUCUUCCCUGUGAGCAAGUUAUGAACUGAAUCUAGCUUAGCAUUCACCUCUGCCAUCUGAUUUCCUGAAAUAGCUCCAGCAAUCUUCUUCCUCUCAAAAUCAGCAUUCUUGGUACUGUUGCUGCAAGCGAGGUUCUAUAUAAGGGUUGUAGCAUCAGCUGGGUAACGUGUAUUGAAGUUACCAUUGCUCGCUGCAUCUAGAGCCAUCUGGUAUCUCCAAUUAACUCCUCUAAAGAAGGUACCUAAAAGUUGUACCUCACGGAAACCAUGAUGUGGGCAAUCUCGUUGGUACUCCUUGAAACGAACCCAAGCAGCCUUGAAAGCUUCAGCUGGACCCUGUGUGAAGGUAGAGAGCUUAUUUCUCAACUCCUCAGACUUAGCAUCAUCGUAGAAAUUGUUCAAGAAGGCUAUCUUGAUGCUUCUCCAAGUCUUGAGGGAACCUGCUUUAAGUUGUUUCAGCCAAGAAGUUGCUUCCCCAGAAAGUGAAUAAGGGAAGAGCUUGCACACUAGGUAGUCCUCUGAGACUCCAUUAGCCUUGAUGCUCAGAACAAGGUCCUCUAAUCGCUCGAUAUGAUCCAUUGGUUGCUCAUGAGAUAAGCCAUGGAAAGGAUGCUCGCCAACUAAAGCAAAGUAGCCAGGCUUCAGCUCAUAGUCGUUUCUCUGGAAUGGUGGGGAUACAAUCGCUGAUCGAUUAGCAUAGAACCGGUCUGACCUGUUGAAAUCCCCAAGAGUACGACGUGGUUCCACAGCUAGAGGAAUAGCUGCAAGAAUCUGGUGUUGGUGUCGAUCGACACCUCUGUUGUGUCGUUCGACACCUAUUGCAUUUGCGUGCUGCUCCCGAUGGUGUCGAUCGACACCCAGUUGGUGUCGCUCGACACCGAGCCCUGCUGCAUCUCUAGCAGCUAACUGCGCAUUGAGGCGCGCUUGAUCCUCAUUGGCGUCCUCAGGUAGGAUGAGUCCAUGAUCAUCCAAUCUCUGACCAGCCUCAUUGUAGGCUUGUCCAUCCUCAUCUCUCAAAACUCCUUUUGCAUCAGCUCUGAUGACUCUCUCAGCCAUUGCUAAUUUCUUAGUUUUUGUUAAUCAAAUUACGGUGAAUUGAAAACAUAUUUGAUUUGUGAUUCAUGCUUUCAUAUGUGUCUACAACAUGUUUGGCAGCUUUUUUGAGGUAACCGUUUUCACCUGAAGAAUAUGUUAACACGUAAUGAAAUUUUGGAUCAAGAAAAAUAUCAUAACUUGUAAACAUAUAUACUAGGAAGUGUUGGCAAACAAUCUUACAUAAGUUAUGAUAAAUCUUAAUCGUUACUAAAGCCUUUGCGAUUUUGUUGUUUAUGUAAUAAAUUUAUAUUCUUAUAAUUGUUUGGCCUCUUCUUGAAGCUAACAGGAAGGAACUAGCAAGAGAUUGAGAAGCUUGUGAAAUUCAAUCGCUUGGUACUUCUUAAACUAAGAGUCUAAGAUUCAUAACCAAAGAGGUUAGACAAAUAAAAUCUCCUCUCUCUUUUGUGCGGGAACAAUUUUGAAUGCAUACCCUUUAUACUUAUGUGAAUAUCAAAAAAAAAAAAUCUUAUUUUUUUAGAAACUCCAAAAGAGUCAAUCUCUUUUAGCUAUAAAUAUUUUAAUCUUGUUUCCUGUUUAUACCUUGUGUUUAUUCUUCUUGGUAUCACAGUGGUCAGAGAGAGAUUGUGCUUUUGUGUUUAGUUUAUAUGCCUGCAAUCUUUUUGUAUCAAGAAGUGUUUAGUUUAAUUGUUGUGAUAAAUUUACCUUGCCUUCGUGUGAAAGGGAAAGGAAUAUUGAAGACUGGGCAUGGAUAAACGUUAAGAGCAAUAUUCUAAUGGUUAAGAGAUCAAUAGAAAAUAUGUGAGCAAGCCUCACGGUUUGAUAUGAAACAGUAGAACAAGAUCAUUAGUGCUUAUAUAACACUCAUUAAAAAUGAAGUGUUGAUUCUAACAUAGUUUCUCUGAUUCUCCAUAUAGUGAAUAACAUUAUUUCCUUCUGUUUGAUGUUUAUGCUAAUAUGAUUUUGUUUUCUCUAUUUUUGUGAGGUUAAAUGGAGUGGUUGUGGAGACGAUUGGUACAAGUAGAGAACGCACGAUAUAUUUAUCACAUCAACUAAAUCAAGGCAUAUUUAAAAGUGGUUGUUGUCUCAUUGAUUACCGGUUUGUGUUUGAUAUAGAGUUACGCGUAUAAGUACACUUUCAUUCUUUUAUUUCCUUCUUCUUUAACCUUCAAUUUUCUCUGAAUUUCUUGUUUCCAUCUUCUUCAACCUUCUUCUUUAACCUGCUUCUUUAAAAUGGAUGAUAUGAAUCCAUUUUAUCAGUCUUCGGGUUUGAUAGACUUAUUGCAUAGUCAGCAAGAAGACAUCAAUCGUUUUGCAAGUGGAUCAUCUGAAGUCCCAGCCUUUAAUACACAAAUGUUUGAAGAAGGAAGUAAAGAUAAAGUAACACUCAUGGGUUGUACACAAGAUGAAGUCAAACCGAAGGUUGGUUUAUCACAAAAGAAAUGGUUUCCCAAAGAAGAUAUUGUUCUUGUCAGGGCAUGGCUUAACACCAACAAGGAUCAUGUGAUUGGUAAUGACCAACAAUGUCAAUCAUUCUUGAAACAGAUUGCAUCAUAUGUUGAUAUCAGUCCGCAACUUGAUGAUCUGCCAAAGAGAGAGCAUGCUAAGUGUAAGCAAAGGUGGUCAAAGGUCAAUAAAAGUGUGACCAAGUUUGUAGGUUGUUAUAAGACGGCAACAACUCAUAAAACUAGUGGACAAAGUGAGGAUGAUGUAAUGAAGUUGGCUUAUGAAAUCUACUACAAUGAUACCAAGAAGAAGUUCAACUUAGAGCAUACGUGGAGAAAGUUAAGGUAUGAUCAAAAAUGGUGUGAAGCUGCAACUAUUAAAGGGAAUAAAAAUGCUAAAAGAAAGUGUGUCGAUGGUUAUUGAUAUGGUUCAAAUUACCUAGAACUACGCUAUCAAAUAAGAGAUCAAUUGCAGUAUUUUAGGAUCGAAUUCACGGAGUUCUUUUGUUCAAACAAUGAGUUAAAUGUCAAGAUUAAGCUAGCAGGGUAAUAGUGAAAAUAAAGGAGAACAAAGUAAAAAGACAACAGAUUGAUUGUGUUGUAAAUGAUUUAAUAAAGAGCUACGAACAAGGUAUUCUCAAGAAACUAUUGGUUAGUAGAUUUAAUGAAAGCUAGGUUGUUAUCGAACCAUUCUUAAAUUCAAACUCUAAUUAUGGAAUAACCGGUGGGCGUGCCGCAAAACUCCCUAUAUCUACAGCUAAUAAUAACCGGAGAAACCGAGAAACUAUCAACCUAAAUAUGCAUUCUUAACGAGUUCAAUUGUUCAUCUUAGUAGAUAGGCCGAUUCUUAUUACACACCUAUAAACCAGACUCAUCAAAUAAUAGAUCCAACUACAGAUACCUAUGGCGGGAAUAUCUAUUGUCUGGAUUCAAGAUCUAGUUAAUUACUCUAGAUCUAGCAUUAAGCAUAAUUAAAGAUGAAGAAUUCUACAGAUAACCUAGCAAAGGGGGCAAUCUACUAAACCAUAUGAAUCCCUAAUGAGAAACCCUAUUCCUAACAAGCAAAUUACUCAGACAUAUUGAAUGAGACAAACAACAUAAUUGAGUAUGAAAGCAUAAACACAUCAAAGGAGAUAAGAGUUAGAAAAGAUUUCUUCACUGUAUUAAGACUUGGAAUGAAUAUCUCAAGAACAAUGGAUGAAUAGCUUAUGUCUCUCCCAAUAGUGUUUGCAUAAAACUUGAUAAAAGACUUGAUAAUGAGAACUAGGUCUACAAACAAUAUAUAUAGACCCUAAAAAAGUCCAGGGACUAAUAAUGCAAAUAGGAAAAUCUUCUGGGGCAAAUUUGAUAUUCUGUAAACUCGAAAGCGUUUAGGGUUUUUGCUGGGCCGAAACUGGUGUCGAUCGACACCAAGAGUGUGUCGAUCGACACCAAGAGUGUGUCGAUCGACACUCCUCGCUGAUUCCUGAACCAAAAUCAGCCUUAGCUUUUGCUCCUAAAUGUCUCCUUAUCUUCAUUGUUGUUUCAUUGCAUAGAAUACCUGAAAAGACACUAAAAAGACUCGAGAAAUAACAUAAAGACUCAAAAUCCUAUACCUAAAAACAUGGAUAAAAUCAGUAAAAAUCGGGUUAUAUCAGCUACCAAUGUUUUUUUAAUCUUUUUGGCAUGGAUACAAAUCUUAGUGUUAAACUCUUUUUGUAAAGCCUCAAACUUUUAUUUUAUAUGAUAUUCACAUUCUUAUGAUAGCUUAAUAUACACAAAAGAUCUUUUCAAAAGAUCAAUUAAAAUAGGGGAAAUUAAAUCUAAAGGAGUUCUACAAACAAAAUUGUCCAUAUACACCUUUUUUUGGAGAAUGCCAAUUUGGACGAAAAUACCCUUACUCUAUAUUAUAAGCAUUUUUAAAAAAAUUUAACAUUGAUAACAUAUAGAUCUACAAGAAUAUAGAUAAUUUGUAAAAAAAAAAUUGUUAUUUAGUUGAAAGAAAGUUGAUUUUUUGAUAGAUAAAUUUUAGUCUAAAUUAUUUAGAAAACGAUUUCUAGUGAUCUACUUAAUUUAGAAUUUCUAUUCUAAUAUUUUGUACAUAUUUUACGAAUAUUUAGACUAUUUUUCUUUCUAACAAUCUUAGAAAAUAGGAUAUUCAAUAUCUAAUUAUUGUAGAACAUGUAUUCUAAAAUUUUCUUCUUGUUCUAAACUAUGUGUGAAAUUGUAUUCUAAGAAUUUCUAUAGUUUCUGAAAACAUUAGAAAACGUUUUCUAAGAAAUUUUCACUUUUAGAAUUCAUAUUCUAACCAAAUUUAGAAUUUUGUUUCUAAACUAUUUAGAAUUCCUAGAUAUAGAAAGUGAAUCUUUGAAAAAGGAAAGUAAAUAUUUAAUAAAUAUUUCGGUUUCACAAAAUACUUUCUGUUAAGAUUACGAUUUUUACUGGAUUUAGAAAACAAAUUCUAAUUUUUUAGAAUUAAAAGAAAAAACGCCAAAAGAAAACGUGCCUUAGUCGAUUAAUUUGUGCCCUAUCAUUGAUCUCUUCUUCUUCACGUUCUUCCUUUUUCAUCUCGUGUUCUGUUUUUCAUUAUGCAUAUCUAUGUGAGGAGUGGUAUUUGGAGAUUGUAUGAUAACAAGGAGUGGAGAUUUAUUGUUGAUGAAAAAAAUCGUGGGAGAUUGUUGUUUUUGGAAUUGAAUACAACUUUUGAAGAGCUUAAGCUGAUGGUCAGAGAAGACUAUGGAAUAGAACAGAGUACAAUCGAUGUGGAGUUAAGCUACUUACCCACGGAUCUUAGCGUUGAUUGUCCUCCUAAUGUUAUGAUAAAUAACAGACAGGUUAGUAAUUUUCUUUCCUAUUGCAAAAAGAAAAAAACCGUAAAGUUAUGUGUGACGUUCAAUGGUGGAGUUGAAGAUAAAGGAGGUAAAGAAAAUUUUGAUUUGAAUAAGGAACCAAAUGCUCCAAGCGAUGGAGAUGCUUGUUUUAAUGCUGACGAAAAAGUAUUAGGUAGAGAGGUGGAAAAGACAAACAGUCUGUCAUCGAUUUGGCCAAAAGUCCAAAAAAGCGAAAGCAUCAUCAGGGUGCAAGUGAUGGAGUGGGAUCAUCGUCGAAGUCUUUUUCUGUAAAAAAGGAGCAAUAUUUCAGAAGUAAAGAUGUUUUGAAGGCAACAAUGGAGUUGUAUGCGAUGAAGUAUAACUGCGACUACAUGAGUACAAAGUCUGAUAAGAAAUUUUGGUGUAUACGAUGCGUAGAUGUGGUCUGCAAGUGGAGUCUUCGAGCGGAGCGUUUAGAGAGAUCUCUGUAUUUUAAAGUCAACAAGUUUAUGGAUGACCAUUCAUGUGCUCCUUCCAGGAAAUUUUUUUUUGUCGCACAUCUUCAACCAAAACAAUUGGACGUCUCAUUAUGCAUAAUUAUGAACGUGUGUUAGAAGGUCCUAAACCGAAUGAUAUCAGCAAUAUUAUUCGCACACAAUACGGACACGAGCUAACUUAUCAUCAGGCGUGGGAGGCUCGUGAGUAUGCAGUUAACGAGGUCAGAUGAAUUCCUGAGAAAAGUUAUGGGAAGAUACCAAAAUACUUGUACAUGCUAGAACAAGCGAAUCCUGGUACUUAUACAAACUACGAAGUUGAUGGUGAGAAUAGAUUCAAAUAUCUAUUUAUAUCUUUCGGUCAGUCUAUUAGAGGGUUUUACAAGCCUAUUCGGAAAGUGAUUGUGGUUGACGGUACGUUUUUGAAAAGCAAAUACAAAGGAGUUAUGUUGGUAGCUACAGCAGUAGAUGGUAACUCCAAUUUGUAUCCAAUUGCAUUUGGAGUUGCUGAUUCCGAGAAUGAUUCUUCAUGGCAAUGGUUUUUUAUACAACUUAAGAAACUCAUAGCGGAUGAAGAAGACUUAGCUUUUGUGUCAGAUAGGCAUUUCUCGAUCACUAAAUCGCUUGAAAAAAUCUAUCCAUUGGCAUCUCAUGGUAUUUGCAUAGAAAAUCGAAGAGGCUUGUUUCCAAACACAAACCAGAGUUCAUGUUUCUUCCUAGUUACCAACUGUCUAGACAGUAAGCUAUGCAAACAGAGUAUCCUAAACGGUUUUCAAAUAUGGCAAAGACAUGUGCAAACAGAGGAUCACUCUUCACUUCCUUAUACUCUAGUGGCAUAGCUUUCUUGAUUCUCUUGAGGAGAGCUGUUUUGCAGAAGUUGUUGACUUUUCCAACAAGAGGCUCUCUACCAUGUCUGAAUAAGCGCUUCGGAUACUCCUUAUUAAUGUCUGCACAUAACAAUCACUUAUAUGUUAGUAAAACAAGAGAUAAUAGCUGCAGCGUUAUUAGUAAAUAGCUCUCAUGAGAAACAAAAAUAAAUUGUAUCUUAAAGUACUUGAACUCAUACUCGUGAUGCCUUCAUCGGUUUCCAUUAAGAAGCUACACCACAGAUAUAAUAUAGAUAAAAAACCUGAAAAAACAUAGUACCCACGUUAGCAAUCAAGAAGAGGAAAGACAAAACAAGAAGAAAAAUAUGACAUGAAAAUUAUCAAAGACCGCUAAUCACAUGACCACCAUCUCUUAGUUUCAAAGCAGUUAUCAUGAUAAGGUAAUGUGAAUAUGUGGAUCUUUGUCUCUAAAAAAUGAAGCUUCUUAAUGGAAACCGACUAUUGAUCACGUGAUUAAAUAGCAAUAGUCAGACAGGACUUUUGGAACCUCCCAUAUCAUCAUCAUCGUAAGUAAAUGAUUAAGAAUAAGAUAAGUAUCUCACCAUCUUAUUAAAUAGCAAUAGUCAAAAUAAGAUCACGUGAUCAAAUCCCAAUAACUAUGUGUUCAAACCCACAUAAAUCUUAUUCUAUAAAACCAACAAGCUUUAGAAGUCUCUCGUCUCUCUCUUUCUCUAACACACAUCUCUAUCCAAGAUUUUCAAGUUACAGUCACAGAGAAACAGAACAAUGUCAUAAACGAUUAUAUUGGAAACAAAAAAAAAGAAAACGAUAAGAGAGAGGGAGAGAUCUCUCACAGAUCAGUCCAAAUGAGUUAAUCACAUAAUUAUCAAACUUCCGAGCACUUUCGAAACUAAUGAUUGACAUUAUGAUUUCCCACUUAACUUUAUUAUUCUAAAACUUUAGUAUAUUAGUCCAAGUUGAACUCUUCAGCAAAUAUAUCUUAUAUAAUUGAUUGUUCUCAUAUUGUUUAAUAUAACGUUAGUAUAAACAAAGACUACAUCAACUUCGCAUUCGCACUAUAGAAACAGGAUAAUAAUUGUAUAUAUCAACUAAAAUUUCAUGAUAUUUUUUCUCAUCUACUAAGAUAUACUAGUAUAACUUUCUCUUUCUCUAACACACAUCUCUAUCCAAAAAUUUCAAGUUACAGUCACAGAGAAACAGAAAAAAAAAAAGUCAAAAGGUUUCAAGAGUCCUAAAAGAAAUUCCAAGAAGAGAACUCACAAUGAAGAGAUAUUGUUCAGUGGCUGAUGUUCUCUGUUAACGACGACACAUUCGAGUCAAGCUGUGAGAGAUUUGCUUGUAAGCAAGGAGAUGAAGAAAGAGCCACUUAAAGGAGAAAUAAACCAGAAAAUUGUGACAAUCAAAGACAUCAUGACGAGAUCCCAAACAUAUAAACACCAAAUGUAUAAACAAGAUAAACCUUCAAAUCAACUAAAGCUUCUUAUGCGUAAAAAACUAAAGCUUUCAAAGACUAAGAUGCCCAAGUUAAAAUCAAACCUUAAACCCAAAAUUGAGGCCCUAAAUUACAAGUAUGAAAAACGAAAUUCAUCUAACUAUGUCUUAAUCUAUAAUUUCAAACACAAACACAAAUACAUUAAAAUGAAUCAAAGAGCUAGAUGAGUUAUUAAGUCUACAUGCAAUCCCUUAAAAUUAAGAGUCAAGAAAUUGAAUCCUCUCUACAAGUAAUAUGAAUUCUAAGAAAUUAAGACGGACCUUGGCGGUUUUGGUGGCGGAGAAGGAAGGGAGGUUGAGAUGAGUGGUCACGACGGUGAUUGAAGAAGAUUCAAGUGACUUUGGACACGAUGGCGCCGACCACAGAGAAGGCAAAGAAAUCGCCGGCGACGACGAAAACGGAGAUGAUCCCGGAGAUGGCAAAGAAUGCGCCGGCGAGUGUGGAGAGUAAGUUUCGCCGGAAUUUUUUUUUUAAGAGCUGAAUGUUUUUUUUUUUUAAUCGAGUAAAGGAGGAAGAGAGAUAAAAGAUAGGGUUUCGAAAGACUCUAAUACAUUUAGAGGAUUUAGGUUCUCAAAAUUUUACUAAAAUUACUAUUUCUUUUGUGUAAAUAGAUUAGGAAAUUAUUGUUUUUUUUAAUUAUAAAAUAAAAUAAAGGUAAAUAAGACUUAGUUUUUUUUGAAAAACCUAUUUGACUAAUCUACAAAAAAAAGGAAUAGAUGGACAAUUUUUUUUAUAGAUAUCCUUUAAAUUUAAUUUUCCCAAUAAAAUAUACACAAAUCAAAACAAAGUAACUGCUAAAAGUUAUAAUUAUUAUUUCCUAUACAAAUUUACAUAAUAUACUUUAGCAGCAUCAUUUAGUUUCUCAAAAGUUUCAAUUCGUAAUAGUAGUGUGUUUUUCUAGAAUAAUGAAGAAAAAAAUGGAAUUUGGUGAAAAUGGCAACACAGAUUCAUUUCAGCCUCCAAAGAGGAACUGUUCCACUCCCAUUUCUAGAUUGUAAUAGAAUGUUACACAACAUAAUGCAUCAAAUGCUAAGCAAUGUGUUCCUCUAAAGUCUAAUUACGAUAGAGUAUUUGCAGAUCUUACAAAUUUAACUCAUGUUGUAAUAGAAGAACACAUUAUCCAUCAGGAAUCAGCCUGUCACAAUCUCAGCUAGGUGUGAAAAACCAUAUUAUAUCAUCCAUAUUUUUGUAAAUAGUUUAUAAAGUAUUUCAUAUCUUAAUUGAUGAUUAAUUUUCAAAAACUUAACUUAAUGGUUAUAUCUUUAUAGAUGCAGAUCGUUCAAAAUCAUACGUUACACCAAAUCGUAGUGAACAUUGUAUAUACCACAUUUGUUAUCACAAAGUCAUAAUUCUGAAAUUAUUGAUGAAUCUCCUCUAGACUCAGGUAAUCAGUAUGACAUAAACUCAGAAUGAAAUAUAUUUUCCUAAUAAUGUUUCUAUGAUAUACAAAUGAUAUAUUUAUUAUUUUAAACCCUUCACUACAACCUCUAACCAAGUUACAGAUCAAAUUAGGUGAUCAGAAAUUUACUCCGGUGAGAGUGAGACAAUCAAAGUCAACACUUGGAUUAGAUAAUUUGCUAUCUUCAAUAAGAUUAGAAGCUUUAACAAGUAAGAUUCAUUAUAUAAAACACUAGUUUCUUAUUUCAAAUUUAUAAUCUAAAACUUUAGUAGAAAUUAAUUCAAUCUUACUUUCCUAAUUAUAUUCAGGUACAGAAAAUGAAGAAAACCAUACAAAUCUUUUAUCAGUUCCUAUUAGUCAGUCAUAUUCUGAUAUAGGUAGAGAUCAUUAUUUUAAAGUAAUGUAAACCAUACAUCCACCAUAUAACUCAAUUCCAAAAUAAAACCCGUUCUGUAAUUUCUUUACAUGUCCCGUGAUUUUUUUUUAAAGUAGUAAUUUUUAAAAUUUAAAAAUUAUUUAUUAUGUAUAAAAGUUUUGCAAAUUGUAUCAUUCUCUAAUAUAUUUAUAUUUUAUAGUUUAAUUUUAUAUAUAGUAACAUUAUGCAUACCACAUAACAUUUUUGGUUUUAUAUAAUCUUUUUUAAAUUAGGAUGAUUUGAUAUGUUUAAUAUUAGUAGUCUUAAAAAAUAAUAAAUUAAAGAUUUAACUCGUAUUAAAACAGUGGAUUAAUUAUAUUUUACCUUUUUAUUAAUGUUGAUUCAAAAAUUCGUCUUGCCAAAAAGCCAUUUAUUUUAUUAAUAUUAAUUUUAUUUAUGAUAUGACUCUGAAUUAUACUCUAAAUAUUUUAGGUAAUAACAUAGGAGUGCACCAUAUUUAUUUAAUAGGGGAAUGUACCAUAUGACCCGAAUGCACUUUUACCCAAAUCCACCAAAAAAGUCUUGCAAAAAUACUAUAGAGAUAAGAAACGAUAGUCGGUUUUGAUAGGUAUAAGAUUAGCAAAUAUAUUAGUUAGCUUAAAUUAUUUAAAGAAUACAAAUUGAAAAGGUAAAUUACACUUUAUUCGAAUAUAGUAUCAAAACUUAUAUAACACAUAGAUUUGAUAAUUUUUUAAUUGUUGAAUACUUUUUUUUUGUGCUAAUUUUUAUGUGAUUAAGAUUUAAUUGAUUUCGUAUAUAAAAUAUUAAACUGUUUUACGAACUUAUUUGUUUAUAAUUUGGUAACAGAUAGAUAUUUGAAUAUUCAGUAUAUUUUGCUUCAGUUUAGUAAAUCUUUGAUGAACCGUCUUUAGAUCCAAUAAGCCCUAUAAUUAAGAGAUGAAUAUUGUCGUUAAAUGAUUUUGGUAACCUUAAUGAUGUCAUUAAAGGAUUUUGUUUUUGAUUAAAUUUUUCUAAUGGCAUUGUCAUGUAAUUAAUUACAAAAAUUAAGGUUACAUUUAAAAUGUACUACCCAAAUAAUAUAAUAGGAUUUUAAAUUGUGUAGCAGUAGAUAUUACUGGAUUUACUUAGAAAUAUAAAAUCAUAAAUCAGAUCAUUAUGAUAAAUGCGAAUAUAUCAUCCUAUAUAUGUUUAUUUAUAUGACGUGCACACAUUCAACAAUUUCUUAUAUACAUGUAUUUAAUAUAACAUGCAGAUGCUGAAAAUAUUAUUCCUAUUGGCAAUUCACAAAUACAUACCAUGCCACCACGAAUUAAUACCUCUCUUUCUUUUGUUUUCAAAGACUACUGAAGCAAAAUGAGAACCAUUAGAACUCAGCAAAUGGAAAACGAUAGAAUUUAUAUUUUACCAGCAGCAGAAAAAGGUUGGUUUAUAGAUUUUAUUGACAAACAUUUACAUUAAUUUGGAAAACAAAAAUAUAUCCAUCUUUGAUUAUUAUCAUUUUCUGUUAACAAUGAUCAAAUAAUUGGAAAGACAACUUCAAAAUCUAAAUCAAGUAAUCCAAAGUAUCGGAACUUAGAGGAAGAAUUUGAUGAUGCAAUAUAGACAUAAUAUUCUGAAGGCAAGUAUAAUUUAAACAUUAAUGAUUUUUUCAUUUUGAAAAUUUGUGAUAAGUUAUUGUUUUCAAAACUAUUGUAGAUGAUGUCGAGCAAACGUAUUUAUACAAUAGCAGUGAUGAGGAAGAUCUUACUCUGUCUGAAUCUGAUGAAGAACUGCCUACUAUCAACCAAGAUCUAUUUACAGGUGGAGACUUCAGUAAUCUAUCUACAAAGAGAAACAAUGUAAAACAACAAAGGAUGAUUCAGGUAUUUAAACAAGAAUUUUAUAUUUUAAUACAGAAAAUCUAUAAAAUUUGUAUAUAGUACUGCAUUUUUAUUAUUAGGUUAUCUAGAUCAUGGUGAUCCGACAUACAAGUGUCGUUUUUGUGGAGCUAUAAUGUGGUACGACGAGCAUUUUAACAAAGAAGGAGAUCUAAAAAUCCGACGUUUUUCUCUGCUGUUUGCAUGGGACUAUAAAACUUCCAUUUUUGAAAAAAUCUCCGGAAUGCCUAACAAAGUUACUUACAGGAAUAGAUCGACAAAGUAGACAUUUUCAAAAAAAUCUCAAACCGUACGGAAUAGAAUUUUUAAUGACUUCACUUGGUGGUAAAGUUGAUAGGUCAGUUCAAAAAGAAAAAUGAUCAAAUAUGUUUCAACUACAAGGAGCAAAUUAUCAUCUCACUGGAAGUAUGAAGCCUAAGGAAAACUAUUAUGCAAAGUUUUCACAACUUUACAUUGUUCAUACAGAAAAUGAAUUUACAAAUAGGGAAACUGUUUUAAGGUAAGCUAUGUAUUCUUAUUUUUUCCGACUAUAUGUUAAUAUAAAUGUUGACAUUUUUUAAUACUUUUUAUGCAGUAAGGGGAAAGACAGUUCAACUUAAAAAAGCAACAAUAAACUGAAGCAAAAAAUCAUUAAAAUGCUCAUCAAAAUGCUCGAUGAAGUCAACCCAUAUUUAGAAAACUUGAGAAUAGCUAGGGACAAAAUUUAAACUAAUACAAGUGAGACUUUCUAUAUGCGUAUUGUUAGUGAUCGUAUAGGUAAGGAUGGAAAGAAUUAUUACAACCAACAACAUCUGAAGUGGCUGUAGUGAUUCCUGGGGAUUUUGUGAAAGGAAUGUCAUCUCGUGACAUAAUCAUUAAAGACAAAACAACUGGCAGACUACAAAGGAUUAGUGAAAUUCAUCCCUCUUAUUCGCUACUACAAUAUCCUUUCAUUCUCUACUAUGGUGAAGAUUGUUUCAGAACUAAGAUACAGAAAGGAUACACUGGGAAAAGCAAUACCUGCAAGAUUAAGUCCACUAGUAUGGGACAAUGGUUUUCUUUUCGGGUUCAGGAAAAGGAGAAUGAAAGCCAUACUCUUCAAUUGUGUAGGAGAUUGUUUCAACAGUUCUUGGUUGAUGGUUAUUCAACAAUUGAAGCUAAUAGGUUGUCUUAUAUUAAAUUCAAUUAAUCAAAAAUUCGUUGUGAGAAAUUCAGUAACAUCAAAGAAGCGGCUGCAGCUGGAAACAAAAAAAUGAAUGAACAUGGAAGACCUUUGAUUAUUACUUCCUCAUUCACCGGUGGUCCUCGAGAUAUGGUACAACAAUAUUACGAUGCAAUGGCCAUAUGUAAACACUACGGAUUUCCAGAUCUAUUCAUCAGUUUUACGUGUAAUCCUAAGUGGCCAGAAAUUAUUAGGUAUUGUAAAGAACGUGGUUUGAAUCCUGAUGAUACUAUGAUAGACCAUAUAUUAUAUGUCGUGUUUUCAAGAUUAACCUUGAUUCACUUAUGUUUGAUUUGACUGAAAAACAUCUUCUUGGAAAACUGUCGCAGGUAAGUUAUCUAUAUAUUUAUUUAUUGCUUAAUAUAUAUACAUAUAUAUCUUAAAUAGUUUUGAAAAGUAAUGAUUAUAUUUUUCUCAUGCAGAUAUAUAUAUACAGUUGAAUUUCAAAAAGAGGUCUGCCACAUGCUCAUAUACUGUUAUUCAUGGCAUCUAGGAGUAAGCUACCAUCUUCUGAGGAUAUUAACUGGAUAAUUUGUGCUGAAAUACAAGACAAACAAAAGAACCUAGAAGUUUAUGAGGUCAUCAAAGAGUCGAUGAUACACGGCCCUUGCGGUGCAGCGUUUACAAAUUGUCCAUGUAUGGUAGAUGGUAAGUGUUCAAAGAUGUAUCCUAAGCCUCAUGCUAACUUGAUCUAAAGUAGGAUAUCGAGCUCAUAUCAAUGUGGAGUGGUGUAAUCAAACAGGUUCCAUCAAAUACUUAUAGGAGGCGGGAGACAUAAGAUUUUUUUGAAAAGUGUGGAUUUAAGUGUGACAACAGGUAUGCUGUACCUUACAAUGGGAAGUUAUCGUUGCGAUAUCGAGCUCAUAUCGAUGUGGAAUGGUGUAAUCAAACAGGUUCUAUCAAAUACUUAUUCACGUAUAUUAAUAAAAGACCUGAUCGUGUUGUUGUGGUUGUUGAGCCUAUAAACAAGAGUCAAACUUCAAAUACAGUUUCUGAGAACAUUCCUAAAUAAGAUAAGCAAAGAAGAAUGAAAUCAAGGAUUACUUUGAUCAAACUUUAAAUCAUGUUAGCAAGAAACAAUUUGUUAUAUAAUUUAUAAUAAGGAUAUUUUAUAUUAAAAUUUCUUUGUUUUGUAAUCAUUUGCGGAUAUGUAUCUGUUUCAGAAGCAAUAUAGAGGAUUUUUAAAUUCCCAAUUCAAUUUAGAACUACACUGGUGCAUAAGCUUUCUUUCCACAAAGAAGGAAAUCACCCGUGUUGUUUCGAUGAGGAUGAAGAUAUUUAAGAUGUUUUGGAAAAAAAAUAUGAAGAUUCUCAGUUUACUGCUUGGUUGUAUUUGAAUCAUGACAAUUUUGCAAAGACCCUCACUUAUUCUGAGAUACGAGUACAUUAUACUUGGGAUGGGAAGAACAAGCAAUGGAAUAUAUGUAUAAGAGGAUUCUCUUUAGGUAGGAUAAGUUACGUCCCACAAAAAAUGGAAGCUGAAUAUUUUAUGCGUAUAUUACUUAACAUAGUACGAGGUCCUACAUGUUUUGAUGAUAUCAAAACAUUCAAAUGGAUUGUUUACGAAACAUUUAAAGAAGCAUGUUAGGCACUUGAAAUUUUAGAUGAUGAUCAAAUUAUAUUGAUGGUAUCGUUGAUGCAAGCCAAUGGUUAUUUGGAGAUGAUCUUUAGAAUCUAUUUGCUAAUAUGAUGCUGUCUAAGUCUUUAUCAAGAGCAGAACAUGUUUGAGAAGCAACAUGACAUAUUUUAUCAGAAGAGAAGAGAGAAGAAUUUAAUAACCCAGGUUUGUACUAUGUUUCAUACGAACCAUUUUUAAUCAUUUGUUUAGAUUCAUAGUGAUUUGCUUCUUAUUUUUAGGACAUGUUAAUAUACGUUUCAGAUUUCAUUUUAUGUGAAGUUGACAAGAGAAAUUAUAAUCUUCAGGAGAUGGAGAAACUAUUUCUUAUGAAUGGUUAUUGUUUGACAAACCUUAAGACCUUUCCUUAUACAACAAGAGAAACAAUUGAUAAUUCUAAUAGAUUGAUUGUUGAUGAGAUGAGAUAUGACAUAAGUGAACAGAUAGAAAAGCACAACGAAUGGUUCACUAUGCUGACAAUGGAGAAAAAAACAAUUUUUGAUGAGAUAAUGUGUGUAGUUGAUUCUCAAUGAUGUGGAGUUUUCUUUGUUUAUGGUUUUGGAGGUACUGGCAACAAUUUUUGUGGAAAACAUUAUCAGCUGCUAUCAGAUCCAAAGGAAAAAUCGUGCUCAAUGCUGCAUCGAGUGGGAUAACUUCAUUACUUUUACCCGGUGGACUGACAGAACAUUCCAAAUUUGCUAUUCCUUUAAAUCCAGAUGAUACCUUAUAAUAUUUGAGAUUUAAUGAAGGAAGCUUCUCUUAUAAUAUGGGAUGAGACACCAAUGAUGAGUAAGUUUUGUUUAGAAUCAUUUGAUAGAAGUUUAAAUGAUGUGUGCUUGGAAAACAUGAUAACAUGCCUUUUGGUGGUAAGGUAAUUUUAGACAAAUUCUUCCCAUAAUCCAGGGGGCAGAAAGAGCUAAAAUAGUAUUAUCUUCAUUAAAUGCAUCUUCUCUGUGGGAGAAAUGCAAAUUACUAAAGCUAACUAAGAAUAUGCAACGUCUAACCAACAUAAUUCAAACAUGUUCACAACAUAACGACUUUUCUUAUCAAAACUUAAAAAAUUGAUAUUAUGUAGCUUGAAUAUUAUGUUGUGAACAUGUUUGAAUUAUGUUGUGUGUUUGAAUCAAGGUUCUUUGUUUGUUUAAUACAGUUUGAAGCAAGAUAUGUGUCUUUUGACAUCACUGAUAACAUGUAAGUUUACAUUAUCUUUGCUAUAUUAUUUUAUGUUCAGUUUGUAUUUUUUGGACCAAAACAUCAUUAUUUAUAAAAUGUUUUAAAAUUUUGUGGUUGAAGGGGAAAGGUUAUAACUUGUUUUGUAAAUGGUAGCUCUUGUCAGUUUUUCGUCACAAACUGGUUUAAGAAAAUAACUUAUGUGACUUAUAACUAUGAGCCAGUCCUCAUUGUUAUACGUUUCUUGAAAUUCUCGGAGUUCAAUGGUAAGUUUGUUAGAGUUUUCCAUUCGUGAACAAUGUUUGAAUGCAAUUAAACUGCAUUUUGUUUUUUCUUUUUGUUUAGGUAAUAACUGCAAUUAAACUUUACAUUAAUCCAACUUUUACUGAUUUUGACACUCGGAGAUACUUGUAAGUAACAUUCUAUCAUAUAAAGAGUAUAUACCAAACUUUAUUUUACAUGUUUUACACAGACAUGUCUUUGAAGUUGGACAAGUUUAUGAUUAUGUGAAAAUGGAGUUGGAUCAUGAUAACUAAAGUGGAUAUAGAUUGAUGUCUUAUUGUCGAUCGUCCGACGUAUUGCAUAGUCACCAAGAGUGUAUCGAUCGACACUCCUCGUUGAUUCCUGAACCAAAAUCGUCUUUAGCUUCCUUUUUCUUAGCUUUUGCUCCAAAAUGUCUCCUUAUCUCUAUUAUUGUCCCAUUGAAUAGAAUACCUGAAAAACACUAAAAACACUCGAGAAAUAACAUAAAAACUCAAAAUCCUAUACCUAAAACAUAGUUAAAAUCGGUGAAAAUCGGGUUAUAUCAGUAAUGCAAGUUCCCAACCAAUCAAUGUUGAAGAUGAUGGAAUAAUAAGUCGACCUCCGGGUGUCAAGGCAGCAAAAGCGAAAGGAUAGAAGUCAGCCACUAUUAAAGAAGGAAAGAAAUCUGCUAGUAUUAAAGGAGAAGCAGACCAGUCAUCAGUCGAACAUUUUCAGAGCUUAUAGGAGCUUAAGGAGAAGGAUUGGGAUCACAAAGAGAAGCAAAGCAAUCAGAUACUUGAAAGUCUCUUUAGUGACUUAAGUGUCAGAAGUUUUCUCUCUCUUAACUCUCUCAAAUCUUUUAGAGAGAAAAAACUUUGAAUCUUGUUCAUAUCUUUUGCUAAUCCGAUUAACAUCGGAUCUCUUUAGAUUUCGUUUUAUGUUUUAGCUUUCUGACUAUUUUUCAGAUCUAUCUCAAACUUCUUGUCGGUUUUUCUUCUAUACUUUGUUUCGAUUUGUAGUUUUUUUGUAAAGCCUUUUGCCUGUUCUUCAAAUCAACACUUCUAUGUUGUUGAAGUGUUAAAUCAUUGUGGUUUGAUGGGUCUUUGUUAGCUGUGUACUUGAUUCUUCGUCCAAUUGUUGGUAAAUCCUCGCUUGCCCAUAUGGGAUUAAAUUAAGCGAUUGUUCACUUUGGUCGUUUGAUUUCAAGUGGUUGUAGUUGAUUGAAUUGGAGUAUGUAGAUUUGGAGUCCCUGUCGUGUUUGAUAGUUUCUCUGAAGACUGCUUCGAUUUUUAGCGGUUAAAGAAGAAAUCCGAUGAGCAAAGUAAAUCAAGUCAAUUACUUCCAAUGUUCAUUGCAAAAGGCGAUUGGUAAAAAGAAAGGCUUAAUCUGGUAGAAGCUGUUCGAAGAUGAUGAAGAACUGGAAGGUAAAGAAAUAUGCCGGUGACUGGAAGUAAUUCCCCGACGACAAUGGAGUUAAUGAAGAAACAACUUUUCUCCAGACCUGCCACGUGCCCGUGUUUAUCUUUUGUUAAGACAUGUGUCUAUGAGCUGUAUUGAUAUAAGCUUUAAUCUGUGUCUUUGGUUUAUAUUAAAUAUUUAAAUGGGUCUUGUACUUUAUGUGUAAUGCCCUUUGGGCUCUUUAAUGAAAUGAAGUUUGACGAAAAGAAAAGAAAAGUGUCAGGCAAUUUUUUGGAAUAAACAAUCCUCAGUUAUUUCAGGUCAAGAUGACAAAGUAUUUUCCGAGCAGCUCGACAAACUUCACAGUCUAUUCAGGUUAUAAUCAUAAAAAACAAGCAACCAAGUUUGUGGAUGUGAUACUAAAAAGAAAAUUGAUGUCCUAUGCUGUAAUUUCCAAACAAACUCUCAAGAUUAUUAGACUAUUGGUGGUUCUUUGGAGAUUUAGAAAUAGGCUAGUCUUAUCAACAUUAUUAGAUUAUUGAUGUUCUCAAAUUGUCUAUUUUUUAGGGUUCUAAAUAGAUUAGUGAUAAAUAAUAAAUAAGAAAUAGGUGUUUGUAAACUGGAAAAAUGUUAAAUUUUAAAAUUCCUCCAAAUAUAUACCCACAAUGUUUCACUGUAAAUUGUCUCUCAAAUCAUAUGAUAUACAAUUUUACUACAACAUCCCAAUUUGCAAUAACGAGAGAUUUAAAAAUAUUUUUAUAAAUGUUUAAUCAAAGAACCAUAGAUUUGGCAUUACGACAAAAAAAAGAAAAGAAAAUAAACAUAGAUUUAGAAUGAUUUUAACAAAUGAAAUUUGGAACGGUAUAAUUAUAAUACAUUUGAGAAAAUCAUUGGUGCAAUAAGGGGUGAUAGUUUUUUAAAACACAAAUCCUCCCAAAUCAACAAUUCAGUAUGCCUCCUAUUAAUAAUAAUAAUAAUAAUUAAAAUUAAAAUUAAAAUUUCAAAUAUAAAUUACAAUGAAAAGGUGAAAAAUAGAUAUAACUAAAUCAGUAAAAAAUAUGUUUUCUUCACAUAUUUAUAUAUUUUCUUUAUUAAAAUGUUUAAUACAACAUUCCAUGAUUUUGUUUUUGUAAUGUAUACAAAAACAAACUAAAACAAUUUACUAAGUUAACAAACUUUAAAAUAUCAAAUGUGAACUAUAUCUGGGCGUAGAUAUAAAGACGAUGUUCUAGAUUUAUUGUUUAGUAUCGUGUAAUCUGUGGUUGAGUAAUAAGAAGAUUCUUAUACAGUAGCUAUCCAAAAUCAUCAUCAAUCACACCAUAAAAGAGAGAAAACUAAAUUUGUAAACUUAUUUUAUGGGUUCAUUGAUCUCCAGGAGUUCAUUAGCCCUGGACUGGAUUCCUUUGAGAUACUCGGUCAAGAUAAGCUGAUGGUAUGAACCAUCUUCCUGGUCUGAUCAAAAUAAAUUUGGUCAGAAUGAUAAAUUCUGGAAAACCGUAUUGGUAACCAUCUCGUUCAAACACAAAUCAAAACCCGGUUAGCCUCACACUCAUUGUGAACAGAUAUUUUAACCAUCUGUUCUAGCCUUGUCAAACCUUGUCAAAUCAAAUCUAUGGGCGUAUCAUUUGGGCCCGCUAGAUCUAUUAUUGGGCCGUAACACUUAUUCUUUGGUCCAUUAUAAUUUUAUUUUCCGAUAAGUAAGAAUAACCAUAUGACACUACAAGAAGAUAAGCUCUUUCCGACGGACGAAAUCGUCGGAAUAACGUCGGAAACAGCCGUAUUCGACGAAUUUUUAACGACAUAGAUGGUCGAGACUAUCUUGUCGGAAAUGUGAAUGUCGACGCAAACGUGUUACAAAUUACCAACGGGUUUCCGACGAGAUAUUUCCCGAUAAUUUCUCUAUGCUUUUCUAACGAUAACAUUGGUUGCGAAACUGGUUGGAACAUAGUCGGAAAUGAUCGUCGGAUCCUCGUCGAAAAUAGUUUCCGACUAUUUUCUAACGAAUAUUGUUGUCAGGCAUUGCAUCAGAACGUUGUUAAAAAUCGGUCGGUAUCUUCUUCGACGGUUUCCCGACAACGUUAUUCCCGAUGGAUUCCCGACGAAGUAUUUCCGAUGGGUUACUGACGUUGUUGUAUUUUCUGACGGGUUACUGACGUUGUUGUAUUUUCCGACGGGUUACCAAAAAUCGUUUAUUCUUCGGGUUUUUUAACAUUCUCCUUUGUCUCUUCUCUUCUCUUAUCUUCCCCAACACCCCCCCACCCCCCGCAUCAAUUUCAAAUCCUAAUCUUUCGAAUCGUGGAGAAAAACCCUAUGUUUCUGAAUCUAAUGGUGGUAGUUUUGUUUCUUUAUUGGCGAUGGCAAAAUUAGGGGAAACACACGGUGGAUUUAUCCGCUCUUGUUGGUCGAGACGCAGGGGAAUCUUUCCUUUCUCUCAAGUUUAAGACGACAGAGCUUUCUAAUAUCAGUAUCACCAACGGAUGCUACGCCUCUAUGCGCUCGCCAAGUGGUGUAAGUCAUUCUCUGUUUCUACAAGUAUUUUUAAUGAUGUGGUGGAAGAUUAGGGUAUGGUUUUGUUUAAUCAUGAUCGAUUAGUUUUGAACACAUUUCUCUAGGGAUGAUUUACAGAACUGGAAGAUCCUACGAUGAUUUGUGGUGGAAGAUUAGGGUAUGGUUUUGUUGAAUCAUGAUCGAUUAGUUUUGAACACAUUUCUCGUAGGAUGAUUCACAGAAUUGGAAGAUCCUAGGUUGUUGAUGCUUGCUUGUGUUCUCUAUGUGAAUUGAAUGUUGAUAUCUAGUGUUUUUGGUUGUUUUAAAACCUCUUUUCUCUUAAUUUUUUGUUGCUUUGCAUUCAUAUUUUGGGAUAUAGUAUUGCAUUUGCAUUUGCAUUUGGUUUUCUUAGGUACAUGAGUGGAGUUUAGAAUUUUGAAAGUAAAAUGCAGCAAAUGGAGCAAACAAAUGAGCUAAGACAAUGUAAAGUGACCAAGGAGGAGAAGCUAGGAGGACAAUAGACCAAGUGGUCGAUUGCGUGGUCGAUUGCGUGGUCGAUUGGUCAGGACCAGAGCUACGAAGAAAAUUUAAAUCUACCAAAGUGGUCGAUUGCGUGGUCGAUUGGUCAGGACCAGAGCUAUGGAGGAAAUUUGAAUCUACCAAAGUGGUCGAUUGCGUGGUCGAUUGGUCAAGGAUUAAUGAUGGGGACGAUAUUUGAAUCUACCAAGUGAUCUAUUGCUUGGUCGCUUGCUUUCCUAAACCGGGUCAAAAUCCGAUUUGUUCCGUGUUGAUCCGGUUUAUUUUCUCAUUACUAUAAAUACUCUUAACCUAGUUUUAGAGAGGCGAGCUUUUGUUUUAGAGAUCAAAACUUCUUUUAAGGUUCUUUAUCUUAAGUUUUUGUAUGAAUCUUGGUUAGUUGCGUUUUGAAUCAAAGUUUACCUUUUAAAUCUCUUAUCUACCUUCUCUAAUUAUGAUUACACAAAGACCAAACCUAUUCCUUUGUGCUUUCAUGAUCAUGAGUGAGUAGUCAUUUAGAGUUCUUUGGUUAGGGUAGAUUAGGAUGAUUUAGAUGUUGGGUUAUGGAGUUUAGGGCUAGAUCACUACAAGAAAAGUGAGUAUUAAUAGCACUGAGUUAUAGCGUUUUAUGUAGUAUUGCUAUUAAUGAGUAACCACUGAUUUUUAGAUAGCGUUUAGAAUUUAUAAAACGCUAUGAAAGGUUUUUACUAAAAAACGUGUUUAUUAAAGUUGGUAUAUAAGAGUUUUGAUUGCAGAUCCAUAUUAAAACGCUACGGAAUCAUAAGCGGGAACUAAAAAAUUUUGGGCUCCAAAAAGCCUUUGACCAAAGACUUAGGCUCCAAAAAUAAUUUUCCUCGACUGUUCUUCUCCUUUGACUGUUCUUCUCCUUUUCAUCUCUCUCUAGCUCUUGAACUUCUUCACUGCUAAAAAAUUAAGAGGUUCUAUCUUCACUCUUCCUUACCAUCUGAGAUUGUCGCAUCUAUCUUCACUCUUGCUCUCUCGUCGAAAUUCGUACUCGACCACAAAUCCCAUCCAUCGUCUUCGUCCGCUUCAAGGUUGUAAUUUUUAGGGUUAAUGCAUGUAUGAUUUUGGGGUUUAGAUCUUGUUUUGUUUUGUUUCAAUUGAAGUUUUAAGAGUUUGGGGUUUUGAUUUGUCACAAUUUUGCUUCUUUUUAAUUGAAUCGAUUUGGGUUCUCGAUUUAGUUCACUAGGCUUUGAAAUUCUUUCUUUGAUGUUUCGAUUAGGGGUCUUGGCAACUCACAUUCGCCGAACAUUGUCUGAAACUGACACCAGUAUUUAGGGUUUUGCUUCAUCAAAAUUGUUAUUGUUUCGAUUUGUAUUUGGAUUUUUAGAUCUAUAAAUUGUACAGCACGAAUAGUUAUAGUCGAUUAUGAUGUCUUGUUUUUGGUUUGAUUCUUGUGUUGUCUUUAUUUUAGUGGUUUGAUUCAUGUCUUGUUUUCUGCAGUUCGAGUUUCGCAUAGACGAAGGACUAGCACUAGCAGGUAAUGGUUGAGUGGUUUAGUUCUUCUCUUAACUCAGCUGUAUUGCGAUUCAUGGAAUAAAAGUUUGUGUUUUUUUGCAGUCUCGGGUUUUACAAUUCACAAGAUCCCUCAUAGAUUCUUCUUCUGUGCAGGUAUUUGGUUUCUCUUUGUGUGAUUACCUUUAUUUGAUCCUCAUGGUUGGUGUCUGACAUAUAGAGUAACUCUAAUACUUGUGUGUUUAACUGCUGGUCGAGCUUUGGAGUUAUUGUUUUAAUAUGGAGAAGUCUUGGGUUUGGCUGCCAAGGUAAGCUUAUGAUUGUUAUUUACGUUGUUCUCUUAUACUUACAGUGAUUAUAUUGGAGUUAAUUUGUUAAUUUUAUUGACUAACAGGGCUAGCCCUGAAUAUGGAGAAGGAGCUAAUAAUUUUGUUGAGGCGCCAGCCAGGAGAUUGGGUAAUCCUGAGGAUAUUUUAUGUCCCUGCAGUGAUUGCCGGAAUGUUUGCCAUCAACCAUUAGGGACAGUAGUAGAUCAUUUGGUGAUUAGAGGUAUGGAUCAAGAGUAUAAGAUGAAUACUUGUUGGAGCAAACAUGGAGAUAUCAGGGAUCAUCAGCGGACUGAUGUUCAGACUUCUGAGUUUGAGGCUUAUGACUUGAUUAGGACUGCAUUUUAUCAGGGAGAAGAAAAUCUGCAGUCUCAGACUGAGAGUGGUGAUCAGGGUUCUCAUGUUGAGAGUAAAGAAGAAUCAAAGAGUUUAGGCAGAAACUGAUUGAUGCAGAAACUCCUCUAUACUCGACGUGUCCCAGCUAUACUAAAGUUUCUGCAAUCAUGGCACUCUAUCGCAUAAAGGUUAAAAGUGGUAUGUCUGAGAACUACUUCGAUCAGCUCUUGUCAUUAGUGCACGACAUGCUACCCGUGGAUAAUGUUCUACCAAAAUCCACAGAUGAGAUGAAGAAGUUCUUGAAGCUAUUUGGUUUUGGUUAUGAAAUGAUUCACGCAUGCCAGAAUGAUUGCAUUCUGUAUAGGAAGCAGUAUGAGCAGUUAGUAAGCUGUCCACGAUGUAGUGCAUCAAGAUGGGAAAAGGAUAAGCACACAGGAGAGGAAAAGAAAGGGAUUCCAGCGAAGGUUUUACGGUAUUUUCCAAUCAAGGAUAGAUUCAGGAGGAUGUUUAGAUCAAAGAGAAUUUCUGAGGAGUUGCGUUGGCAUUUCAGUAAUGCAAGUGUAGACGGGUCAAUGAGACAUCCAGUUGAUUCAUUGACUUGGUUUCAGGUGAGGGAUAAAUAUCCAAAGUUUCCAGCUGAACUAAGGAACCUUCGUCUUGGGCUUUCCACAGAUGGGAUGAAUCCAUUCUCAAUGCAGAAUACGAAGUACAGUACAUGGCCGGUUAUGUUGGUGAACUAUAACAUGUGUCCGACUAAGUGUAUGAAAGCUGAGAACAUCAUGUUAACUAUGCUCAUUCCAGGACCUACUGCGCCGAGUAACAACAUAGACGUGUAUCUUGCACCUCUUAUAGAUGAUCUAAAUGAUCUUUGGAAAGAAGGAAUUGAGGUUUAUGAUUCUUAUGCUAAGGAGAAUUUUAGACUUAAAGCUAUAUUAUUGUGGACUAUCAGUGAUUAUCCGGCUUUAAGGACUCUAGCUGGCUGUAAGGUUAAAGGGAAACAGGCGUGUAACGUUUGUGGCAAAGAUACACCACAUAGGUGGCUAAAGUUUAGUCGGAAGCAUGUUUAUUUGGGAAACAGGAAGCGACUAAGGCCAGGACAUCCCUACAGAAGGAAAAAGGCUUGGUUUGACAACACAGUUGAGGAUGGAACUGUGAAUAGAAUUCAGACAGGAUCUGACAUAUUUGAGACACUUAAGGACUUUAGAAAUGAUUUCGGAAGACUUUUGGAUAAGAAAACAAAGAGGAGCAGAACAGAUUUGGGAGAUGAGGAUCUGGUUUUAGAAGAAGAAUAUGAAGAAUAUACAGAUCAGUGGCGGUGGAAGAAGAGGUCAAUACUCUAUGAAUUAGCAUACUGGAAGGUUUAGUUCAUUCAGAAGAAGUAUAGUGUUUUCUUUGUGAACUAGUUUUGUUGUUUGUCCUAACUUAUUUUUCUUAUUUUUCAGGAUAUGUCAGUCCGUCACAACAUAGAUGUGAUGCAUGUGGAGAAGAACUGCUUUGAUGCAUUAUUGUCCACUCUAAUGCAAAGUUCUAAAUCCAAAGAUGGAUGAAGGCAAGGAAGGAUUUGGAAGACAUAGGAAUUCGAUCACACUUACACACAGAGGUAAGAGGAAAGAAGACUUACUUGCAUCCUGCAGCUUAUUGGUUAUCUAAGACAUAGAAAAAGGGUUUUUGCAGUAGGCUAGCUAAAUUCAGAGGGCCUGAUGGUUAUUGCGCUAAUAUCUCAAAUUGUGUUUCAGUAGAUCCUCCAAUAAUUGGUGGCCUGAAGUCACACGAUCAUCAUGUACUUAUGCAAAAUCUCUUGCAUGUGGCGUUGCAAGGGUUUCUGCCUAAAGGCCCCAGAAUUGCAGUUACCCGUCUAUGCAAUUACUUCAGUAGACUGUGUCAGCGUGUCCUUGAUCCAGAGAAGCUUCUUGCAUUAGAAGCUGAAGUUGUUGAGACAAUGUGUGAAAUGGAGAGGUUCUUUCCUCCUUCACUUUUCGAUAUUAUGUUCCACCUUCCCAUACAUUUAGCAAGGGAAGCACGAUUGGGUGGCCCUGUUCAUUUUCGUUGGAUGUAUCCAUUUGAAAGGUACAUUUUCUUGAAGCUUUGUUUGGUCUGUCUCAAUUUUAAAAGUGAAAACCACUUAACUUUAUUUGUACUGUUUUGAAUGAUGAUGUCAGGUACAUGAAAACACUGAAAGCAUAUGUUAAAAACUAUGCUAGGCCAGAGGCAUGUAUGGCUGAGGGGUAUUUGGCUGGAGAAUGCAUAGCAUUCUGUACUGAGUUUCUUCAGAAUUCAUUACCACCCCAAGAAGAAGUCAAUCAAAAUGAAGACCUUGAAACAGAUGAGAAUAUCCUAGAGGGUCGACCGCUGAAUAAGGCUACUGAAGUUACUCUAACAGAGAGAGAGAGAGAUAUUGCACAUCGAUAUGUUUUAAUGAACAUGGCAAUAGUAGAUCCAUAUAUUGAGUAAGUUCUAUCUUCAUUCUUGUCAGUUUGUUCAGCUUAACUUGUAUAAUCAACUUACAGACCUUGUUACUGCAAGAUGCAUCUAGAGGAAUUGCAAGCAGUCGAUGCUAGAUGCUCUAAAAACGAAACUUUGUUAUGGAAACUUCAUAACGACAGGUUUCCUCAGUGGAUCAAAGAGAAGGUAAUGUUGUCAUCGAUUAGAGAAUGUUUGGUCUGUUGAUAAAAGAGACUUUAUGUGUCAUUGAUUAGUAUUUUGUACUGUUUUCCUGUUAGAUACCUACUAAUUCAAAGGAGCAUUCUACAAAGCUGAGAUGGCUUGCAUUUGGUCCAAGACUUGUUGCUCAGACCUAUAAGGGCUAUAUUAUAAAUGGUAAUCGGUUCCACACAGAGGAUGUAAGGCGAAAGACUCAAAACAGUGGUUUAACAUAUGAAGCUUUCAGUAUGUGUAGAUCAAGUGCCAAAGAUACUAGACACCAAGCAGACAUAGUAGCAUUUUACGGAGUGAUUAAGGAUAUCAUAAUGUUGGACUACCACAUGUUCCAGAUUCCCAUUUUCAAUUGUAGUUGGGCCAACAAAGGGAAUGGUGUGAAAGAAGAAGAUGGAUUUACACUUGUGAAUCUUCAUUUGAGUCAAGCUGCGUUUCUGCAAGAUCCUUACAUCCUGGCAUCACAAGCAAAACAAGUUUUCUAUUCUAGAGAAAGUGACUUGAGUCAGUGGUAUGUUGUUAUGAAGGCGCCACCAAGAGGGUAUCAUGAAUUAGAGACAGAAGAGGAGAGUGUUAGUCAGUUGUUAGUCCACCCAAUAGAAGACAUGGGAAAUCAAUCUUCAGAUGAUGAAAGUUUUUGUGCUAGAGAUGAUUGUGAAGGGCUCUUAGUAUUAGAAUAGUUGUUGACUUGUCAUUUUUAAUCACUUUUUAAAAAUUGAUCUUGUUGCAGGGGAACCAGAAUGAUGUCAAGUCAAGCUAACACCAAACCACGUCGCAGUAAGCGUCAACAGGGACUUGAGGUGAGUCCUUUUGAAGUAAGAAAAGUUAGGAAAAACAAGAAGCAAGCGAGUCCUCUUAAGCCUGUGAGAGAGGAAAACAAUGAGUUGAGUGUUGAUGAGGGAGAUGAGCAAGUUUCAGACCUUAAUGAAGAAGAUGCAGACCUUAAUGAAAGCAAUCAGGAUUUACCUGCUGAUGAUAAUGCACAGCAUGAGAGCAUUCAGGAGCCAAUCGAAGAAGACACAACUAGAGUUUCAAACCAGAGUGAAGAAGCACAAUCCCAUCAGUCAGGGACUAACAAAUAGAGAACUAGAGGUCCAUCUAAGAUGCGUAAACUGGCUAAACAUCUAGAUGAUAAGGUCGAUGUUGAAUUUACAGAAUUGGGUGAACACUUUGGGAAUGGUUCAGUCAAACUGUCGUCCUUUCUUGGUGCACUAGUCAGGGAGCAUGUACUUGUGAUACUUGAUGAUUGGAAGCACCUUGAUGAACUUACAAGACACGCACUUUGGGAGGAAAUUCAGGUAUGUAUAACAAUUUAUUUAGUUUACCAGAACGUUCCCUUGUGACUCUUAGUUAACAAUCUAAACUUAUGUAGGGGAGGUUUAAUCUGCAAGAAGAAUGGCAAAAACAAGCUAUUUUUAGGCAGAUGGGUUGUUUGUGGAGGUCCCAUAAAUCUAAGAUUCUCUCAAAGGUUAAAGCUGCAAAGACAAAGCUUAGAGUACUUGAGCUAAGACCAAGCAACAUCCCAUAUGUCGCAGUUUGGAGCAAUUGGGUGAAGAGUAGGACUAGCAGCACUUUUAAGGUUGUAUUCAUUGUGAAAUUUGAUUUUCUAAAGUAAAUUUACAAGAAAAUGUUAAUAAUGUUGCAUUGGGUUUGAUUUGUAGGUACAAAGUGACAAAUUUAGGCAAUUAAGGAGGGCACAAAUUCCACAUACUACCAGUCGAAAAGGAAUGAUUCGCCUGGCUCAAGAGAUGGUAAGUUUAUAUAGUUUUUGGUUACGAAUAUCUCCUUGAAAACAAUAGUGAGUUCUGCUGCUAUUUAAAUUAAUAUUUGGUCGUCGAAAAAAACGAGUUUAGACCCAAGGAAGGUGACAAGAAGCAAGGUUUGGGUAGCAGGACACACACAUUCUGAUGGGAGACCUGUGAAGCCAGAGUUUGAAGAGACCAUUGUAAGAAGUUGUCCUUUAUUCUAUUAUCAUUUUCUUGAUCAAUUUGUUUAUCAAGAUUUGUGUUUUGUUUCAGGAAAAAAUAAAGUCAAUUGACAGUGAAAUGGACUCCACAUCUAAUACUAAUAUUAGAGAAGAUGUUGUUAGUCAAGUAUUAGGAAAGGACAAACCCGGGAGAGUCAGAGGGAUGGGCAGAGGGGUUACUUUUUCUAAGCUAGCUUUCAUGCAAGUUAGAGAUUCACAUGUGCAGCAGCUUGAAGCUAAACAAGCUGAAUUGAUCAGCAAACUUGAAGACUUGCAGAAUGUCGUUCAUGACUUAGCUGGCAAAAAUGUAUGUUUCUCACCUCUGUUAUGAUAGUGAUGUAGUCUUUAUUUUACUGAUGCCCUUUUUUGUUCUUCACAGUUUCCAACAGAUAGUCACUCAAAAUCAGAAGCAACUAGUAUAGUAAAGUAGUUAGAUGUCAGCUACUGGAUUGGAAUGCGUCUACUGAAGUUGUUGUUGGAGAAGGAGAAUUCUGCUAAUUGAACAAACUUACAAGAUUGGUCGUAUAAGACUUGGUCCAAACGCAGCAGCUAUUAUUGUGAGGUCUGUCCUAGUCGAAGAUGCAUAUGUCUGGAGACCUACACCAACCAUUUGCUCACUUGGGCAAGCUUUGGGGAGUAAAAUUGCAUGGCCAGCUGAUAAGGUGAUAUUGGACAAUGAUGAGCACACAACUGAAAAUAAGACUGCUAGCUCCACGGUACUUUCUAACUUCUAACUUGAUUUAUUCUUAAAUGUGGAACUUAAGUGGAACUUUGCUGAUAUAUAUGCCUGAUUACAUAGGAUACAUCAACAGAUAGAGUUCGCAUUAUUGAUUGGACUUUUGAUGAAGUUAUAGCUGAAGGUAUAUUAUGUUCAACUGAUCCAAAAGAAAUGGUGAACAAUACUCAACUAGGUCUGAAUGUUGCAGUUGUUAAAGUUGAUCUGGUAAUUAAAGGCGAUGCUUUUUUGUGGAGACCAAGUAUUGAAAUGUCAAUGAUGAGUGAAGCACUUAAUGAGAACAUCGUCUGGCCUAUUCAGAAGAUACAAUUUAUAAGUUCAUCGUCGGUACAUGAAUCAGCUAACAGACCAUCACCACUACAGGAAUCACCUACCAGACCAUCAUCAACGGUAUGAUAUUUCAUCUUCUGUGAAUUUGUUUAGAUACAGUUGAGUAGCUGCAAUGGUGAGAACUGCUCUAAUACAUAUAUACAUUCAAAUUUUAAAUUGACAGACUCUAAGUAACACUUCGGGUAACAUCAAUGGUGGGAAACAGAAGUGUAUUUUGCUGGAUAUCAAUAACUUUAGCCAAAGAGUUGCAGAAGGCAAGGUUUGUUCAUCUAAACCUGCAGAUGUUGUCCACCAUGUCCCCUUAGGUCAGAAUGCUAGCAAGGUAUGGGUCGAAGUUUCAAAGAUUGGAGAUGCAAAAGUGUGGAGGCCAAAUUCAGAAAUUCAAUUCAUUUCCGAUGCAAUAGGCACUAUUGUAGCUUGGCCUAAUGACAGACUCAUGUUACUCUGAACUUGCUGAACUUGAUGUAAUUUUUUUACUUUUUUAUCACAAACAAAGAUUGUAUGAAUUUUAGAUGUUUUAUUGAUUUUAUGAAAUUUAAUUUCUUUUCAAAUUGAUUUUUACAAUUUGGUUGACCUGUCACAACAAUUAUUUCUGAAAUUGAAAUUAUUAAUUCGUAAAACGAAAUUAAAUUUUAUAUAUUUCCAGAAUUCAGUGAGAUAUAUAGUAACAUUUCACUAACGCUAUUUAUGAAUUAUUAAUAACAAAACAAUAGUGCUAUUAUAAAAUCUACAGUAGCAAACAAAUAAACGCUAUUAAAGAUAAUUUUAAGAUAGCAUAAACAAAAAGCGCUAUAUAAAGUGUUCGACCUAUUAUCGCGGUUGAUGAGAUAGCGUUUUUAUUAACGCUAUCUAUUUAUACGAUAGCGUUAUUCAGAUGUUAUUAAUUCUCGUUUUUCCUGUAGUGGAUUACUUAAGAUCCUUGUUUAUUGGUUGCUUUUAAGGAUAGAUCAACCUUGAUCAUGUUGAUUUAGACACUAGGAAUUUCAUGCCCGGAAGGUGUUCGAUGAAUUUCCCGAACCAAAAUCUUUAAGUGAUUUUCAUACCUUACCUUUGGAAAUUGUUGAUUAGGGUGAUUAAUGGCUAGAUAGACUUGUUAUUUAUGCUUAUUGAUCAACUGAUUGCCUUUGGAAAUUGUUGAUGAUAGAUUGAUUAGUAAAGGGAUUAAUAUCAUGGAAAUAUGUUAGUCUUGCUUAGUGUUCUAUGGCCUAAGGAUCAUUGCUUGUUAGAAGUUGUUUGAUGCUCCAUCUCUUUAUCAUUUCUAAUCGAUUACCUUAACCCGAGAAUUCGUCUUUAGUUAUCACUUAGUAAUUUGUUAAUUUUCCGCUUUGUUUACAUUUGAAACUUGUUAGUCUUUUGUUUCUUGCUUUCUUUUAUCUUGUUUUGCAUUGUUUGCUUGAUAAUGCAUUGUUACUAAGAUUUAGAAUACUUAAAAUCAUCUUGUUAGCUUAGAUUAAGCAAUUGUGUGUAUUCUUGGUGAGUUGAUUAAUUGCAAAUUAUGGUUCCAUAAACAAUUGAAAACAAAUGCUACAUCAAAUGUUAUGUGAUGCUGGAUUACAUGCUUGCUUGGGAGAAGUGUUUGUUCAUAGCCCUUAUCACAGUGAUUAUGUCUUCGGAGGAAACUGUGAUGUCAAUGAUCGAGUAAAGACUGUGUGGUAAGUGUCAAUACCAAGUAGUUAAUUUGGAAUUUGUGUUUCAUAUAAUCUUAAUACAAUUUUGUUGUGUCACAGCUGGAGGCAACGCUUAUUCAACUCUAAUGUCUGCAAGUUCCUCUUAUGAAUUACUUUCAUAUUUCAAGACCUUGAGAGCACAUUAUCUGCUCAUGACAUAUGCUUCACACAAGCUGCGGAUUCGCUCUACCUUAUUAUGCUUGAAUUUCUACAGCAAGUUCACGCUCCUGUCUAUGGUUAGAUUCUGAUAAACAUAUAUAAUUAACCUUGUUGUCAAUGAUCAAGUAAUGACUGUAGUAGUUGUAGUAUUUGCGUUUCAUUUGACAUUAAUAUUGUUUUGUUCUAUCAUAGCUGGAGCAUGACAGAAAGAAGUUGCAACUCAGUGAUACAUGAGGCAAUGUGAAGGAGUUGUUCAAUGAACGCAGAGCAAUAGUGUAAGUCUCUACAUUUGGGAAAAACGCUCUAUUUCCCGCCGAGAACUAUGGACAUCACGCCAGAUAGAGCAUGUUCUUUCACCUCGGUCUAUUUACCCAUGAGUUGGAAGUUAAAUGCUGAUUUCCCCACCAAAUCAAAGUUCUACAGCUUAAUGUCCCCGAGACUGUGUUUUCUUGGUUUGGUGAGUAAACCCUAUAGAAAACGAAAUACUGGUCAUAAGUAAACCAAAAAUAUAUCUUAUUCCUUUUAAAAACCAGACCCAAUAUUCAUCCCCAAAUUUUUAAAAUCAUUGCUCGAUAAAUUCCCAUCUAAGAACCCUGAAACAUCAAAAUUUUAAUUCCCUUCAGUUCGAUUAGAAAACUCGAAUUCAAUUUCGAUGAGCAAUCUAUCUACUAGUUUGACGGGAUCUACAAGUUCUCGUGGAAGAGGAAGAGUCGACAGAAUGCCAAAAAGAUGUUGGUGUAGGGAAGGAAUUGUUGCCCUAACAUCCAAAUCCGAUACGAAUCCUUAAAGAAGAUACUUUCGUUGUGGUUUUGCUGCAACAAACAAGGUAAUUUCAUUGAUAUUCAUCAAUGUUUAAGCUGAAUUAGAUUUUUUUACUUAUGAAUUUUAUUGUUCAUUGAUAGCUAAGGAAUGAUGAACACACUUUCAAGUGGGUUGAUGAAGCUUUGAUCAAUGAUUUAGACAAGUUUAAUGCAAAGAUUGGGGAAGUUGAACAACAAGUGAGAGAGCUUAGAACACAGAGUUUGGAGUUUGAGAAAAUGGUUUGUGAGAAAGUCCAAAUGAAGAUUGAGAAUGAGUUAUUUGAGAAAGUGGACGAUGCUUUGGCUGAAUCAAAAGAAGGCAAUAAGAAGAUGAUGAUCGUCGUAGUGAUAGGAUGUAUGAUCAUGAUUGGAUUGAGCAAAUUAGUCGGAUGAAUGUUUAUGUCUCGGUUUAGAUUGAACAAAGUAGUGUUAGGAUGCUUUGUGUUGUUACUCUUGUUUGUUACUUUGUUUGACUUUUAUGAUUAAGGUAUUUUGUUCGGAUGUUUAAGAAUGGUAUGUUGUUUCGAUGAAUGUUUAUGUCUCGGUUUUCAUCUCUUGUUGUCCUUUUGUUUGGCAUACAACUAUGAACAUUAAUCCACAAAAGAUGCAAUAACAAAAUAAAUACAAUAUUCAAAAGUAGUACAUAACAGCCAAGGAUACAUAAGAGUCAAAACAAGUACCCAUAAUAUCUGAGAAUACAAAAGAACUAAGGUUCAUAACAUCCGAGAUAAAAGAAGUGCCAUACUAGCCCUACUAAGCUAUUACAUAGAGAUCAAACUUGAGUGAGUGAAUCUUGACUUGGUUCAGGUUGAAAAAGCUGUGAAGCUGAUUGAGAAGCCUGUAAAAAAAGCUGAAUUAUGUUAGUAUAAUCCAACAGUAGCCACAUACAUAAAGAGAAUGUCACAAUUUUGUUACCACAUGUAAAGCAUUUUUUCAUAUUUUUUAUUUAAAUUUAAUAUUGUUUAUUUGUGCUCCAUAUUAAAAACUUUCCUGGAUCCGCCAACGGUAGUGUUUUUACGUAUAUCAUUUUUGCAUUUAUCUUUUUAAAAAAAUUUGGAUUUCAAAUCCAAAUUCCAACAAAAAGUUGCUAUGUCCAACUCAUCCCAAACCUAGAACUAAGUCCACAUCCCAUAUAGAUGAUGUGUCAAAAUACAAUCUGAAUCAUAUUAAUAAAAGAGCUGAUAGAUCGACUUCUAGUUGAAAGAAAAUGUUAGAAAGACAUGGGUUUUAGUUUAACUAUAUUGGUUAUAUUUUUCCUGAAAUAAUUUCAUAAAUCUAUUAAAAAUAUUGAUAAACUGAAACACUAAUUUUCUUAUAGUCAAAUUUAGUGACUCGGGUGUCGGAAAGUUUUUGAAAUAAACAAUCCUCAUAUAUUUUCAUACUUAGACAUAAGGUUUUUUGUUGCCGACCUAUAUGAUCUUUUCUUAAUUUGCGAAAAAGCCCACGUAAUCCCCAAAAAAAUAAAAAAAGUAUAAAUGUACUGUAAAAUAAUCCGGGCUACGUACGGACAUACAAAUCUCCAAUUUUAUAUUUUAUGUUAUUGAAAAAUCAACUUAUAUAUUAUAAAAUUGUCUUUUUAACAAUAAAAACCAACGUGUUUAUUGUUUGGCUGGAAACAGAAGUCGCACGGUCUUGCCAUUGGUUACUAUCUUACUGGUGGUGGUAGAUACCAUCAUCAACACGAAUAUUCUUUGGUUGUCGGCUAGAAUAUUUUAACAGGCCAUAUUUAGCUUUUGGUUGUUGGCUAGAAUAUUUUAACAGGCCAUAUAAAAUCACUUUAGGUUUCUUCUCUACAAAUCAUGUAUUUGGUAACAUAAGCUAGACUAAAUAAACAUUAGUUGAAAGUAAUAAUAUGGCAGAAAUUAACAGCACCUUGUAAAUUAUUUGAGAUUACAUAUAAUAUUAAUCUUAGUUGACGAAUUUUCAAUACAUAUUUAUUUUAUUCGUUUGUCUGUCGCUAGACUCAGCCAUAUUAACCAGCGACAAAUUACAUUGUUCGUUUGUCUGCUGUUAUAUUCAUCGAUCAAUUGCAGCGACUAUAAUUGUUGCUAUCUUUGCGGUUUAGUCUCCUGAGCCGGUUUUAUGUCUUGCGAACCGAUUCUUCAACUCCAUCAUUUAUUCUAUCAUUAGUCAAAAAUAAUAUCUCUUACGAACUACUUCGUUUAACCUAUAAAAAUCGUUAAAAAAAAACCCAGCUAUCUCAUACACGAAGCUGUCUAAACUCCGAAGCAAUUUAUAACAACGUACCUCAUACGUGAGAGUGGUGCAAGUUAAUCCCACCAUCACUAUAAUAGACGGUUUUCUAAAAGCUUGAAAAUAUGAGAGAUGACAAAGCUCGACAUUGAUAAGCUUUGAUAGAAGUUGAAAUAUGACUGUUCCAAAUAACGUAACAGUUAGAGAUAUAUGAGCUUUCCAAAUAACGGAACAGUUAGAAAUAUAUGAGCUUCUUUAUAUCUAUUCAUUAUAUCAUUCUGAAACGACUCAUAACAAACAAAAUAAAUCUACAUCUUCACAUGAUUGUGAUAUAAACACAAUGUAUUAAUCAGAGAAAUUGGAAAAAAAAAAAAGGAACUUGCUAAACAUCAACAACACCCAACGAAAACCCCUAGUGGUUAAAGAUAGAUACCACUAAGACUAACAGUAACAUAUGAAGUUCAAAAAACACAAGUAAUCUAAAUAAUCGAGCAUUCUUAUGGUCAUCGCCCAAACUGGAUAUUUGAUCACGUUUGUAUCAAUUCGUAAGGAUUAUAAUAAUAAAAAAUAUAAAAAUCAUAAGAUCACUUUUGUCGCUUGUACUGGUCACCAAACUGAUUAUGCACACUGAUAAGCAAUAUACUAUCAAUCUUUGUCCCAACAUCUGCUUGAGAAGUUUUUUUUUUUUUUCUACAAUGUUAUAUAUGCCUCGUCAAUUCUACAGCUUAACACUAUUAUCAAUGGUAGUUUCUCAUGCUAGCUCUUAGAUAAAUUAGGUAUUAAAUUUCAUGUUUAAAAUGAUUAAUUGUUAAGAAUGACUUUUAUAUAAGAGUCAGAUCUAAUAUUUCUUAGAUUAGUUCUUAGAUAAAUUAAGUAUUAAAUCCAAUAUUUCAAUUCAAUUAAUCUUAGUUCUUAGAUAAAUUAGGUAUACUAAAUCUAGUCGUUUUCGUUUAUGUUUACGUCAUAUUUGUUUAAACUUUUAUGUCAUGGAUCUUUUAAAUUUUAUGAGUUGUACUGAUUAUUAAGUUUUUCAAAAUUAAAAUGUUUAUAUUUUUUAUUUUAAAAUAUAUUUUUUUAAGAACUCCAAAUUAAGAGGCCACAACUGCAUAUCGUCAAAAUUUUAAUCUCUUAGCCAAAAUCUUAACAUCAAAAUUUUUAAAAUCAAUUAUAAAAAUAUUCCUAAGAACUAUAUUAAGAUUAUGCUAAGAAACUACCGUUGAUUAUCCUCCGAGUCCGAUUUACUUUUGUUCCUUGAAAAGAAAAAAAAAACACAGAAGAAUUAGAUACUGCCAAAAAAUAACAAUAACAUGCAAACCUUUAUGUGAAUUCCCUAAGACCUGCCUGCAAUCUAAUCCGUAUGAUGGAUUAACCUCUGAAAUCUAACCCAUAAAUUUUGAUGUGUCUCUAGAGAGCAUUGAGAAGCCUAAUUUAUAUUGAAUUUUAUUCGUUUGUGAUGAAAUUUAGAAGACGAAAGGGUAAUCUGGAAGAGAAAGAGAGGCGAGGAAGUGAAGAGAUGAAACGCUUCGGAAACCUAAUUUUUUCCGUUUACUUGCAACUAUUGGAUCCUUAAAAUGUUAAGCUAAGAGAUUGUGAAUCACAUUUUAAGAGUCUUUGGUUUCUUAAAAACUAACUAAUUAUUUAAAAACAAUUGUUGCUUUCACAGUAUAUUGUCAUAUUGUGGUGUAUAUCAAAAAGGCAAAAUCUUAACUAAACUCCAAUAUUUUGGAAAAAUGUGAACUACUUCCAAUUUUGGAUAUAUCAACAAAAACAAAAGACACUACAUCAUGACAAAGAAAAAAAAAAAGAGUCACUUUUGAUGACCAGUGAUAGAGAUGAAGAUUUGGUCGUAAAGUAGGGAAGAUUCAAAAAUUCACGACUCAUUACUAUAUACUAUUAACUUUCCUUUAGAAGAAAUAACACCGUAUCUCUCCAAUAUUUUAAACUAUAGUUAGAAUAUAGCUUGUUAAUAUUUUGUACAGCGCAUAGAGAUUUCCUUAUUGAUUCUGUUGUCUAGUCUAUAUAUAUCGUUGAAAGGUGUAUCUCGAGAAACACAACCAUCUUACUCUACAUUUCCCAUUUUUGAGACUCCUAAAUCAUUUUAACCUUCUUCCUCAAUCGUGACCAUCACCAAUGACGCUACACGUCAUUGAGACUGCCCGAGUCACCCCCACCGACUACUCAGUCAUCAACUCAGCCAACUUGCACAAACUUCCUUUAACUUUCUUCGACCUUCCAUGGCUACUAUUCCAGCCAGUCAAAAGAGUCUUCUUCUACGAGCUCACCGAGUCUACUCGUGACCAUUUCCACUCCAUUAUCCUCCCUAAGCUCAAGGACUCUCUGUCCCUUAUCCUCCGUAACUAUCUCCCUCUCACUGGCCACAUCACUUGGGAGCCAAACGAGCCAAAACCGAGCAUAAUCGUCUCGGAAAACGGCGUCGUUUUGGUGACUAUAGCCGAGAGUGACGCUGACUUUUCUCAUCUUUCCGGUUAUGGACAGCGUCCUUUGUCAGAGUUACAUGCCUUGGUUCCCAAGUUACCGGUUUCUGAUGACUCAGCGACCGCUUUCUCCAUACAAAUCACGUUGUUUCCUAACCAAGGAUUCUCCAUAGGUGUUGCAGCACACCAUGCUGUUUUAGACGGGAAAACGUCAAGCACUUUUAUCAAAGCUUGGGCUCAAAUCUGCAAACAAGAACUUCAAAGCAUGCCGGAGAAUCUAACUCCGUCUUAUGACCGGUCUUUGAUCAAAUAUCCGACCUAUCUUGAUGAAAAGAUGAUAGAGUUAGUGAGAUCUCUCAAAGAGGACCAAACCAACAUCAGAAGCUUGACUUCGCUUCCCUCUAGUAAACUCGGAGACGAUGUCGUGUUAGCCACGCUAGUUCUCUCUCGGGCUGAUAUUGAGAGACUUAGGGAACAAGUCAAGAACGUGUCACCGAGCCUCCACUUGUCGACUUUUGUCAUUGCUUACGCUUACGCGUGGACUUGUUUCGUGAAGGCACGUGGAGGUAAUAAAGACAGAUCAGUGAGUCUCUUGUUCGUAGGAGAUUUCAGAGACCGGUUAGAUCCGAAGCUCCCGGGGACUUACUUCGGAAACUGUAUGAUUCCGGUGGGCUGUUAUAACCGUAAGGCGGCGGAGUUUAUGGAAGAGAAGGGAUUUGUGACGGCGGCUGAGAUUAUUAGCGAUUUGGUGAAAGGGUUGAGUUCAAGAAAGAUAGAGACCAUUGCGGACACUUUCGUGGAAGGAUUUAGUUUUCAGAGUUGGAGUACACAGUUUGGGACGAUAGCCGGGUCGACCCGGUUGGGAGUAUACGAGGCGGAUUUCGGGUGGGGAAGACCCGUUAAAGUUGAUAUUGUCUCCAUUGACCAAGGAGAAGCGAUCGCAAUGGCUGAGAGACGUGAUGAGUCAGGUGGCGUUGAGAUUGGAAUGUGUUUGAAAAAGACUGAAAUGGAUUCGGUCGUGUCUUUUUUCAACAAUGGUUUACAUAGCUAAACUCUUGUUUUGUAAGAUUUUAAUAAUAAGGUAAUGCUUGGUUAGUUAUUCUUGUUUUUUUCUCACAAGAAGUAUUGGGCAUAAUUCUCCACUAAUAAAUAAGUUUAAAUAAAGAUAUAUUAGUAAAAGUCUCCAAAAACACAUAUAGAAGAAAACAAGAUUUCUUCAGAAACUAGAACAUUUAUACACUAGAAAAACAUCUCAAGCCAUCUCUUAAAAAAAGAUGAGAAUUUUAGACUAUCACUCUUCCACUAUGAAAAAUGUUAUAAGUCAUUCCAACCUAUUCAUCGUUAUAAUCAUUUUUUCAUCAAGUAUAUCUCUAAUUCAUUACUUGUAUCUCCAAUUUUUUAGAUUAUACAAAAAAAUAUAUCAUUUUGACAGCCAUCAUCAUAAAAAUGUCUCAGUCACUUGAUUCAUCUUUAUCUAUAGGAAGAUCUAGAGACAAAAGAUAAUGUUCUAGCAUAAUCACGGACAAAGAUAAUGUCCUAGCAUCACAUCCAUUCAUCACUACUGGAUCCCGUAUUGUCAUAUAUUAUGCACUAUCAUAUAUCAUGGACCAAUUAUGAAAAUAGCACUUAAAUGCUUAUCCCUUUGUAUGAAGCGACACUUUUUUGUAUCUUAUAACUUUAGGUAUUUCUUCCACUUUUUUUUACGGUUUUAUUCUUACGUUCCACCAAAUUUCUUCCACCUACAAAUUAUUUCUCUAUCUUUCUACCAUUCCCAGACCAGAUCAAAUUCAAACUGAUUUGUAGUAACGGUUCUUUCAUUUUGGAAUAUAGAACUCAAAAUCGAUAUUUUUAUUAUGAUUUUGGAUUUUCUAACUGAUUCAUAUUGAGUUUCCUAAAUAAAAAAUCCAUAAAUUACCAACAAAACUCAGCAGCAACAUAUAAACAAAUUAAAUCGAAUAUAAACUUCCAAAGGAGACAAAUUAGGCAAAACCCCAAAUAAAUUUCAAAACCCAGAAAACGAACCAAUCAAAUUUCAAAUUCGAAAUCUCAAAAUCAAAUUUUUAUCAAAAGUCUAUUUAAGGUUUUUCCUUGGGUUCCCUAUAUACUAUCAUCCUAGGGUUUACUUAUAUUGAGACAAUGGGUAUUUGUAUAAGAAAUAAUUUUUUGGGAUAAACAGAUUAAAAUUUUCUGGAAAAAAUUAGAACGAGAAGCAUAGGAAGAAAAUGAAAAAAGAAGGAAACGAUAAGAUAUUCCAGGAGCAAAAUCGUUAAACCAUCAGUUGAGAAAUACCCAUUCUUAUAAGCCAUGAUAAAUGUACAUUUUCUCAAGUUUUUAGGCUUAAAUAUGCCUAUUUGAACAAAAGCCCCCAUAGAUCAUACAAAAUUUCAAAACAAAAUGAUUCAAAAUGCAUCUUUUUCCUUGACCCAAAAUAAAUAAAAGUUUAAGUAAAUACAAUGCUAUGAGAUUUACCAUUACCUAAACCCAUCAAAUUCCACAAAAAUACAAUUCUUCACUCGAAUCUGUGAGCAUAACUUUUAUCUUCCACUUUAUUUCGUUUUCAACAACAACUAGUGCGUUGAAGCUUUUAAAUAGUGAAAGUUUCUGAUUUUUCUAUCAUAAAAUAUAUGAAAAUUGCACUCAACGGCCAUAAAAAUUUAACAAUAUGCCAACUAACAACAAAAAUCUAACAACUAUUAAAAAUAGAUGCGUUUAUGGAUAAUCUGUGACUGGCUGUAGCAAUAACGAUUAACAUAAAUUAAAAUCUACAAAAAUACAUACAAACUAUAAUUUAAAUUGAAAACCAAAAACUAUAUUAUUAUAAUAAAACUUCAAAAUUCUUAAACUAAUUAAAAAUAUUGAUUAACUUUAACAGUUUCAACCGUUUUUCCAUAUUUUGAAUGAUCUCAAAAAAAUGUAAAAACACUAUAAUUAAUCAUAAAGACGUCGGUCAAGAAACACUGCUUAAUAAUCAAAGUAUACCAAAAACUUUAGAACACUAAUUCAACAUUACAAUAAAAUAACAAAUAAAUGUGCACUAAAUUCUUUGCUUGGACUUUGGAUUUUUAAUGAUCCAUUCCAUCUAAUGGUAACAUUUCAUUUUUUUGUACUUUUAACAACUCGAAAUUCAUUUAUAAGAAGAUGAUAAAAUGUAAUUCUUCAUGUAAUUGCGAAAUUUAUUUGACAUAGGAAUAUUUAUUUGUAGAUAUCGAAAUCACUGGUAAAUAAAGAAAGAAAAACAUUCAUCUCACAUUUCUUCAAAGAGAUACCAAUCUCCAAACCACCAAUCUCAUCCCUCCUUGCCGACAUAGAAAACUCAUUGUUCUUGUAAAGAGACAUAACAUCAGUCUUAACAGGUCUUCCCCACCCGAAAUCCGACCCGUAUAUCCCAAAUUGGUUUGAUCCUGUAACAGUCACAUUCUGUGUAUCCAAUUUCAUAUUUUUUGUUCCAUCCUCAUACACUUCCCAUAUUGACUCAAUGUUUCGUGAACCCAAACCUCUAACCGAAUCACUUAAAAUCUCAACUCCGUUAACGUAUCCAUCUUUUCCUAGAAACGUUGUCGCUUUGUAUCCAUUGAAAUCAAUUGGUAAGACACAAUUCCCAAAAUAUGUCAAAGGAACCGGUGGAUCUAACCGGUUUCUGAAAUCAGCAGCAUACAUAAACCGAACCGGUCGAUUCGCGUCUCCUCCACACGACUUAACCAUGCAAGUCAACACAUAAGCGUACGAGACUACGAACGUUGAUAAAUGAAGAUCGGACCGGGUUGACUCGUUCUUGGCUCGUUCUUUAAGUUUUUCGAUAUCCACUUCCGUCAACUCGAGCGUGACCCGAACAACGUCGUUAUCGAUCUCUUUAGCCGGAGGAAGCGUUAAGGUUCUUGCAUAGUCUUUCUCCUCUGAGAUAUACGAAGAGAGCUGAAAGAUCUUUUGCUCGAGUCCGGCCGGAACAUUGAUGACCGUACGAUCUAAAACCGUAGGUAGAUCAAAAUCUUGAGGUGUGGUUCCGUGUUUACAUAUAUGAGCCCAAGAUUUAUGAAACUUUGACGCAGUUUUGCCGUCCAUGACGACAUGGUGAACUGUUGUUCCGAUGGAGAAACCUUGGUUUGGAAAGAGAGUGAUUUGUAGAGAAAGAAGAGACGCUGAGUCAGAGGAAACUUGUAACUCGGGGACAAGAGGACGUAAUUCAGUCUCCAGACGAAGUUCUUUGCUAGAGAUAUAAGAGAAGUCAGCUUCGGACUCGACCACUGUGAGAGAGACAGUGUCUUUGGGGAAGAUGACUAUGUGUGGUUUAGGAUCUUGGGGGUUCCAUUUGAGGUGACCGGAGAGUGGGAGGAAGUGGGAGAGGACGAGGGAGAGGGAUUGUUCGAGUUUGGGGAGGAUGGAAGAGAAGAAGGAGUCACGAGAUGACUCGGUGAGUUUGUAGAAGGUAACUCGCUCUAUGGGAUUGAGUUUUAGCCAUAGUAAAUCAAAGAAAGUGAGUGGGAGAACGAGUGGUUCGACUGAGUUAGUUACAAGGCUGACUCGAGAGAUCUUGAUCACGUUUAAGGCCAUCGUUGACGGAGACAAUCUCACUUGGACUCUUUUUUUUCAGACAGUUUUCAAACAGACUACUGUUUUGGUGUGCCAAAUAAACAUCUAUUCACUUAAUUAUCAAAAGCAUGGGAAUAAAAUAUGACAAUCCCACUACCAUAUGAAAGAUGCUUUUGGUAGGUAAAGAUGUUUUUUAGUUAUAUCAUACUGCAUUUCAAAACAAAAUGAUGCAAAAAAAAUUCCUUAGACCUCAAUGAUUAAAAGUUUUAGGUGAUUACAAUGUUAUGAGAUUUUCCAUUACCUAAACCCAUCAAAUUCCCUUUGAAUACAAUUUUUCACUAGAAUAUGUGCGCAUAACUUUUAUUUUCCUCUUUGUUUCGUUUUCAACUAAAACUAAUGCUUUGAAGCUUUUAAAAAUGAGAAAAAUGUCAGAAAAAAUUCCCAGUUGUGCAAAAGUAUUGAAAAACAAAAUCUUCACCUUACUAGGUGAUGAAAUAUAUAAUCAACUUUCGUUCAUUUCUAAUUAAAUCAUUAAAUUUUGUUGGUUUCUUAGUUUAAUAGUGAAAUUUAGCACUUUGCCAAAAUAGUCAAUUAGUCAUCAUGAAUUUGACUAACGAAAUAAAUUAACAUAAUUAAGUCUCGGCUGAAAAUCUUAAUAAGUGAACGUAGAUUUCAACAGAGACGUAACACUGUUAAUUUAUUUCGUCAUGCAAGCUUAACGACGUGACUAUUUUGGAAAACUGAACAAAAGUUUACGAUUAAAAUGAGAAGUCAACAAAACUUUACGAUUUAACUGAAAAAUCAGCAAAAAUUGAUUAUAUAUUCCAUUGAAGCCAAAGUUGGGGAUUUCUUUCAACAUUUUUUCACAGUUCAAGAUUUUUCCGACAUUUUUCUUUUUAAAAAUAGGGAAAUUUCUUUUUGUUUUUCUAUCAUAAAAUAUAGGAUAGUUGCACUGAACCAGCAUAAAAAUUAAAUAAUAUGCCAUCAAACCAUAAUUUUUUUAAUAACUAUUAAAAAUUUGUGACUCUUUCACAGCUUUCACAGCAGUAGCAACAAUGUUUUACAUAAAAUAUACCAAAAAUACAUACUAUGUAUAAUAUAUUUUGAGAACCCAUAAUUAUUUCCUCUAAAAAAAUUUCUUCAAAUUUGUUAAAAAGUUUUAAGAGAUUUACAACAUUUGAAUAUACAAAACAUUUUUAAUAGUUAUAAAUAUCUUUUCAUUUAAUUUAUAUAUAUAUAUAUAUAUAUUAUGUAUAUAAUAUUUAAGAAUCUGUUAUGAUAGUGUUUAACAAGAGAAAACAAUUAUUUAUUUAUUUUUAGUGAAUUAUUAUGACUAAUGUAGAUAAAAGGAAUUUUUUAAUUUUGGCGGAAAAAAGCUUUCAAAAUAUUUAGUUCAAACAAAUAUAUAGAUUUGUAGCAGUAUAAAAUGAUUUGCGUGAUUGUUGUUAAAAGCUAACAACCGUAACCGCCUACAAAACAUAAUGUUUGCUGGUAAUUGGCGAAAAACCAAUCAAGCAAAUUUAAAACAUGAAAAAAACAAAAUCAUACAUUAAACAGUGGAAAUUGGAGAGAUUUGAACUAAAAAAAAAAAAAUACAUUCCCCAUCAAAAUUAGAACUGACACCUCCACAAUUAUUAAACUAUCCAAACUUUAAAAUAUAUCUCGACUAAGAGAAAUCAAAACCUCUUCAUCGAUAUUCUCUUUCAGGCCUCCUCCGGAAAUGAUCACCUCUUAUAUCUAUACUAAGUUUUCUUCAUACUAAAAAGUACAUAUUGUCUUGCAUCAUAAGAUGAUCUUCUUAAAGAGACAAGUGCAUAUUCACUCGUUCAAGUUAGUAGAAAUCCGACUUUUCUUCUUGGGAUGGAAUAGAACACAAUCUCUCUUAAUAAUUCAUUCAGAUUUAUGGUUUUCGGUAGGGAUGUUAAAGAUGGGUAAAAGUCCAGUGGGAACCCGAAACCCGCUUAAAAUUUAAAGCCUAAAGAUCAAUGUAUUGUUAAAAAUAAAGUAGGCUCAAAACGAGCGGAUCUUAUUUACGUAGAGUUGUAUGUGGGCUUUACCCUGUCGGGUUAUGGAUAUCCAUGGACUUUUUUCCUUCUAAACUUAAUGUACUAAAACGACAUCAUUUUUUCUCUCCUAAAAUCCCUAAAUCCCCAAAUUUGGUUUCUCUACGUGUUCUUCUUCUCUACCAAUUUUAAUUCCUAAAUUUGAUUCAUCUCUAUCACUCUCUCUCUUCAAUUUGAUUUGUGAUAAACCCUAGUCUCUAGGCUCCGAAGCUCACUCUCGCCUCUCUAGGAUAAAAAAACAGAGAAGAAACUCAGAAACAGAGCAUUUGGGAGGAAGAAAACGGACCCAAUUCCCUUUGACCCACCGGUUACAAGAGUAGUCAUACCUUGAAGACUCCACCUGUUAAUAUCCAUUGUUGUGUUGUGUGUGUUACGACACUUAGUCACUAUAGCCACAAGUAUAAUCAGUUAGAAUGAUAAGUUUAACUAGAAUCUAACCCGUGGUACACCACGGAGCAAAUAUUUUAUUUAUAUAUAUAAUAAUAUUAAAUUUUACCGUUUUAUAUUUAGUAUUAAAGUUAUAUUAUUUUCUAUUAAUAGUAUAAUUAAAAAAAUUAGUGAUGAUAAAAAAAUAAAAUAAAUAUUUAACAUGUGUUAUAUCAAUCCAAACCCGUCUCCUUGUAUUUCAUAUCAAUCUAAACCCGUCCUGUUAUACUUCUCGUCUCAUGAUAUUUUAAUUUUUAUGUUUAAAUAUUAAUAAUGUUUCAUAAAAUUAAAAUAUAUCAAUAAUAUUCUUUAAAAAUAAUAAUUGUUUUUGACUUUAAUGUAAUGACAUUCUUUAUAAAUUCUUACUUUACUUCAAAAAUACUUCAAAAAGGUACUACAAAAGUACUUCAAAAAGGUACUUCAAAAUUUUUAAUAUAUAUAAUGUUAUGUUUUGGUAAAAAUUAUUAUAAAUAAAGAUUUAGUUUAAUCAUAAUUUGGGAUUGAUAUACAAUACUUGUGUUUUUGACUAUCUAUUUUUUAUUCUAAUAACCUAAAUUUAGACAUUUUGUUAAUCCUACUAUAUUAUUUGGGAAGUACAUUUUAAAUGUAACCUUAAUUUUUGUAAGUAAUUACAUAGGUAUGCCAUUAGAAAUAAAAUUUUAAAGAGUAUCUCUUUAAGGAUUAAAAAGUCAAAUACUAGUUUAAUUAAUUAAAUUUAAUUAAAAAACGAAAUACAUUAUUAAUUUCCAAAAAUAAUAACCAAUCAAAAUCAACAUAUAAGAUUUGAUAUCUAAAUUUUAAUUAAUUUAAUUUAAUUAGAAAAACGAAAUACAUUAUUAAUUUCCAAAAAAGUAACCAAUUAAAAUCAACAAAUUAUAUUUGAUAUCUAAAUUAUCAUAUUAAUUUUUUAUUAAUUAUUAUAGUUCAUUUCUCAUCUUUAUAUGAUUCUAUUUUUGCGGAAAAAUAAUAUCAUCAUUAUAAAAAAAUAAUUAGAGUUUUUUCCCAUAUGUCAUAAUUUGAAUUUUUAAAAACAAAUAUAAACUGUUCAAUACAUAAAAAAAUAUUAUAACGGAUAAAAAAUAGAUUUAAGAAAAUUUUCUACUGAGUAACGGGUCAUAAUUUGAAAUAUUUAUAUUCAAUUUCAUACAUAUUAUAUUGAAAAUUUAUAAUCUUAUAUACUACAAUAAUUAAUAACAUAUUAGAUGUGAUUCAAUUUUUAAUACAAGUUGAAAAUCCUAGAAUUGCAUGUUUAGAUCGAUAUUAAUACAAGAUGGUAUACUACAGGUGAAACUCUUAAAUUAACAAUCAAACUACAAGUGUAUAAUCUUAAACACUAAACAAUAUAGAUAAUAUCAACAAAACAUAUACAACUCACAGUUUACUAUACAUUUAAAAUCAAAUAAAAUAAUAUCAAAUAUUUUUAAAUCAUCUUUAUAAUAAAAAAAUUUAGUUUAACUAAAAUAUAUACCGCAGGUUAAUAUCUAGAUUAUAGGGCUUAUUGGAUCUAAAGACGGAUCAUCAAAGAUUUCUUAAACUGAAGCAAAAUAUAUUGAAUAUUCAAAUAUCUAUCUGUUACCAAAUUAUAAACAAAUAAGUCAAUUUAAUAUUUUAUAUACGAAAUCAAUUAAAUCUUAAUCACAUAAAAAUUAGCACAAAAAAGUAUUCAUCAAUUAAAAAAAUAUCAAAUCUCUGUGUUAUAUAAGUUUUGAUACUAUAUUCGAAUAAAGUGUAAUAUACCUUUUCAAUUUGUAUUCUUUAACUAACUUAAGCUAACUAAUAUAUUUGCUAAUCUUAUACCUAUCAAAACCGACUAUCGUUUCUUAUCUCUAUAGUAUUUUUGCAAGACUUUUUUGGUGGAUUUGGAUAAAAGUGCAUUCGGGUCAUAUGGUACAUUCUCCUAUUAAAUAAAUAUGGUGCACUCCUAUGUUAUUAUCUAAAAUAUUUACAUUCUAAUUCAGAGUCAUAUCAUUAAUAAAAUUAAUAUUAAUAAAAUUAAUAUUAACAAAAUAAAUAGCUUUUUGGCAAGACGGAUUUGGAGGGACGGAUUUUUGAAUCAACAUUAAUAAAAAAGUAAAAUAUAAUUAAUCCAUCGUUUUAAUACGGGUUAGAUCUUUAAUUUAUUAUUUUUUAAGACCACUAAUAUUAAACAUAUCAAAUCAUCCUAAUUUAGAAAAGAUUAUAUAAAACCAAAAAUGUAAUGUGGUAUGUAUAAUGUUACUAUAUAUAAAAUUAAACUAUAGAUAUAAAUGUAUUAGAGAAUGAUACAAUUUGCAAAACUUUUCUAUAUAAAAAAUUAUUCUUAAAUUUUAAAAAUUACUAUUUUAAAAAAAAAUCACGGGACGGUAAAAAAAUUACAGAACGAGUUCUAUUUUGGAAUUGGGUUAUAUGGUGGAUGUAUUUGAAUCAAUAUUUAUAAAAUUUUAAAAUAUUAUUAAUAUGCUGUUUUAAUAGGGGUUAAAACUUCAGUUUUUUAACAAUUAUCUCAUGGAUUCGUGGUAUACCGUUACUUAAUAACAAUUAUAAACUGUAUAAUAUAAAUAUUUUAUAAAAGUAAAAUUUGCAAGUUUUAAUAUAUACUACUUUUAAAAAAAAAAUCAUCCCACGGGUUACAAUCUAGUCUAUAUUAUUAAUUGGGAAGCAUUGUGUGAUUGAAGGGUAGUUUAUAACUAAUUAAAUAAAUUUUUUACAUAGGUAAUAUAGUAAUUUAACAACUAAUCCAAAACACAUUAAUGAGUUUAAUAGGCUAACAAAUAGUAUGGAUCUUUUAACACACACGCAAAAUAAUUCAAAAAUAGAAUUCAUGUUUGAAUUGAUUCGACUAAUUGUAUUUGACUACCUUGCGCACCCAACUUUAUUGUUCUUCAUGGAUGUACUUUGAAAAAUAUGCAUAGAUAAUCAUAUAUUAUUUAUAUAAAUUUGUGUUUGAACUAUAUAAUAUAAAUCGUAUAUAGUUACAAUAUGAUACGUACAAACAUAUAUAUGCAAUAUGGUUCAGUUCAUAUGGUCACAUGGAAGCUCAACUAAUAUAAUUAUAGAAAUCUGUUUCGAAUUAGAUUAGUUUGUUAUAUAAAUUAUACGGAGCAUUUUGAAUUAGAUUUGUUUGUUAUAUAAAUUAUAAAAAUCUGUAUAAAUCUAAACUAAUAUAUAUGGUAAUCAUUUAAUGCUCAAUAAUAUCCUAUUCGUUUGUUGUAAAUUCUAACAACACGGAGAAUAUUGUAGCAACAUGAAUAAUCAUUUAAUAUUUCUAACAAUUAUCAUAACUCUAAAAUUUUGGAUCAUUCUGAAAGUAAAAAACCACACACACGUUUUGAACAAUCUCUUUUUACUAAUACCAUUGCUUAUACAAAAAUGAAUGUACUUGCUUUGGUCACAGACCUUGCUAACGUAAAGCCUUUCAAAAUCGAAUGGAAAAAUCCAAGUUAAGAUUUUGUAUUCAUGGACUUAAUACACGGAAUACUCAGAAGAAACCAUGGAAAUGAUCCUACCUGAUAAAAAUGUAAGUAUUGAUUUUCGUUUAAAUCUAGGUUAUAUCAGGAUUGUAUCUUUUAUAUUAUUAACACAAUUGUAUUUCACUAAUUUACUAAUUUACAGGGAACUUUGAUACAUGCUACUAUUAAGAAACAACAUAUGAGAGCACGCAAAACCAAACUAUUUAUAUAAAUAAAACACUAAUAAAUGAUGCAAAAAUUGUUAAACUUUAAAUAACUAAAAUUUCUAUUCAAAUUUUAAAACUAAGAAACAGAAAAUAAACGUGUAAACCAAAGUAAUUUUAAGAACAAAAGAAAAAUUUCCAAUGAAAUAUUACUAUUAUGAUAUCUCUGCUACUAUAUAAUUCACUAACCCAAAAUAAAAUAAAAUCUUAACUAAAAGUUUUUGCAAAAAAUAUUGUUUUUACAUUACCUUCCAUACAUCUUAUUUUCAAAUAUUAUGAUAACUGAUAAAUUUAUGAUAUAUAUACUAUUAUAUAAUUCACUAACACAAAAAAAUUAAUACAAACUUUUAUCAAAACCAUAUGAUAAUACUUAUAACUCGCAUAUUGUGCGGUUCACAACAUUAGCUAUUGUAUCAUAAAUAACAAUUAUACACUUUUCUAUGCACAUUAUAAUUUAUAUAUUACAAUAUCUUUCACUAAAAAAUUAUUCCAAUACAUUUCUUAAAAUACGAAACCCCGCACGUACGUGCGGGUCAGAAUCUAGUAUUAUUUGAAUCAGCAAUAUCAACUUAAUACAUGUACAAUUUAUUUAUGCCAAAAAAAAAAACAAAAUUAUUUUGUACAAUUGCAAAUUUAAAACGAAAAAUAUGGAUUGAGAUAAUUUGGGUUUCAAUUUUUUAUUACGUAAUUAAAUUUUUAAUGAAAAUAUUAAAGCAUAUAUUGUAAUAUAAGAUUUGAUUCAUUUUAUUAACUGAAAAUAAAUGAUUUAAAACAAAAAAUCAGGGUGAUUAAUGCUAAUUGGAAAGAUUUAAAUGUUUUUGUGAUUUUUUUUUUAGUUUCCUAAACUUUAGUAACAUAAUAGAUUUUAUAUUUAGAUUUAAAAAUAAGUUUAGUAAAACAAUAAAUGUCGAUGGCAUGCCAUUAUAAAUCAGUGUCAGGAUUUAUUUAUUAAAGUGGCUGCAAAAAUGUAUAUGUAGAUGACGCUAAAUAUAAAUAUAUUCAGAAAAUACAGAAAAUGAAUACAAUUUAAAAUAUAUCUCUAUAUAAUUCGAGUACUUACAGAUAGUUUCAAAACACAUGGAUUUUUGGGAUUUUACCCACAAGUUCUAAAAUCCAUUCGAGUUUUUUUAAAAUUUGAGAUUUUUAUGGGUGGGUUCAAUUUGGGUUAGGGCUGGACUGUUUUUUUUUACCACGACAACAUCCCUAGCUUCCGGAGAUGUCACUAAACUUCAUGUCCAAUUCUGGUGGAAACUUUAGUGAAAAUUGGUGGAAACUUGGGCUAAUGGGUACAAAGAAGAAAGUCUCAUGAAUCAAAUCAAGACUGUAUUGAAUAAAUUAUUUAUCCGAAACGGGUCUAGAUCAUAUUAUUUCACAUCUUACUGUAAUGAUUGACUUUAAAGAAUAUAGAUCAAAAACCUAUAGUAUCACACACAUAAUACUCCAAAAUCAUUUAAAAAUAAAACCAAAGGAAUGUUAUUUUUAUUUAUAGAAAUUCUAAUAAAUCACCAAAAAUUUAUAGAAUUCACAUAAAUCCCACCAAUCUAAAAUCCACAAAAUCUUUGAAUCACUCUUUCAAUACAAAGUGUGUAUUACACAUAACUUUUUCAACUUUACAUUCAAAAUAUACACCUAACUACUUUACCAAAAUCUUUAAAACACAAAUAUAUGACAUACAAUGAUACAAAUAUAACGGAUAAAUCUGCAUUAAAUUCUUUGCUUGGACUUUGGAUUUUUUUUCAUGCCCCAUCGAAUGAAUUCAAGAUACAGAUUUUUCCUUUUAACAACUGAACUCACUUAUUUAGAAGACGAUACAAUGUAAUGAUCAUUUAAAUCCAGAUUUAACUUUCAAUUGUCAAAUCCAUUACUAAAUAAAGAAAGGAAAACAAUCAUCUCACAUCUCUUCAAAGAGACCCCAAUCUCAUCCCUCCUCGCUGACAUAGAAAAGCUAUUGUUCUUGUAAAGAGACAUAACAUCAGUAUUAACUGGUCUUCCCCACCCAAAAUCCGCCCCAUAUAUCCCAAACUGGUUCGACCCGGUAACAGUCAAUACUUUUGUACCAACCUUCAUGUUUUUAGUUCCUUCCUCGUACACCUCCCAAACUGACUCAAGACUUCGUGAACCCAAACCUUUGACCGAAUCACUUAAAAUCUCAACACCGUUGACGAAUCCAUCUUCUCCCAAAAAGGUCGUCGCUUCAUAUCCAUUAAAAUCAAUUGGUAAAACACAAUUCCCAAAAUAUGUUAAAGGAACCGGUGGAUCUAACCGGUUUCUAAAAUCAGCAGCAUAAAUAAACCGAAUCGGUCUAUCCACACUGCCCCAUGCGCCUUAAUCACACAAGUCAACACAUAAGUGUACGUGACGAAUGAUCAUUUCUUGUGUCCUUUUUUGGGACAACUAAUCUGCAAAACCACUUUAGAGUCUUCAUAUCCCCUUUGAGUUAAUGAUUUGUGUUAAGACGAAUUUAUCCCUGUAAUUUAUUUUGAAUGAAUAAUUAGAAUAAUUAAUAGAAAACAUUUUGAAAAAAAAAAAAACGGAAAAAGAAAAAAAAAAAGCUCGAGCACGAGCUCGACUUCUUCUUCGGGAUUCUUCCUCCGGCGAGCUCCGGCAAGCUCCGGCGAGCCGCAUUGUCGUUUUUCUCCUCCUGCAAGCUGCAUCAAUCUACUAAGUCCAGGUAUGAAGAGAGCUUCAAAAGCUUUGAAUUACAUAUUUUGAGGAUUUUGAGAUUCAAUCCAAUUAGAUUUGGGUUAUUGUGUUUUAGCACCUAUAUUAGAAGUUUAAGUAUAGAUUUAGGCUUCAUUUGGUCUGUUAAUGGGUAAGCAAUUGAUUUCACAUGCUGAUUCAUACUAAAUUGAACUCAAAUCGAAUAUUUGUUCUUGUCGCGAAAAUAAUACUGGUCGAACUAGCUAUAGUAGUACCGUAAUUUAUAUAGAUAGUAUGUUUUAAUAGCACCAAUAUUACUUAAACACGUAGUAUUUCAUAUAUGUAAUAGUAUUACUCACACAUGUAAUAUUUCAGAAUUAGUACUAGUAUUACUGUAAAUGUACUAGAAUCGGUAAUACUAGUAAUAUUGACUGAGUAUGUGUAUUGUUUUGGCAGGUUACAAUGAAAGAGAACAUGAUCAUAUAUUUUAAAUUCCAAGGUCGCAUGUAUAAUGUGAUGAUGAAGAGAUUAAGGGAGAAGAUUACUCUCUCAGUGUUAGAAGAUAGGAUAAUGACGAAGCUUGGAUUAGAUGCAAAUAAGGUAAAAUUGCAUAUGAGGUACAAUCCACGGUUGUUCGGAGUAGAGGAAGAAAUGAACGUUUGUGAUGAUGAGGAUGUCUUUGUUUAUGUAACAUCCGCAAAAAAUAAUCGGAGAAGUGUUUUGGUUGUGGAGGAGAUCUCUAAACCGCCCGAGCCGGGGCAAUUGCCCGAGCAAUUGUCUAGAGUUGGUAAAAGUUCUGUUGGUAAGAACUAUACGGAGUUGAAUUCAGAGGAGGAUGAAAUGAGAGUGGAUGAUGGUGCACUCAUCGUCUUAUUAGAAGAGGAACAAGGAACUCAACAUCAACUUGAGGCAAUAGUGGAGGAUCACGGGACUCAAUAUUAACUUGAGGCAAUAGUGGAGGAUCACGGAACUCAACAUCAACUUGAGGCAAUAGUGGAGGAUCACGGGACUCAAGAAGAUGAAACACGCUAUGAUGAGUCUAUGGAUAAUUCUGAUAGGGGGGAACAGUAUGUUGAGUCGCCACCUGCUGUAGAACCGGGUAUGUUUAAAAAAGAAUGGGAAGACGGAAUUGGGUUGACCUUACGUCAAGAAUUUCCAAACAAGGCGGCAUUGCACGAGGUGGUGGAUUGAGCUGCAUUUGCUAACAGUUUUGGUUAUGUGAUUAAGAAGUCGGAUAAGGAGCGCUAUGUCCUAAAGUGUGCCAAAGAGAGCUGUUCUUGGCGUUUACGAGCGUCCAAUAUCAGUAAUACUGAUAUAUUCUCGAUUAGAAGGUACAAUAAGAUGCAUAGUUGCACUCGGCUAAGUAAAGGUAGUAGUAGGCUCAGGAAAAAAAACGCAACCCACAAUUAGUCGCAGCUCUCCUUCAUGAUCAUUUUCCGGGAUAGUUGGAAACUCCGGUUCCAAGAAUUAUCAUGGAGCUAGUUCAGACGAAGUUAGGUGUGAAAGUAUCAUACUCGACAGCGCUAAGGGGGAAAUAUCAUGCGAUUUAUGAUUUAAAAGGUACCCCGGAAGAAAGCUACAAGGAUAUCAAUUGUUAUUUAUACAUGUUGAAGAAGGUAAAUGAUGGUACAGUUACUUAUCUGAAAUUGGAUGAGAAUGAUAAAUUUCAGUACGUAUUUGUAGCUUUGGGAGCUAGCAUUGAAGGUUUUAGAGUGAUGAGGAAAGUUUUAAUUGUGGACGUAUUCGUAGCUUUGGGAGCUAGCAUUGAAGGUUUUAGAGUGAUGAGGAAAGUUUUAAUUGUGGAUGCAACACAUUUGAAGAACGGAUAUGGCGGAGUGCUAGUGUUUGCCUCGGCUCAAGAUCCUAACCGUCACCAUUACAUCAUAACGUUUGCCGUACUCGACAGUGAGAAUGAUGCUAGUUGGGAGUGGUUUUUCGAGAAGCUAAAAACGGUUGUACCCGAUACUUAAGAAUUGGUUUUCAUGACGGAUAGAAAUGCAAGCCUCAUAAAGGCCAUACGGAACGUGUAUACCGCGGCUCAUCACGGGUAUUGUAUUUGGCAUUUGUCCCAAAAUGUGAAAGGUCAUGUUACUCACACCAACCGAGACGUACUCGCAUGGAAGUUUCAGGAGUUAAGUCGGGUCUACGUCGUGGCGGACUUCAACCGAGCGUAUGACGGGUUUAAGUUGAGAUAUCCUAAGGCGACCAAGUAUUUGGAGGAUACAACCGUGAAAGAAAAAUGGACAAGGUGUUGUUUUCCCGGAGAAAGAUACAACUUAGACACAAGCAAUUGUGUGGAAUCUUUGAACAAUGUGUUUAAAAACGCAAGGAAAUACUCGUUAAUACCAAUGCUUGAUGCGAUCAUCAAAAAAAUCUCCGUUUGGUUUAAUGAACAUCGGAUGGAAGCCGCGUCUGGAUCUUUAGAAAAUAAGAUGGUGCCUUUGGUCGAGAAUUAUUUGCAUGAUUUGUGGGUUUUUGCCGAGAAUAUGUAGUCACAUGCGACAAAGGAAUAGAUUAUACGGUGAGCUUGCUUUUGAAAACUUGCAGUUGCAAGGUUUUCGAUAUCCAAAAAUAUCCUUGUAUUCAUGCAUUAGCCGCUUUCAUUAACAUUAUGGAUGAUGAAGAUCGGAGAAGAGGUUUGGAGUUACAUGAUUUGGUUACAAAAUAUUAUUGGGCGGAGUUGUGGGUAUUGGCCUAUUAUAGGACUAUUUAUCUUGUUCCGGAUAGGUCGCAGUGGGAAAUACCAGAUGAAGUAAAGGCGUUGAAGAUAGUUCCGCUGUCUAAAAAACCGAAGAAAGGAAGGAAAAAUAUGCUAAGGUUUCCAUCAACCGGGGAAAAGCAGCCAAAACGACAAAGGACGCAAAACAAAAGGCGUCCAAGGCAAUCGUGUCAAUGAUUAUUAUUUGGGAAUACGCCUAUCUGAGUUUUUUACUUUGUUUCUGCAGUGAUUUGUUGUUUUUAUGGUAUGGACUUACUAUGUAAUACUGUAUUUCCCCUUUCUGUAAUACUAUGUCUGUUUCUAUUGUUUUUUUGUAAUAUUGGUUAUAACAAGUAAUAUCAUGUCUGUUUCUGUCGAAUUUGUGGUCAUAUUAGUACUACUGGUAAUACUAAGUUGGUGUUAUGGAGUUCGAAUUUGUUUACCUCAAAACUCAAUGAAAAUGAAUACAGUGAGUUAUAAACAGAUAAAAAUGUAUUAUUAAUCAUUUAUACUUAAUUAAGUUAGAAAUUUUAAUAUUAAAUCGUUUUAACUUAUUUUUAGUAGACUCAAUACAACAUAUCCCUUAUACUUUUAAGCUCACUUUUAAUAUUAUCACCAACUUAAAAUGAAAAAUUCACAUUGCUACAUAUAUUUAAUUUAUAAUUGCACAAAAUAUUUAAACCUCUAUAUUUAUAAAGUUCAAUCUAGUGUACUACUAAAUAAACAAAUUGUAAAUAUAGGAAAUACUGCUAAACAUGAAAAACAUGGAAAGUAAUACUAUUUGAGAAAUUGGCACUACCAAAACCUUAGAAAAUACUAUGCUGUAAAAAGGCUGCGCACAUGUCAAAAAUCUCCAAAAAACGGCGCACACGUGGGGAAUUAAUUUUUUUGGUUUUCCCCCAAAAUUUUUGGCGCCUAACAAAUUUUGAGAUUCCCUCCAAAACCAAAAAUUUCACUUUUUUCUUUUUCCUCUUUCUUUUUCGAUCUUUUCUUACAACUUUCUUUCAUCUCUCAUCUCUCUUCUCCCACAUCUCUCAUCUCUCUCUUCGACUCGAAUUCUCUCACAUCUCUCAUCUUUCUUUCAUCUUUCUACCAUGGAUAGACUGUGUGAGAGAGACCCCUACUACGAUGAUAUGAAAGUGGCGAAGAGAGCCAUUGAGCAAAUGGAAAUGGUUGCGAUGAUGGAAGGGAUUCCUAAGUUUUGUCCAUGCGGUGGUAGCAUUGUCGACACUCGAAAGGAUGAAAAGAGAUACUAUCAAUGCGAGAAGUUUAAGGUAUGUUGAUGUAGAGCACAAGUUUUUCAAGUUUGUGUAGAUCUAGAUCUAGAUAUAUUUGGUAUUUCAGAGUAUUUCCCGUUAUGGUAAUACUGCCUAGAACAAGUAAUACUGCACAAGUUUUUCUAGGUUUUGUAGAUCUAGAUCUAUAUUUGAUAAAUAUUUGGUACUUUGUAGGAUGAUAGAACUGAUUGUAUGCACAUCCGUAAACUUUGGGAUAAGGCUAUGGAAGAAGAGGUGAGUAGCUUAAGGGAGAGUGUUGAUUACAAUCGGAAGAAAGUUCUAAGUCAUGAGUAUCUCAUAGAAGAAAUGCAAAAAGAAUUGAAAGCCCACCGUGCAGAGAUUGUGAACGUGAGCAAAGUGUUAUUCCGUAAUCCUAUGGCUCCAAAGAAGUAAUGUGUUAUCCUAUUGUUCCUUAAUCUUAUUGUUAAUUUGCUUGUAAGACUUUCCCUAUGCUUUGUAAGACUUUCUGUAUGCUUUGUAAGACUUUCCCUUCGAUUGUAAGACUUCUCUUUGAUUGGUAAUACUAUGGUUGUUCAGUUUGAUAUUUCCAGUAUAUCUCUUAGUAGUAAUAGCACGAGGUAUUUCCCGUAUUUCAGUUAACAAUAUCAUAAAACAUCCUAAUACAUUAAUUGAAUACAAACAUAGUUUUACGAGUACUUGCGAAAUCCUAAAACAAAGUCAAAGUACAAGAAAUCAAAAUACAAAUCCGGAGAAGUUACACGAAUAGUUUUCACACGUUACUAGACUUUGCACGGGUUGAACGGGUCACUCGUUUGGGCACAACAGGAGCAGCCGCAUUUUCCUUAAUUGUUGAUUCCUCCUCAUCUGGUGGGUUCUGAGACAUCUACAUUGUUAAUUUAGUUAAACCUUGGUAUUACGCGAUAUUACCAAUUAUGGAACAGUAUAUCCGGUAUUACCCAGAUUUACCUUGGCUUUCAUCUCAUCCAUAAAUGCUUCGAACGUUGCUUGUUUUUCCUCUAUUUCCAUAAGCACCAACAAAGCUUCAUUCAGCUUAUCAUUGAUGGAAUGGAGCUUCUCCAUUACAUCAACUAACGUCGGGUCUCCCGGUCCAACAGCUGUGGGAACUUCCUCUUCAUUUGGGGCUUCCAUUCGUGCCUGCACAUCCUCGUUGUACACCUCCUCAAAUCUAAUUUCACGCCCUUGACCAAGACGCUUCAUCCAACUAUCAACUACAACAUCGUGCUUAUCAACAUCAUCCUCUACUCCCGUGAUUUCAGCCAAAAGAGGUACUUCUUCAGCCUUCUCUCUAAUUAUACUCUCAAUGACCUAUGGAAAUAAUAGACAAUGAAAUAUUAGAAAGAAAUAAAAUCAUAUUUGCUCAAGGAAUAAUAGGAAAUACUAACCUCAGUUGUUCCGAGUACAUGGUUGAUUUGCUCAAGGGUAAAUCCUUUCAUCUCGAUCCUCUUGAAAUUCACCUUGCACAUCCUUUGACAACCGGCAUGUGCACCCUCUUUUUCUUCUAUGAAUCUUUCCCUAAGUGAUGGAAUGGCUUCAAAUGCUAAAAACUACACAAACCACAUGAAAUUUAAUUGUUAGCUUCAAUUACGAAAAUGUAACAAGGAUAAAACAUGUGACUUACCUCAAGCGGCACACAGAAUCCGGGAACAGGCCAUGGUGACUGAGUGUUCGGGACGACACCGUUAAAAUGAUCCAAUUUGUGUGAGAUCGAUUUUAACAUGUACUCAAAUGAAUAUCUCCCCGAUGGAAAUAUCUUACAAAACGUAAGAUCACUUGCAGACCUCACACAGAAAUCAUCAAUUGGACUAGCCCUUUCUCCGGUCUUAGUAGGCAUGACAAUGAUGCUAGUUAGAAAAUAGAGGGCCGCCAUCCGCAACCUAUCCUUUGAUCUAGCCGGUUCCAUCUCCAUUAGCUUGGUUUUCACGUCUUCACGUCUAAUUACCCCGGUUUUGAAGUACCUGUUGGCGAAGUUCAUAUUACCAGCACUCUGAUAACUAGCUGGAUAGGCCUUGCAGUUGAAACCAGAGAUCAAAGCAUGCUCCCUAAUACCAUAGCGGAUGGGAACUCCAUUAACAACGAACCAAACCUCCUUCUUCUUCUCAAUAGAUGCCGUUCGAAGAAAAAGCAUCCACAUCCGCAUUAACUUGUGGGUAUAUCCGGAAGGCAGGUGGUAGAUGUGCUUGAAACUCGGAUGCUCCAUAAAAUAAUUCUUCUCAACAUGCGUUAGAGGAUGUUCCAAGUCAGCGAAGGUCUUCAACACCUCCGAGAUAUAACACCUCGUUGCUAACUUCAUCUUCUUGGGAUACUCCGACACCGGGAAGUACAUACCAAGUGGCUGCAUUGCCAUCGCUUCCUCCAUAUCCUGAAAGAAACAAACAUUCAUUCAUAUAUCACUCAAUUGUAAAUAGUACUGCCACAGUAUUACUCUGUAUUUCCAAAAGUAUUCCCCGAAAUUACCAGUAUUACACAAAUCCUACUAUUCAUAUAUCACUCAAUUGUAAAUAGUACUGCCACAGUAUUACUCUGAAUUUCUCAGAAGUAUUCCCCGUAAUUACCAGUAUUACACAGAUACUCCUAUUUUACUAUGUAGUAUUUCUCAAAGUUACUAGUACUAACUAUCGAUAAAUCACAAUUGUAGUAUUACUCUAAGGUAUUACCCACAUCCGCCAAUAUUACCUAAAUAUCAACAUAGCAUUUCCCAAUGUUACUAGUACUGUCCACAGUUCACAAUUGCAUUAUUACCCAAUUAGAUCGGUAUUACGAAAUGGAAUACUUACCACAUUUGCGAUGUCCUCGUCUAUGGUCCUCUCCUCCCCGGAUUUUUCCACUAUCACGUCCUCGUCUCUCUCGUCCUCGUGUCCCUCAUCCUCCACGGACUUUUCCACAUUGACGUCCUCGUCGCUCUCAGAGCUCCUCUCCUCCUCCUCCUCGAUAACGGUUAGGCCGUCAUCUUGUCUCUCCGCCUCUUCCACGGGAUUAGCACACGCGAGUUCUUUGUUUGUCUCCGUCUCCUCUGAAUCGGAAUCGGAGCCCAAGGUUCGGCUACUACUCCCUGAUUCUUCUUCUUCACUUGCUUCUUCUUUUCAUUUUCAUCUUCCACCUCAUCAGUUUGCAUAUUCUCUUGAAUUUCUUCAGCAGGAAUAUGCUUCAGAGCAUCAUAAAACGUAGAAUCAUCAAGCAUCGGGCUCUCCGUCGUUGGAGCCGUCGUUGGAGCCGUUGUCGUUGGAGCCGCUGUCGUUGGAGCCGCAUUGGUUGCCAUCGCCGUCGCAGUCGUUUGUGUUGGCGACUGCUCCUCAGCCGGCACUUUCUCUUUAUCUUUCUUCGCCGGCGCCUGAACCUUCGCUUUCUUCGCCGGCGCCUGAACCUUCGCUUUCUUCGACGGCGCCUGAACCUUCGCUUUCUUCGCCGGCACCUUCUCCUUCACUUUCUCCGCCGGCGCCUUCCUUCACUUUCUCCGCCGGUGCCUUAACUUUCUCUGUCUUCGCCGGCGCCGACGCUUCUAUCUCAUUUCUUUUCCCUUGACCUCCUCCACGCGUCUUAGGCGGCAUGACUGAUUUCGAAUCGGAAAUAGAACGGAAAUACUGGUGAAAGGAAGAAGAACGAUCGAUUGAAUUUAAAGAAAUAGGGAAUGUUGCGGUUAAUUUCAGCGGUUACUAAGGAGAAGAAGAAGAAAAAUCAAAAACGGUUGUAAUGAGAAAAAGAAUGAAAUUCGAAUUGGGAAAUCCCUGGAAAUAUUAGAGUUUUUCUUAUUUGAUUUUCAAAUAAAGAGUAAAGGUGGUUCGGGUGGUUUGGUUCGGAAACGAACCAUGAUUUUUCUGGUAAUUAAUAGGUUCGGAUGGGGAUAUACUAGUAAUAUCCAUAUAUUUCGAAUUAAAAAAAAAAAAAAUUAUUUCUGUUUUUUACAAGGAUUUUUUGGCUUCCUCUUUGCAAAAAAGGGACUGGCCAGAUGAUUUUUCGUACGUGACUACAAACGUUGAUAGAAGAAGAUCGGACCAAGUUGACUCGUUCUUGGCUUGUUCUUUAAGUUUCUUGAUGUUCGCUUCACUCAACUCGAGCGUGACCCGAACCACGUUGAUGUUCUCUUUAGCGGGAGGCAGCAUUAAAUUUCUUGCAUUGACUUUCUCCUUUGAGAGAUAUGGCAAGAGUUGAAAGAGUUUUGGUUCGAGUCCGGCCGGAACAUUGAUGACCGUACGAUCUAAAACCAUAGGUAGAUCAAAAUCUUGUGGUAUGUUCCCGUGUUUACAUAUAUGAGCCCAAGCUUUGUAAAACUUGGACGCUGUUUUGCCGUCCAUGACGACAUGGUGAACUAUGGUUCCAAUGGAAAAGCCUUGGUUUGGGAAAAAAGUGAUUUGUAUAGACAGAAUCGAUGCUGAGUCAGAGGAAACUUGUAACUCGGGGACAAGAGGACGUAAUUCAGCCUCCAGACGAAGUUCUUUGCUAGAGAUAUAAGAGAAGUCAGCUUCGGACUCGACCACUGUGAGAGAGACAGUGUCUUUGGGGAAGAUGACUAUGUGUGGUUUAGGAUCUUGGGGGUUCCAUUUGAGGUAACCGGAUAGUGGGAGAAAGUGUGAGAGGAAGAGGGAGAGGGAUUAUUCGAGCUUGGGUUGGAUCGAGGAGAAGAAGGAGUCACGAGAUGACUCGGUGAGUUUGUAGAAGGUGACUCUCUCUGUGGGAUAAAGUUUUAGCCAAAGUAAAUCAAAGAAAGUGAGUGGAAGAACGAGUAGUUCGACUGAGUUAGUUGCAGGGCUCACUCGAGCGAUCUAGAUCACGUUUAAGGCCAUCGUUGACGGAGACAAUCUAUCUUGGGCAGUCUUCGAACAGACGAGUGUUUGGUGUGUGCCAAAGUAAAACUUUAUUCACCAAUUAUCAAAAGCAUAUGAAAGAUGCUCAGGGUAGGUAAAGCCCACUACAGGAAAAUUGAGUAUUCUUAGCGGUCGAAUAAGCUAUCUAACGAGAUGAUAGCGGAGUAGAAAGCGCUAUAUCUUCGUCCAUGAUAAUAGGUCGAUGACUUCUAAUAGCAGUUUUAAGUAGUGCUAUAUUUUGAUUAUAUAUUAUAGCGUGUUCUUUUUGCAAUUUAAUAUUAUUUAAUAAUGAUUAUAUUUUGUUAUUAAUUAUUAAAUAACAGUAUUUAAUAUAUGCAAUUUAAUAAAUUGGAAUAACAUUUAUAAUAUGCAAUUUAUUCAAUUAAAAUAGCAUUUAUAUAUAUGCAAUUUAUUCCACUAAAAUAGCUUUUGUAUUAUCAUUAUUUCGGUUUGUUAUAUUUGUAAUUAUAUAUUAUUUUAAUUUAUGAGGUUUUUUGGAUAAAUUGAGUAUUGACAUAUAAAUAUAUUAUAUUUUAUUACAUUAUAUGAAAUCAUAACACAAAAACAAUAUAUUACAAAGUAUAUACAAAUUUUUUUUAAAAAAAAGUAAAAGUACAUAUAUUAGUAGAAACUCUUAUAUGAACUAGAUGAGUACCCGCACUACGUGCGGGCUUAUGUAGUUUACGACUCUUAAAGUUAUUUUUAUUCAAUAUUAAAUUAUCUAUUCCUAUAAAAUUGAGAGACUACCACAUAAACCUUGUGUAGAAAUGUAACACAUCAACAAGGUUAACAUAAACCUUGUGUAGAAAUGUAACACAUCAACAAGAUUAGCAUCUGUUCUUUUGAUGCUUCCGGCCUUUGACAUCUUUGUCCGUUGUUUUAUUUUUAACCUAUCCAAUUCGUGUUAUAAAUCCAGUGUUUUGUGUAAUUUGAAAUUUAGAUGUUUAGGCAAAUAGAAUACCUUGAAGAGCAAGCCUUCCCACCGUUAUAUUCUCCUUUGCCGCAUCACCAUCGUCAGGAUUGUCACCAUUGCUCUCGUCCUUGGUCAUGAUAUAUUAAUAAUUAAUCAAUAGAUAAAUAUACCUCAGUUUCUUCUCCUCCAUCUACAUGUAGCACAUGUUAAUGAUUGUAGUUGAUUUUGUUCUUGCAAUCUGAAAAAAGAAAACAUAUGAAUAUAUGAUGUUAGUUUACUCUUACAAUCCCAAGAAAUAAUUUAAAAGAGAUUGAAAAGUAAGACAUGCAUGUAUUUAUAAUUUUAUAUGGGAGCUAAUUAAAUAUUUACGUUAUGUAACAUAUAAGUGGAUAUGAUUAGAAGUUUAAAAGUUAUUAAAAAUUAAAAUGAAAUUAAUACCAAUAAGUUGUAUACAUCAUGCUCUUGGGGAAGUUUGGAUAAGAAUAGUUGGGUAUUUGAAACGUCCAAAUAUUAUUCAUGAAUCAUGAAUAGUUGAGUACUUCGUAAAUGCAUAAUCGUGGAUAUGAGAUUUUAUGUAGAUUAAAUCCUGGCUUUACUUAGAGCUGAUUAAUUAUUUAUUUGUUUAUUUUAAUAGGUACACGUGGCGAGCUAUUAGAUGCUGACGUGUCAAGCAGAUGGAGAAAGAUAGCCUCCUUUCAUAUAUAUGAUUCAUCUUGUAAACCUCACUGUAAACAUGACACCAAUUUUCGCUGCAUCCAACACACACAAAGCCUUUAUCCUGCAAACACCAAAUUCUCAUUAACACUGAUAAUAGGUUUUUAAGAUCAAUUAAUCCUAAAGCACUAUCAUGUUGUUGUAGUACUGAAGGUUGUCAAUUCAAAUGGGUAUGAUGCUAACAAUCAAGAUGUGAUCAGAAGUCACUAAGUCAAGCCAAGCAAUAACAGGUUUUGGUGUGUUCUAGCAGUCCUAAGUGAACAUGCAGAAAACAGAAAAUCAAAUAGAAACAGUAAAACACUCGACCAACACAGCUCUUUGCAGAGCACUGGGUGAGGUCGAGUAACAGACAGAAAGUAUAACACAGAUACUCGACUGCACAGUCUGUUGCCAGACAACUGGGUGGUCGAGUAUGAGGUCGAGUAACAAGAAAGAAUUGUAGAAAUUAAGCAACAAAUGACAAGAUGCAGUAAACAACAGUAAAGUAAACAAAGAAUUCAAUCAGAUAAAGAAUUCCCGAGGAUGGGGUAAUUGAGUAGUUUCGUUUCCUCAGUUUACAAGUGAUUGUCAUGCUCAAUAAAUUGUCCCUAGACAACAAGUUCAUUAACCAAAUCUAAGUGCCACCGCAACAGAGACCCUCAAGUUAACCUAGUCCCAGACUCAAUCACCAUUGACGAGAGCUAACCUAACAUGCAUUACGAAUCAACAAGUUAAAGCCAAAACGCUCUCUGCAUCCAAUACCUUGGUACAUGGCCACGAAUCUCUGGAAUUAGUGGUUCAGACAUUUCAUCGAACACCUUUUGGGCGCGGAGAUGUCUGGGCUCAAAUUCCAGUUGAUCAGAAAGCAAUAAGCAUUAAGAACAACUAAUCCAGAAGGGAUCUAUCAAUCAAUACUCAACCACCUAGCAUACUAAGAAUUCUACACUUACUCUAACCCAUCCUCAGAAACCUAUUCACUACUCAGACAUCAUAGCAGAAAGCAUAAACGUUGAACAAGUUGAAAACAUGAUAACAACAGUGUAACAACAGGAUGAUAACAGAAUGAACAACAGUAAACUAAAAUCAAGAACAAAUACUGAAUACUUAAUAGAUAAAGAGAAAUCCGGAUUACAAAAGGUCUAGAACACAGUGUCUGCAGAAUAAAACUAGAUAAAAACUUGUUUGCGAAAAUGUGAAGUACAUGCUACUUAUAGCCAAAUAUUCUGAAACCCUAAUACUUAAAACGACGCAGUAUUGGGACGGAUUAAGAACUGUACUCGACCCAUGUGGUCGAGUGGGAGGUCGAGUGAAUAGCUGGAGUCUUCUUUUCUUCCUUGUUCUCGAGUGUUUGGUUGAGUACGGAAUGAAGAAGACUCUGAAGCUUGCCAGCGAGUGUGUAGUCGAAUGGUGGUGAUGGUGAUACUCGACUUCCUGGUAGAGUGAUGUGGUCGAGUGAUGAUCAGGUAAUGGAGGUGAAGACACUCGACCUCGGGGUCGAGUGAUGUGAUCGAGUGGUGGUAAGGUGAUGGAGAUGAAGACACUCGACCUCGUGGUCGAGUGGUGAGGUGAAGUGGUGAUGUCCUCUACUCGACCAGGGGGUCGAGUGGUCUGCUGAGGUUGUGAAUCGUCUACUCGACCUAGGGGUCGAGUGGUUUUGCAUGAUCAGGUCCGCUUCUUCCAAUUAGCUCGUCAACAACUCCGAAUCACCUGAAAACAACACAAAUAUGCAACAUGCAUGCAAAACUAUCCUAAACAUGCAAAGUGAUGACAAAUGAUGAGAAAUGAUAUAAAAUAGUGAUGAUAUGAUGCUAAAGUGAUGACAAAUGGAUGCUCAAAACAUGCAAAAUACACACUUAUCAAACACCUCACAUCAAUUUCUUAAAGUACCAAUUCUACUUAAUCUAGACAUUUGCGCCAAUUCAAAUUACAGAAAUAUAUAAUUCUCAGAUCCCACUAGGCACUAGUUAUGGCCUCAGACAAAUCCAAGUAACAUAAUGUUGUAAAUCUUUGUUUUCAUAUUUCUCAUUGUCUUACACAACAUCACUACCACAUUUAAUUAACAAAAAAAAUUUAUAGAAGAAAAUAAGACAACAACUCUUUAACCACUACACAACCAUUCCCACUAGACUUACUUAACUCUUAAACUUAGUUUAGUCUUUACUUAAAAAAAUAAAAUACAAAUUGAUGCAAAAGAAAACCAAAGAAAACAGAUUGCUUGUCAAACAAGCAAAACAAAUUUUGAUGAAAAUAACUGAAGAGCUUGAGAGGAAGUUUUUUUUUUCUCACUUAAAGAUUUUCAUUAUAUAAUACAUCGGAGAAAUAUAUUUUUGGGAUGCGUUUUUGAAAUACAAAAGCCGGGGCAAAACAAAAAUAUCUCCGAAAGAUAAAGCCCGAUACACCGGAAACAGAAGGAAAUAUACUAAAGUCAAAAAGAAAAGCUCUCGAAAUCAUUAGAAAAGUCGGAGGAGAACAAUAACUGCGGGAUUAAGAGCUUAAAGGUCAAAGUCUAGAAAACCCACAAUCGCGGAAUUUAGAGCUCAAAGGUCUCGAACAUACCUAGCAAUCUCAAAUAUGAGUCUCCUUCUUAGAUUUGAGUAUAGCAUGUUGAUUUCGGAUGAGUAAGAUUCAAAGAAACUAGCUCAAUACACACAAUUGGACAAGCAAAAGCCACAAAUAAUCAUUCAAUUGUAAAUUUAGAAUCUUGACACCAUUGACAAACCCAUAUUCCCACAAAAAUGCCAUCGAAAAACAUUCAUCUCACAUUUCUUCAAACAUAUACUAAUCUCCACACCACCUAUUUCAUCCCUCCUCGCUGACAUAGAAAACUCACCGUUUUGGUAAAGAGACAUCAUUUAAGUGUUAACCGGUCUUCCCCACCCAAAAUCCAAUCCAUAUAACCAAUAUUGGUUUGACCCGGUAACAGUUAAUACUUGUGUACCCAACUUCAUGUGUUUAGUUCCUUCUUCGUACACUUCCCACAAUGACUCAACACGUCGUGAACCCAAACUUUUGAUGGAAUCACUUAGAAUCUCCACGCCAUUCACAAACCCAUCUUCUCCCAAAAUGUAUGUCAAUUGGUAAGACACAAUUCCCAAAGUAUGUCAAAGGAACCGGAGGGUCUAAACGGUUUCUAAAAUCAGCAGCGUACAUAAACCGAAUUGGUCUAUCUACAUUGCCUCCACGCGCCUUAACCACACAAGUCAACACAUAAGCAUACUUGACUACAAACGUUGACAAGUAAAGAUCAGACCGAGUUGACUCAUUCUUGGUUCGUUCUUUAAGUUUCUUGAUAUUUUCUUGAGACAGCUGGAGCGUGACCCGGACAAGGUCGUCGUCAAUCUCUUUAGCGGAAGGAGACUUUAAGGUUCUUGUGUCGUUGUCUACGUCUCCUGAUAGAUACGACAGGAGUUGCAAGAUCUUAAAUUCGAGUCCGACAGAAACAUUGAUCACCGUACGAUCCGAAUGUGUAGGUAAAACAAAACCUUGUGGUAUGGUUCCGUAUUUACAUAUAUGAGCCCAAGAUUUGUGAAAAUUUGUUGAGGUUUUGCCGUCCAUGAUGACAUGAUGGGUUGUGAGCCCAAGAGAGAAGCCUUGGUUUGGGAAGAGAGUGAUUUGUAGAGCAAGAAUAGAUGAAGAGUUAGAGGAAGUUUCUAACGUAGGGAUAAGAGAACGUAACUUGCUCUCGAGACGAGGCUCUUUGCCGGAGAGUCUUGAGAAGUCAGCGUCGGACUCAACCACAGUGAAGAGACAGUGUCUUGUGGGAAGAUGAUGACAUGUGGCUUAGGAUCUUGUGGAUCCCAUUUGAUGUGACCAGAGAGUGGGAGGAAGUUAGUGAGGGCAAGGGAGAGAGAUUGCUCGAGCUUUGGGAGGAUUGUGGAGAAGAAAGAGUCGUGAGAUGAUGACUCAGAGAGUUUGUAAAAGGUGACUCGCUCGAUGGGAUGGUGUUUUAGCCAAAGUAAAUCGAAGAAAGUGAGUGGGAGGAAGAGCGGGGUGACUGAGUUAGUUGCAUGGCUGACUCGGGAGAUCUUGAUCAUGUUAAGAGCCAUCGUUGAUGGAGACAAUUUCACUUGGACUCAAUUUCAGGUAUUUGUUUCAAAACAAAAUUUCACCUUAGCCUUCUAUCUCAGUUUUUCUUUUAGAAAGUGGCAAAGUGGGCUGGGCCAAUCAGGUUUUAGCCAUUUGGGCUUAAGUGGACGAAUAUACCCUCCAAUAAGAAAUGAAACGAGGCGGUUUUCUUUGUUUUUCUGUUUAUGAAAAUAAUAUUUAAACUUUAAAAUAAAUCAAAAACAAGUUAAUAAUUUUAAAACUACCAAAAAAAAAUAAAAGAAAAUCAAAAACUCUUUUCGAAGACGCAGAACAAUUCUGACGAAACUUAAACCCAUAUUGAAAGUGAAAUUUCGAUUGAGGCUCUCUUCGAGUUCAAGUCGUUGCUUAAGUGGAGGAAAUUUUGAUCGAGUUCGUGUUAAAGUGUCUAACAAUAAGAGGAUUUUUGGGUUUCUCAAUUCACUGUUUAUAGAAGAACUCAAAUGGCAGAGAUGAAGAAGAGUAGUCGGCGACGAGGAGUUUCCGAAUUUAGUGUCGAAGACGCAAAAUCAAAAACUGUUUUGAAGACGCAGAACAAUUCCGACGAAACUUAAACCCAGAUCGAAAGUGAAAUUUCGAUUGAGGCUCUGUUCGAAUUCGAGUCGUUGCUUAAGUGGAGGAAAUUUUGAUCGAGUUCGUGUUAAAGUGUCUAACAAUAAGAGGAUUUUCGGGUUUCUCGAUUCACUUUUUAUAGAAGUACUCAAAUGGCGGAGAUGAAGUAGAUUAGUCGGCGGCGAGGAGUUUCCAAAGUUAAUGUCAUCGGCGGCGACGACAAAUAUGGGUAAGUUUGCCCUAACUUCGUUUGGGAAUGUUUUGAUACAAAAUUUAGGUUAAUUUUAGAGAUUUCAAAUCAGAAAAUUUCAAUUGACAAAGGGUUUUUAGUGUUUCCGCUAAAAACAGUAGAUUGAGUAUAAAAUUUACGGUGUACGUGUAUAUGAAUAUCAAGUUUAUGUUUAGUUUGUAUUUGGAUAUAGUGUACGUCUUAAGAACUUCAUCGUAUUUUUCAACUUUCAGGAAGUACUUCUAAGGAUCCUGGUGAAUUACCACAGAGGUUGUUUGCACUCGACCACUACCCAACCAAGGCUAAGAUAAAUGCGUACUCUAAACCGGAGUACCUUAGUCAUCUAGCAUAUGCGCUUAAGGGAAUACCAGAAAUAACGUUCCUUCUAGAGUCUCCAUUUAGGGACCUAUUUAGGAUCCCUGUUAACAAGCCAUCUUUUUCUGGUAAACUUGUUCUUGGGUUAAUAUGCCGUCAGUUAGUUACAAAGAAAUGAUAUGAGAUGUAGAUGGUAUUCGGUGAUCAUCCUAUUAAGUUAGGAUUAAGAUAAUGAGCACUUUUAACUGGUUUGGAAUGUGGAACCUAUCCUAAAAAUAUGACUUUGACUUGGUACAUAGAUGAAACUGCUAGAUCCUUUGUAGCUUGCGAUAUUAUGCUAGUAUCCUUUCCCUCAAUAUCCACAUGAACAAGUUCAAUAUGUUCAAAAUCCUCCAGAAAACUCUUUAAGUGUUUCAACUCUUCAGCAGUUCCGCAAUAAGCAAGAACAUGCAACACCCUCACUUGGUUCAGAGGCAUGGAGAAAUCACCUGUGUAACCAUUCAGAUCCUAAAAAAACAUUAAUCAAGAAGAUUGAUCAACCACACAAUUUGUAUAUAUAUAUUGAUUCAUAGAUUUUUCUUACUGAAUAUAUAUAUAUAUACCUUGAUGGUUAGAUUUUCAAGCUUUGGAGAAUGCUUAAGUACACAUUUGCGAGCAAUUACCAACCAUCUUCAUUCAUAAGACCUAAAGAUAACUUAAUUAGACUGUUGAACACAGUUAGACAAUCUUCAUAGAAGGAACAAAUCAAACAAAUCUUCUGAAAACAAAAACAAACUUUAAGACUGUCCCAAGAUUUCUCAAAACGAAACAAGGAAAAUUGCCGAGACGCAAAGAACUUACAUCGACCGAACCAGGAGACAAAUGAAGGAUCUCAACAUUAAUUUCUUAUCCCCAUAAUGAGUUUCAUUACAUCUGCAUCCGCAAUGCCUGGUGGAUCAAAAUCCAGCGUGUAGCAUGUCAGGAGUCCAUAUUAACUUGUGGAUACUGACACAAGGAGAAACUAGAAUAGUUGAGGUAUACAAGAUUUGGCAGGUCAAAUGAUAGGCUGCUAUUAAUAACACGACUUCGAUAAUAAACUGAUAGUCUCUUGAGAGACGGGCUCAAUAUGGUGUUGUUAGGUAUUGUUGGUUUGCCUCUGAUAAGGAGUGUGUUAAGGAAUAUUGUUAACACCUAAAGCACUCGGCAACCAACAAGAAGCGUGCAAAGCAAAUCAUCAUGUUUAUCGAUAAUCGUAUCUAUGUAGAGAAACUUAAGAGAUGGAAGUGACACAUAUGAAGGAAGGUUUCUAAGAGGGAGCCUUAGUGACAGCUUAACAAGUGUUUUGCUUGCAAAGAGCUGGUGAGGCAAACAUUAUGCAUCUCGAUCUUUUAUCCUUAGUUCAAUUUCCAAAACACCACGUUUUAUGACAUGAGAGAUCCAACUGCCCACAUAAGCCUUUUGCCUUUGAUUCUCCUUUGGAACCUUACAUUUUAGAGAGAAUUUCUUGAUCAGAAAGUCACAUUGCUAAGUCAGAGUUCAAUCCACAAAAUUCUUGAAGCUAUUAUUCAAGAAAGAAUCAUCAAAAUCGAGAGUAUCCACCAAGCUAAACAUAUACCUCCACUUUUUUGAGAGGACAAAUGUUGAAGCAGCUUGUUUUGUCUUUUUUUAUGUAUGAAUGUUAAAUUUAUUCACCAAAAAAGACUGUUUUACAAAAAAUGCAACAUCAAGCUGAACGUUUGAGAAGAAAAAUUAAAGACGAACAACUGAAAUAUAGUUAAUUCGGAUGAGUAUGGAACCAAUAUCGUAGCCCACCUUCGUAGGUAGGGGAGGCCAGCAAAGUACUAAGCUGGUUUCGAACAUUUUUAUCGACCAUUUUUGCUAGCGUGUUGGGUGGAGUUGGUGGUUCCCCGUGUUUCCUCCCAUUCCGUUCCCGCCAUACACUAUGGAUGGAUAACUGAAACACAUAUCGCAAGACAAAAAGAUGGACCUUUGGAAUUGGUAAAGUCGUAAGCAUGGAAAUCAGAGACUCCCAAUGAGUUGUGUAGUGUUGUCCAAGCAAGUGCCGGGUGAAGGCGGACCAAACCUGAGUCGAAUAUGAACAAGAGAAAAAGAGAUGGUCCCUUGUUUCGAUAUCCUCAUGACACAAGACACAAUUACCACUUACGGCAACAUUCCAAUUGAGCAUUCUGUCACCAGUCGCUAAGCGAUUACGAACUGCGAUCCAUGCUAUGAAAGAGUACUUAGGUGUAGAUUUGGGAAACCAUACACCUUUGUACCAUUCACAUAUUGUAUAUGUUGUCGUAUCGCAUGCCAAGUUUCUCUUCAGAUGAAAACAUUCUCGAAAGUGCCAUUGUUUCUUUUUCAAAGAAAAUUGUCCUUCCCAGAAUGAUGAGUAGGGCGUGAGUUUAGGACUCUAAUUCAUCCUCAAUCCGGUUGAGCAAAACAGACCUAUGACGACGACGGUGCGCUGAGAGGCCUUCUGCAACUGAGCAAGUAAAGGAGAUACCUAAAUCAAUGCAUCCACGAGGACCUAAAAGAUCCGUCAACCUACCAAGAGAACACCAAUAAUCAUACCAAAAGGAGGUAUCUGAACCGCUAUUUACCUCCAAUCUUUGUAAAGAUUUUGCCUUGUCUCGAUACUUUAGAAUUUUUCUCCACAUCCAAGAACCAAUACUUGUAGAUCCGUUUACCGGCCAUAAGGAUUUUGAUCGUAACAGAGUUGCUCUGACCCAGAGAGAAUCUUUGGUAGAGACGAGUCGCCAAAUAAGCUUCAGUAAAACAGUGUUCGUUUCAGAUAGCGACCUUAGCCCCAUCCCCCCCCCCUUGAGAGGAGACUUUCAAGUUCCUUUAUGCACUUACUAGGCAACCUGAAGACUGAGAGCCAGAAGCUUGUGAUGCUCGAUAGAACCGAAUUUAGCAGUUGUAAGCGACCCGCAAACGAUAAAAACCGAUCUGUCAAAGAAGCGAUUCUAGAUCGUAUUUUCUCAAGAAGUGGGAGAUAGUCGGAACGUGUCAUACUUUUUGUGAGAAGCGGGAGACCAAGAUACUUGACCGGAAGUGUUCCCGCAACAAAAGGAAAUUGGUGAAGCAGAUUAUCUAUACGCUGAGGUGAGCAACCUGCCAUAAACAACGUCGAUUUCUCUAAGCUGAUUUAUAGACCCGAAAAUCCUGGAAAGUUCCCAAAGACCUGUAGUAAUGCUGCUAUGGAUCGAGCACUACCAUCUGAAAAAACCAAACUGUCGUCCGCAAAACACAAAUGACUGCAUGAGUCCCAUGUUUUUAAACCAAGGAUGGUACCCAAUAUCAUUAUCCCUAGCCGCUUUGUCAAGCAUUUUAGACAGAACAUUCAUACAAAUGACGAUGAAAUAAGGUGAGAGGGAGCAGCCUUGUCUCAACCCUCAUUUGCUUUGGAAGUAACCUGCCAAUUCUUCCAUUGACUUGAACCGAAAAAGAUGCAGUACCAAUACAGAGUUCAAUCCAUCGAACAAAAACCAGCGGGAGAUAAUAACCUUUUAGAACCGUGAGAAGAAAAGGUCAUUGGACCGAGUCAAAAGCCUUUGAUAUAUCAAUCUUUAAUGCACACCUUGCGGAGAUUGAUUCCUUAUAUCAUAAGGAUACACUACAAGAAAACAGGUGAUUGACGACCUACAAGUCAGUCGUUUAGUAGUCGUAACUAAAGCUAAUACGACUAAUUUGCGACUAAUGACUGUAGUCAUUAAUCCAUAGUCGCUAAAAACACUAGUCGUUAAUUAGUCGUUGGUCAACGACAAUAAUACGACAACUGACUAAACAGUGAAAAAUCGUCGUUACGUAGUCGUACUAUGUCGGCGACUAAUUGACGACUAUCCUACGAUUAUUUGUACUGUACAGAGCGUGUGAGAACAUGUAGUCGUUUCGUAGUCGUUAAUUGUGUACGACGACAUUACGACGAUGUUGCGAUGAAAUAUUCUAAACCUUGGGUAUGUUUCCAAUUGUCGUAAAAUAGUCGUAAAUAUGUUUACGACUAUUCGACGACUCUUUGACGAUUAAAAGUACUUUACCAAGGAUUUGAAAGUUUUUGUCAUAACAUAGUCGUAUAAGUAUAUACGACUAUUGGACGUCUGUUUUACGAUUCUUUUAUGACUAAUUUGUUUAGUCUUAUGAUUGUCGUAAAGUUAUGUGACUAAUUGACGACUAUUCAGCGACUAUAGUGCUACUUAUUUACUACUUUUUUGCGACUAAUAGUUUGGUCCGAAUAAAGAUUUGGUCAUCAGGUGAUGGGUUUCUUGUUUGUUCUUGUUUAUUCAUCGAUUGUUCUUGUUUGUUAUUGAUAUGCUAUACAAUAUGAAAACACUGCUUAUAUAUUGAAAAUCAAGUUCAAAACAUAAAAUUAUCUUGUUCAAACAUACAACUUAUUGAAAGAUACAACUAGUGUUUGGAAACCUAAAUUCUAUGGAUCAUUAGAUGGGGGAGUAAUUGGGAUACGCUCUGUGGAUGUGGAAGAGUGUGUGGCAAUGAAGUCCAAGAACUGCGGAUCGGUUUGGCGGAGAUACUUCUCGACUAAGGACAAGUGCUCGAGCUUGUCCUUUUGCUUAGCUGUGACUCGGGCUGUCUCGGCUUCUCGGGCAGCAAUCUCAGCAUCUCGCUUUUCGUUAUAUGCAGCCUGUUCUUCAAUUUGCCGCUGAGCUUCCUGCAGCCGUUCUUCUAAGGCUUUAAAGGUUGAGUCUCCGGGGAGUUGGCGGUUGGCACUGCCUAGAGUUUCUUUAAGACAGCCAAGUUCAUAAGGAUUGCCUCUUGCAUCCUUUUCUGUGGACUGCAAGAAAUAAAGAGGAAGAUAAUUAGUGACAGAUCCUAAAUGUCUCUAAGACUCUGAAAAAGACAAAGAACAUCUUACCUCGAGAAAUAUGGCUGCAUACUCAUCUAGUGUGAGAUCCCGAGGACGUGAAGAGCCAUCAGACACAGAAGAAGCAGCCGCCUCUAGUUCAGACAACUCUCUCACAUUCUGCUCAUACGCCAGAGCAAUCUUCUCUGCCUUCUGAUCAACAUAAGUCCCAUCCGACUUAGUGUGUGUUUGGAUGAACACCUCACCAAGAGGGACAGGUCUUCCCAUUUUUUCUUCCUGCAAACACAGAUCACAAGCUUCAUUACUAUCAACAGACUAAACAUCACACACAGUUAAACGAACAUCACUAAAACACAUGGGAAGAUUGCAGAAACACUUACCAAUUCAUCUUGGAUUUCUUGGAAAGACUUUGGCCCAGAGUAGUGGACGUGAGGACCGAGACCGUUACGGUCAGAGAGACGAGCUUUGGAAUAUGUCUUACUCCUUUUUUGUGCCUCUUCAGUGUCCCAGUAGUCGCACAUGGUUCCCCACAGAGUUUCUCCAAUCCAUGGAGGCUGCUCUCGAGUUCUCCUUGCGGUGCUAACCAUGUCCUUCAAGCGCCUCUUAACGAUCUCAUUGAAGUAGUAUUGGACUGUCCCUGUUAUUAAGAGAUCCCAGUGGUGAGUUUUCUACAAAAAAAGUGUGAAGUUAGUGAACAAAUGACAGAUUAAAUAGUACAGUCUAAUGAAAGUUGGAGAAAUACAAGAAGCUUACCGCAAACUCUAAAAACAAUCUUUCUCUUUUAUCCAAUGGCACACAGGACCAAUUAUAGUAGGGAGCAUUGAACUUUUGAGUAAAAAUCCAUGUGAUCUUUCUAACCAAUUUAGAUCCUCUGUCGCGAGUAAACCUCCAAACACAUGCAACACAGACAGAAAGUAAACAUGUUUAAAAUCCAAAACACUACAACUACAGCAGACUAUAUAAUUGAACAAAGGCAGAUUCUACAAGAUUCUAGACAAGUAUAAGCCGACAAGAUCACACACAGAACACAAUAGUCAACAUAACAAGAUCAUAGACAGUAAAGAACAAGUAUAGACAAGUAUAGAACAAAGACAGAUCCUCAUUGUCAAAGCCGAAAACAUGCUAAGUUCAACAAUCAACAAAUGUUCCACAAUUAUGUUCAUGAUUCACAACAGAACACAAUAAAGAACUUAACAAGAUUAUAGACAAGUAUAGAACAAAGACAGAUCCUCAAUGUCAAAGCCGAAAACAUGCUAAGUUCAAUAAUCAACAAAUGUUCCACAAUUAUGUUCAUGAUUCACAACAGAACACAAUAAAGAACUUAACAAGAUUAUAGACAAGUAUAGAACAAAGACAGAUCCUCAAUGUCAAAGCCGAAAACAUGCUAAGUUCAACAAUCAACAAAUGUUCCACAAUUAUGUUCAUGAUUCACCACAGAACACAAUAAAUAACCUAACAAGAUUAUAGACAAAGUGAAGAACUUAACAAGAUUACACACGAGUUUAGAACAAAGGCAGAUUCUACUAUGUUACACAAACCCUAACAAACAUCCAAUUCCAACAAAGGCAGAUUCUACUAUGUUACACAAACCCUAACAAGCCAUUCUACAGACCAUAACACGAGUUACACUACACAGGCUAAGAACACUAGAAUAAAAUAGAGGAAGAGAACAUACCACUCGGUUUUAGGUUUGGGAAUUGGAGACAAGACACAACACCACUAGAUGGGGUAGAGAGUGUCGAUUGCAGAGCCAACGCCGAGUCUUCUUGUAGCUCCGACAACGUCCCAGGAACUUCCUCUUGGAAGUUGUUCCCUUGAGACGACGGGUGGCUGUUUGCUGGAGCGUCUGAAUCUCGCGACUGAGGAGGAGUUUGCUGAGGUGGCGCUGUUGGCGGCGGAGUGUAGUGGACCUCUUCAGAUAGAGGCGGAGGAGCUUGAUGUUGUGGUUGAGUCGUUGAGUUCUGGAAGAGUUGCAGAGGCGGUGGAUAGUUGCGGACGUGGGGUGCAGACGUUGAAGGUCCAUGUUGUUGAGCCGGCUCCGUCGCAGGAACUUGAACCGCCAGCGCCGGAGUGAAGUUGUAUUGGGGAGGAAGAUUUGCAGGUCUUGAUCCGCCGGCGCCGGCUCUCUGAGUGACGUUCGGCGUCGUCUUACGCUUCCGGGAGCCACCUCGACCGGCGAUAGGCAUGAUAGUGAGCCAAAUGAAGAGAUUGAAGAGAAAAAGAAGAAGACGACGAAGCAGAUCGAAGAGGUUGAAGGUGAGAGAUCGAAGAAGAUCGAUCGAUCUUAGCAGAAGAAGAAGAAGAUCGAUCUAGAAGGAGAAAGGAUUGAUCUUAGAAAGAGUUCUGGGGAUUAGGGUUUUCGAGACGAAGAAGAAGAAGAAGAGGAGGUUGGAUCGAAUAGGUUUAAGGUGAGAAAUCGAAGAAGAUCGAUUGAUCUUAGCAGAAGAAGAAGAAGAUCGAUCUAGAAGGAGAAAGGAUCGAUCUUAGAAAGAGAAUUGGGGAUUAGGGUUUUCGAGACGAAGAAAAAGAAGAAGAAGAAGAAAUGGCUAAGUGUUUGGCUCGAAGAGAAAUGACUCGAUUUAGGGUUUUCAACACAAUAGAAGUCGCAUAAUAGUCGCAUAAUUGUCGCAUAUUCAUUUGGGUUUGGGCCUCGAAAUUUUGAAGCCCAACUAAUCAAAAAAGUAUCGUUGAAUAGUCGUAAUUUUGUCGCCAAUUAUACUGGGUUUGGGUUUCAAAAUUUCAAAGCCCAACAAAUCAAAACUUGUCGGAACAUAGUCGCAUCUUUGUCAUAAAAUAUUACUGGGUUUGGGCUUCAACAUUUAGAAGCCCAAAAUACCAAACAUCUGUCGGCCAAUAGUCGCAAUAUUGUCGCCGAUAAUAAUGGGUUUAGGCCCCGAAAUUAAGAAGCCCACAAAACAAACUUGUCUCGGUAUUUAGUCGCAAUAUAGACGCCUAUACUAAUGGGUUUGGGCCUCGAAAUUUUAAAGCCCAACAUAUCAAACAGGUGUCGCAUAAUAGUCGUCGUUUUGUCGCCGGUUUUAAUGGGUUUGGAUUUCAACGUUUAGAAGCCCAAUAAAACUUAUCUUCGUCGCUCAUUAGUCGCAUAAUAGUCACUUUUAAAUUGAUAUAAUUAUAAAUGUGAAGAAAUAUUUGUAUAUCAUAAAAAAGUUCAAUGAUAUUAUGAAACAAAAUUCAUUCUAAUAUUUAUUCAAAUAAUUAUACAUAUAUUAACACAGUUAUACAUCUUCAUCUUCUACUUCAUCUUCGUCCGAGGACGAUAAAUUACAUCGGAAUUCGUCUUCUGGUUCAGCAUCCCCGACAUCGUAAUUAAGGAUUAUUGGGUUUAAGUUGGCUACCGGAGUUUCAAGAACAGGAUCUUCAAUUAUAGUGAGCAAAACAUCAUCAUCAUUUUCUGUUUGCAAAAGAGUUGGAUCAUUGUUUUCAUAUUCUCCAGAAAUGUUUCCCCUCGGAUUGACUUUUAGAACAUUGAGCCAAAUGUUCUUUGGUUUCUUCAUAUAUGGAUACGGAAUAUAACAAACUUGAUCUGCUUGAGAUCCUGUAUACAUAUAUCAAAGAUAGAUUAUUAAUAAUUAAAAAAAAAACGUAUUUUGGACUUAAGAAUAAUUACGUACCAAGAAUAAAUGGCUCGUAUUUAUUGUAUUUCCUCGUAGAUAGAAUGUCUACAACGCCACUAUGGCUUCGUCGAGUGCCUCUCCCGAUCUUUGGGUCAUACCACUUACACUUAAAAAGUGUGAUCCUCAAAUUGACGAUACCCUCAUACUCGAGUUCUAUAAUAUCAGUUAAGAUACCGUAGAAAUCCGCUUCAUCAGAUGAAUCAGCGUAAUUUUCACCUUUAACACAGACCCCAUAGUUACAUGUCUUUCGUCCAGCGCCGUGAUUUUGCGUAUGAAACAAAUAUCCUCUUGUGAAAUACAUUGGCCAAGUUUUAACCUUGUUCAAAGGUCCUUGCACAAUCUCUUGAACCCAAGUAGGAAAUGGAGAAGUAGUGUUCCAGUAUGUUACCUACAUAAUAGAUAAACAAUAUCAAUUAGUAUAUAUUAAAUGAUCACCUUUCGAAUGAACCAAAAUUGAUAUAGACUUACAUAUUCUUUAACCCAUAAAUGAUAUUCUUCCGCUCUUCUCGCGUAGAGUUCUUUUUUGGGCAAGCAUGGAUAUUUGGCAGAAAGAUAAUCUUCGAACAUACUAUAUUUACAAACGAGGAAAAUUAUCAAAGUGAUCUUAGUAAAAAUUUACAAACAACGAGUGAUUAAAAAUACCUCUCAAAUGGUUUAAAAUAGUCACAAUUUCUUAAAACAUAUGCAUGUGCGCUUUGGUAGUCUUUCUCUGAAAGCCAAUCUACAUGCAUUUCACCACUUGGACGGCCGACGUGCAUAAAUAUAUUAGGUACUCCAGGGACAUGAUAUACAGGAACUUUACCUUCAUUGAAUCUUGUUAACCUGAUCCAUGUAAGUGAAUUAAUAUCGAAGAAUAUCUAAUCGUUAAAUAAUUAAAUAUAUUUACCUUGAUUUUGUUUGAAUAUGAUCGGCAAAGUAGUGCUCUGAAAAAUAAGCAAUCUCGUCAUUGAUAUAUGACUCAACAAUUGAACCUGCAGCAUAUCUUUUGUUCUUUGCUUUUCCUUUCAACUUUUUGAAAAACCUCUCGAAUGGGUACAUCCACCUAUAUUGGACUGGGCCACCCAAUUCAGCUUCGUAUGGGAGAUGGAUAGGUAAGUGUUCCAUAACAUCAAAAAAUGAUGGUGGAAAGAUCCUUUCCAAAUUACAGAUGAUUAAAACUAUGUUCUGUUUGAGAAUUUGAACGCGACUUGUCUGUAAAGUUCUCGAACAUAGAUCUCGGAAAAAUGCUCCAAUUCCUAAAAUAUAUGUGCAAGUUAAAUGAUUAGAUUAAAAAAAUGUUGGAAAAAAAUAUAGUAAGUAUAUAUUGUACCUGAUAGUGCAAGGUGGACAUUCCGGUCAAGCAGUUCAGCAAAGAUAAAUGGAAGUAGUCGCUCCAUAAAUACAUGACAAUCAUGACUUUUCAUGCCUGAAAACUUUUCAUUAUCCAGAUCUAUACAACUAGCCAAAUCUGAAGAAUAACCAUCUGGAAAUCUAAUAUAAUAUUUCACACAUUGUAAUAAACUCUGUUUGGCUUCUUCUGUCAAUGUAUACGCUAGAAAUGGAGCUUUGCCACUACUAUCAAUAUGUAAGCCUGGGCGUGAACAAAAUUUCUCAAUAUCCAAUCUUGACAUGAUAUUAUCUUUUGAUUUACCCUUAACUCUCAUGAGAGUGUUCAUGAUGUUGUCAAGAAAAUUCUUCUCUGUAUGCAUCACAUCAAUAUUAUGUCGAAGAUUGAGGUCUUUCCAGUAAGACAACUCCCACAAGAUGCUUUCCUUGUGCCAAUUAUGUUUCUUCCCAUAGCCUCGCAUCUUCUUUUCAUGACCGUUCCCACCAACAUCCUUCGUUUUUGGUGGAUUUACACUAGCCAACCUCUCGUAAUAAACUUGCUCCCCUGUCAAAGACUCAGGUGGAUAUUCGCUAGAAGCAUCUCUUCCUUUCAGAAAGUCUUUUCUGUUCCUACGGGAUGGAUGACCAUGAGGAAAAAAUCUACGGUGACAAUCAAACCAGCAUGUCUUCCGUCCAUUGGGUAGAUAAAAAGACUUUGUACUUUCCAUGCAAACAGGACAAGACAAUUUACCAUGAGUAGUCCAUCCUGAUAACAUGCUAUACGCCGGAAAGUCGCUAAUCGUCCACAGUAGUACUGCUUUUAGAUUAAAAUUCUGACUCAAUGAAACAUCGUACGCAUCGACUCCAGUAGACCACAACUCUUUUAACUCCUCAAUAAGAGGUUGGAGGAAGACAUCAAGACUAGCUCGAGGAUGAUUUGGACCAGAAUUCAGAAUGGUAAGAAAUAAGUACUCUGUAUUCAUGCACAUACCAGGGGGUAAAUUAUAAAGAGUUAGGAUCACAGGCCACAAUGAAUGAUUACGAGACAUGCCAAAUGGAUUGAACCCAUCAGUACACAACCCGAGAUAAACGUUACGGGGUUCUUCCGCAAACUGGGGAUGUAACCCUAGGAAAUAUCUCCACUCUGCUGCAUCUGAAGGAUGAUUCAUUUCUCCCUCCUUUGAUUGGUGCUCAGCAUGCCAUCGCAUUGCCGCUGCUGUCUUAUGGCUCUGAUACAUUCUCUUCAACCGGUCCCCAAUAGGUAGAUACCACAUACGACUAUAUGGUACUUUGGUUCUUCGACGGUCGUCCUUAGGCUUCCAUCUUUUCGCACAACAAAAUCGACAUUGAUCUUCUUUUUCGUCUUCUUUCCAAAAUAGCAUACAAUUGUUCUGACAAACAUCAAUCGUAUGAUAUGGAAGUCCUAAAUUGCGCAUUAACUUCUCGGUCUGGUAAUGUGAAGUGGUUGUCUGGUUUCCUUCUGGUAAAAAAUCUGUAAACAUUUCGCAAACGGAGUCCACCAACUUUUCACUCAUAUUAUACUCCGCCUUGUUGUGCAUGAGUCGAGAUGCUAAGGAUAAUUGCGACUGCCCUUCACGACAACCAUUGUACAAAGGAUUAUUUGCACCUUCUAACAAGUCGUAGAACUUAUUUGAAUGGUUACGGACCGGUUCUUCCACAUUCUGAUAACUAUCAUCAUGACGAUAGUUAUCAUCAUACCCCACAUUAAAAUUAAAUGCAUCGUUCACCAUAUCCACAUAUGGAUCUUCUACAAUAUUACCCACUUCUUCAUGAUUCUCACUAAAAUAAGUCCUAUUCGUGUAACUCGUUCCUAUAUCCAUAUUCAUUUCUUCUCCAUGCUUAUACCAAACAUAAUAAUCAGGCAUAAAUCCAUGACUAAACAAAUGACUACUAACUCUUCUACCCGAGAUGAUGUGUUUUUCAUUCUUGCAUACACUACAAGGACAAUGAAAUUUACCUCGACUACUCUGUACUAUUGGCUGACUAUUAGCGAAUGUCAUGAAUUGCUCAACUCCUGCGACGUAUUCGGCUGACAAAUUCCCCGUCACUUCAUCAAAUCUCUUGUACAUCCAAUCUCGAUAGAAACCGCCAGUACCGCCAUAAUUGUAGUUUCCCGCCAUUAUACAAUAAAGUAACUAAUAUUUUUUUUUCUCUUUGAUGUUGUUGUUGUUUUGAUUUGUUGGUGAAAGAAGAGUUGCGUGAACGUUUAUUAUAUAGGCCAAUUUUUGUGACUAAUUUACGACUACAACUAAAUAAUUAGGUGUACCUACUUACCAAUGUGAAACACGUUUUCCAUCUACUUUAUACGACUAUGGUGCGACGUUUCUACGACUACAGGCUGACUAAGACGUCUAAUCGUCCUGUAGUCGCCAAAUUAGCGACUAAAUAAAAUAGACGGUAGAAUAGUCGUUAAUUAGCGACUAAGCAACGACAAAAUUAUCCCUUCAAUAAUAUAAUCGUCAAAUAGUCGUUACUUGCCGACUCUUUGCCGACUGCAUACGAUAGUCGUAAAACAACGACUAUGUAACUACAAUUUUUCGUGUUGUCGCAUGCGAGUCGUAAAUCCGUCGUCAAAUAGUCGUAUAAUGUUACGACUACGUUUGUUGUCGCUGAUUGUAGUCGUCGUUUACCUGUUUUCUUGUAGUGAUAAUCCUUAACUAGUUCCGAGGCUAACAACAAAUUCUCCAUUAUAAGCCGAUCUUUGAUGAAUACAGACUGGUUAUUCACUACAGGAAAAUGGGUUUUUAAUAGCACAGAAAUAUAGCGUUUUAUGUCAAUAUGCUAUCAUUGAUAGAAGGAUAAAAUAAAGAUAACGUCUCCAAAAAUGAAAUGCUAUGAUAGCUUUACUCACUAAAAAUUAUUUUCACGUGUUAAGUAAAAAAAAGGUUAAGUCCACAUUCAGUCUUCUCUCUCACUGUUCAACUCGACAAUUCCUCUCUCUCACUGUUCUUCAAAAAAAUUUCUUUCAAUCGUCGAAUUGUUCUGUCUGUUUUUCAAAACGAUUAUUGUUCUGUCUCUUUUCCAAAAUGGUUAUUGUUCUUCGGUAGCUCAUAGCUCGAUUGGUCUUCGAUAAUUCACUCUCUCACAAAGCCCAGAAAUAUCUGAUAAAGGUAUUUUAAUCUGUUCAAUUCAAUAUCUGAUAGAGGUUUGAUUUCAAUUUUGAUUUCAUUUCAAUUUGGGGAUUUUGAUUUGGGGAUUUUAGGGGUUUUAGGGUUUCGUUUCGAUUUGGGGAUUUUAGGGUUUUGUUUUGAUUUUAGGGAUUUCGAUUUAGGGAUUUCGAUUAAGUGAUUAAUUGUUUUUCGUUUUGGUUUAUUUUAAUUUUAGGUCCUCGUUUCAAUUUGGGGAUUUCGAUUUUAGGGUUCUUUAGUUAGAUUUAGAUUUGGUUUUCAAUUUGGGGAUUUCGUGUUUUGGCUUUUAGUUUGAUGAAAACUAAUAGUCAUUUUCUUUAUGCAGAUUAUUGUUUCAGAAUCUACAAGAGCUUAAGAGGUAGCAGAUUCUUAUCUAUUUCUAUAUUUUUUGGUUUAUUUGUUGUGAGAUGAGUGUUUGAUAAAUGAAAUUAUUGUCACGCAUGUCUGAGUAAUCCGUGGUUGAGCUCUGGUGUUAUAACAUGGAAAAGGCUUGGGUAUGGCUUCCAAGGUAUGAAUUUUCUGGUUAUCAAUUAGCUAGUGUUUUAUUUCAACUUUGUUUCUUCUUAUUGAUAUUUUGCCUUGUUUAUUUACAUGAAGGGCUAGCAUUGAAUAUGAGAAAGGUGCUACCGUUUUUGUGAAUGAAUCAGCACAAAAAUUGGGUAAUCCUGAAGAAUUAUUGUGUCCAUGCAUUGACUGUCGGAAUGUUUGCCAUCAUCUAUUAGAAAUCGUGUUAGAGCAUCUGGUGAUUAGAGGGAUGGAUGAGAAAUAUAAGAUUAAGGCAUGUUGGAAUAACCAUGGAGAGAGAAGGGAACAUAACAUGGCUAGUGUUGAAUCUUCAGAGAAUGAUGCUUAUGACUUGAUUAGGACUGCAUUUUUCAGUGGUGGAGAAAAGCAGCAAAUUCAGAAUGACAAUGAUGCUUAUGAUGAAGAACUAAGCAAAGAAGAAGCUGAGUUUAGAGAGAAGUUAUUGGAAGCUGAAACUCCUCUAUACUUGACAAGUUCUAAGUAUACCAAGGUGGUUGCAAUAAUGGCUCUCUAUCGCAUCAAGGUGAAAAGUGGUAUGUCUGAAAACUAUUUUGAUCAGUUGCUUACAGUUGUUCACGAUAUGCUUCCUGUGGAGAAUGUUCUUCCCAAGUCAACUGCUGAGAUAAAGAAGUUCUUGAAGGUUUUCGGUUUUGGUUACGAUAUGAUUCAUGCCUGUAAGAAUGACUACAUUCUUUAUCGUAAGCAGUAUGAGGAGUUAGUUAGCUGCCCGCGAUGUAGUGCUUCACGAUGGGAGAAGGAUAACCACACAGGAGAAGAAAAUAAAGGGGUUCCAGCAGAAGUCUUAAGAUAUUUCCCUAUCAAGGACAGAUUCAAGAGACUUUUCAGAUCGAAAAGGAUUACUGAAGAGUUGCGGUGGCAUUCCAGCAAUGGUAGUGUAGAUGGGACAAUGAGACACCCAGUUGACUCGCUCACUUGGGAAAAAGUGAAGGAGAAAUGGCCUGAGUUUGAUGGUGAUCCUAGGAACCUUCGUUUAUGCCUUUCUACAGAUGGGAUGAACCCAUUCUCAAUGCAGAAUACUAAGUACAGUGUAUGGCCAGUUAUGUUAGUUAACUAUAACAAGGCUCCUACCAAGUGUAUGAAGUCAGAGAACAUCAUGUUGACCAUGCUCAUCCCUGGACCAACAGCCCCCAGUAACAACAUCGACGUCUACUUACAACCUUUGGUAGAUGAUUUACUUGAUCUGUGGAAUGAUGGUAUUCAAGUUUAUGACUCCUUUAUGUAAGAGACUUUUACACUUAGAGCAAUGUUACUUUGGACUAUCAGUGACUAUCCGGCUUUAGGGACUCUCGCUGGUUGUAAGGUCAAAGGGAAACAAGCAUGUAAUGUCUGUGGUAAAGAUACACCACAUAGGUGGUUGAAGUUUAGUCGGAAACAUGUUUACUUAGGCAAUAGAAAGCGUCUCCGACCUGGGCAUCCUUAUAGACGUCGAAAAGCUUGGUUUAAUAACACGGUUGAGAAUGGAACUACAAAUAGAAUUCAUAGUGGAGUUGAUAUUCUAGAGACAUUAAAGGACUUUCGCAAUGAUUUUGGGAGACCGCUGGAUAAGAGAAGUAAGAGAAGCAGAACUGAUUUGGAUGAAGAGGGUGUUAAUUCAGAUGAAGAAGCAGAAGAAGAUAGUGAUAAGUGGCGUUGGAAGAAACGUUCUAUCUUGUUUGACUUACCAUAUUGGAAGGUUAGUGUGUCUUCUAAACUGUAUUACAAGUAUAUGUAGUAUGGAUUUGUCUAACUUUGAUUUUUUCAUUGCUCAGGAUAUGCCUGUGAGACACAAUAUAGAUGUGAUGCAUGUGGAAAAGAACAUAUCUGAUGCAAUGUUGUCAACUUUGAUGCAAAGUGUUAAAUCAAAAGACGGUUUGAAAUCACGAAAGGAUUUAGAAGACAUAGGGAUUAGAAAACACUUAUAUGCAAUCACACGUGGAAAGAGAACUUACCUGCCUCCUGCCGCUUAUUGGCUAUCAAAGUUAGAGAAGAAGUUGUUCUGCAAUAGGUUAGCAAAAUUUAGGGGUCCUGACGGAUAUUGUGCUAAUAUCUCAAACUGUGUAUCAGUUGAGCCUCUUGGAAUUGGUGGGUUAAAAUCACAUGAUCAUCACGUCCUUAUGCAGAAUCUACUUUCAGUUGCUUUGAGAGGCUUGUUGCUCAGAGGACCUCGAGUUGUUGUCGCUCGUUUAUGCUUUUACUUCAAUAGAUUAUGUCAGCGUGUGAUUGAUCCAGAGAAAAUACUAGCCUUAGAGUCUGAAGUUGUGGAUACAAUGUGUCAACUAGAACGGUUCUUUCCUCCUUCCAUGUUUGACAUAAUGUUUCACCUGCCCAUACAUCUAGGGAGGGAAGCACGAAUGGGUGGGCCAGUACAUUUUCGCUCGAUGUACCCAUUUGAGAGGUACUUCUACUUCUAACUCUCUAAUUAUGUGAUAUGUUGUUAGUUAGCUUUAUUGAAAUCUUCAGACUCUAAGGCUAGUAUUUUCUCUUAUGAUGUAGGUACAUGAAAAAAUUGAAAUCUUAUGUUAAGAACUAUGCAAGACCAGAAGCGUGUAUUGCAGAGGGCUAUUUGGCUGGAGAAUGUGUUGCAUUUUGCACAGAGUUCCUACGCAACUCGUUACCAUAUGAAGAAUCAGUUAAUCGCAAUGAAGAUAUUGAGACAAAUGAGAAUGUGCUUGGAGGUCGUCCAUUAUAUAAGGGUACAAAUGUUACACUAAUAGAGAAAGAAAGAGAGAUAACACAUCGAUAUGUUCUAAUGAACAUGGCUGUGACUGAACCUUAUAUUGAGUAAGAGCACUGAAUCUCCUGUAUAUAUCUUUAUUCAUCGAGUAUGAUCUUUACAUUAAGUUUUGUCUUUUUUCAGUAUGCAUUUGGAAGAAUUACAAGAAUUUGAUGAUAGUUGUGCAAGAAACGAAACUCUAGUGUUCAAGUUACACAACAAAAGAUUUGCAAAGUGGAUUAAAAAUAAGGUAUGAGUUCAUCACUUACAAAUAUGAUAUUGUUUCUCUGUAAUGAUGUAUUGAGUAUUGUCUGUUUUUAUUAGAUCCCUUCAAACUCAAAGGAUCAUUCAAUGAAGCUAAGGCGGAUAGCACUUGGACCAAGACUAAUUGCUCAGACUUACAAGGGGUUUAUCGUAAAUGGGCAUAGGUUCCACACCGAUGAUGUAAAGCGAAAGACUCAGAAUAGUGGAGUCACAUAUGAAGCCUUUAGUAUGCGUAGAUCAAGUGCACGUGAUAGUAGGCACCAAGCUGACAUAGUUACAUAUUAUGGAGUCAUAAAGGAGAUUUUAUUGCUUGACUACCAUAUGUUCCAAAUACCUAUUUUCAAGUGCAAUUGGGCCCAUAAAGGUCAUGGUGUGAGAGAAGAAGAAGGAUUCACGCUUGUGAACCUCCACUUGAGCCAAGCAGCAUUUGUAAAAGAUCCUUACAUUAUGCCAUCCCAAGCGAGACAAGUGUUUUACUCUAGAGAGGAUGAUUUGAGUCAGUGGUAUGUGGUAAUGAGAGCGCCACCAAGAGGUUAUCAUGAGUUAGAGACUGAAGAGGAGUUUAAUAGUGCACCAUUUUCAGUCCAACCAAUUGAUGAUUCAGGAAAUCAAUCUGAUGAUGACAGUUUUUGUGCUAGGGCAGAUUGUGAAGGGGUUACAGUAGUGGAUUAAUGUAUGAUUUAUUGUUAAGAAUACAUGUUUAACUUUGGAGAUUUGAUGGUUUUUCAGGUUAUCUGAAAUGGCUAAGAAAGGUGAACUGAACCCACGCCGUAGUAAGCGUCAAAAGGGACUAGAUGCGAGUCCUGUCAUAUCAUCCUUGAAGAAGAAAAAGAAGCAACAAAAGGAAGUGCUUAUUCCUGUGAUAGAAGAAAGCAGCAAGGAGACGACUUUUAAUGAUGAAGAUGGAGUUCAAGUAGAGUUUGAGGAAGUAACCCAAGCUUCUCGUGGUGCUGAUUCAUUGGAUAAAAAUGAAGAAGCUGAUGACCAAGAAGUUGAGAGAACAGACCCUAUUGAAGAAGAUUUGGAGCCUCCUGCUCAAGAAGAAGAUUUUGGCCAGCCUUCCACUGAAAGGCUUACAACUGCGACUGCUGAAACAUCAACACAAGUGUCAGUGACCAAGAAAAACAGACUAAGAGGACCCACAAAGCUGCGAAGAGUGGCCAAAAGUGCACAAGACAAAGUUGAUGUCGAAUUUACAGAAUUGGGAGAAUUUGUGGGAUCUGGUUCAGUUAAACUUUCAUCAUUUCUUGGAGCACUUGUGAGAGAGUACGUCCCUAUUAUUCUGGAUGAUUGGAGGCAGCUAGAUGAUAUAAUAAGGGACACACUAUGCGAGGAAAUUCAGGUAAGUGUAUUGAUCAUCUUAUUACAUUUACUUGAAAAACUAAUUAAGUAAAGAAUAGUGAUUUUCUAUACAUUUGUAUACUAAUGUAGGGGAGGUUCAAUGUGGACCAAGAAUUGCAAAGAAGAGAAAUUUUCAAACAUAUGGGUUGUUUGUUUAGGGCUUCUAAAUCCAACCUUCUGGCGAAAGUGAGAGUUGCUAAAUGGUUUUAAUCAUAGGAAGUAAGAGAUAAAGUCUCAGAUACACCACAUUCAAUUCUUUUACUUGUAGAAAAAAGAGAGUUCAGACCCCUCGCAGGUGACAAGGAGUAAAGUUUGGGUUGCAGGACACACGCAUUCUGAUGGAAGACCAGUCAAGGCCGAAUUUGUCGAGACCAUUGUAAGUAAUAUCUAAUUUCUUGUGGUUUACUCUGAUAUUAUCUAAAGCUAGCUACUUAUACCUGUUUGAUUACAUAUUUGAAUGCAGGAAAAAAUAAAAUCUUUUUUUUGAAAGAAUGUAAAAUUGUAUUCAGUCAAAAACCUUUUUACAAAAGAUGUAACAGUGUGUGUAAAAGUUUAGAAUAUAAGCUGAAGAUACAAUAGCUGAAAGAAAAGACUAGAGAGGUUGUAGAGGAUGAAGGGGUCGAGUGGAGAACCAAAGCUGCAGGCAAGUGUUGUAGCUGUGAUCUCCUGUAUCUCGGAUUGAGCUGAUUCGAUUACGAACUGUUUUGUCAAUGAGCUUGAUGAGCCUAUUCGGUGGUGAGCUAAGUUCACCAUGACGUCUAGCAUUCCUUUCUCGCCAAAUGUGGUAGAUUGUGGCUUGAAAGGAUUGUAGAUUGUGGAAAAAAUAAAAUCAAUAGAGAGUGAAAUGGAUUUCACAUCCACUAGUGUUAAAGAAGAUGUUGUGACUCAAGUACUAGGAAAAGACAAACCUGGGAGAGUUAGAGGGUUGGGCAGAGGGGCUACAUUAACCUAGCUGGCAUUUUUGCAAGUUAGAGACUCACAUGUGCAUAAAUUUGAAGCUACUCAAGAACUAUUAUUGAGCAAGGUUGAAGACUUACAGAAUGUUGUUAAAAAAAUGGCUAGUAAUAAGGUAUGUACUCAGACGCCCUUGUUUACUGUUAUGAUCUAUGUUAGUUAACUUCUAUGUGAUAUUUUAGUCUUCUAACAAUUUUAUUUCUCAGCCACCUUGUGAUACUCAAUCCAGAUCUGAAGCAACCAAUUUUACAGUAGGCGUCAAAUGUCAAAUUCUUGAUUUGGAAUCUGAAGAUGAUAUUGUUAUUGCUGAAGGAGAGUUGUGUUCUACUGAACCAGCAUAUAAGAUUCGUCGUGUACCACUAGGACCUAACGCAGCUGCUAUUGUAGUCAAAACGGUAUUUGAUAAACAAGCUUCUGUUUGGAGGCCUAUACCAAACAUCGUCUUCAUUGGACAAGCGUUGGGAGCCAAAAUUGCAUGGCCAGAGAAUAAGUUGAUUUUGGACAAUGAUGACUUCACAAGUUGGAGCACAACUGCAAACAAGAACAUUGAUGAUGCAUAUACGGUAAUUGUUUAGAGGCUUGUUAUCAACUUAUCCAAAUUAUAGAAACUUACUCUUUAGCUAGGUUGGUAAUACAUUUGCCUGAAAUGUAGGAACAAGAGAGGGUUCGUAUUAUUGAUUGGACUGUGGAUGAGGUUUAUGCUGAAGGUAAACUGUGUUCAAUUGAUCCAAAUGAACUCUUGAACGAAGUACCUAUUGGUCGCAAUUAAUGCAAUUGUGGAGAUUGAUUUGGUGGUUAAAGAAAGUGCCUUUUUGUGGAGACCAAUUGCUGAGAUGUCAGUCAUGGGUGAUGCACUUAAUAAGAAAAUCGUUUGGGCUUAGCCAAAGAUACAGUUUGUUAAUAACGCAAUGCCGCCUUCUUAAAAAGUAACAAGAUCAACACGUUCGGUAAGAUUCAAGAACCUUUAUUUUGUAGUAUGAUUUGAUUUGUUGUUCAUAUACUGGAAUUCUGAUGGAUAUACUUUUGAAUUUUCAAUUGUUAGAAUGGUAGUAUCAACACUAGUAGCAGUAAAGGUGAAAAGAAGAAAUGUUUAUUGUUAGAUAUCGAUAAAACUGAGAAGGUAGUUGCAACUGGUCGAGUUUCUUCAACAAAUCCAGAAGAUUUAGUACAUUUCGAACGCCUAGGAUUGAAUGCUAGCAUCGUGUGGGUAGAAUCUGAGAAGAUUGGAGAUGCUAAAUUCUGGAGACCAAAUUCUGAGAUUAUGUGCAUUGGCGAUGCAGUAGGCCUUACUGUACCUUGGCCUAAUGAUAGACUCAUUUUGAUAUGAUCUAUGUUAUGCAUGUGUUUGUUUGAUACUGCUGUGAACUUGGGUUAUUGACAGAUUUGAUAUUGUGUAAUAUUGUGUAAUAUUGAUGUGAACUUGUUGUAUGAUUGACAAUAUUAAUUAAAAGUUGAUUUAUGGUUUUCUUACAUUAUAUUGAUAUUGAUUAUAUAUGUAAACAACAACAUAAAUGAAAGCAGACAAUGAUUUUGUGACAUGCUUAAAUUAAAUUUAUAAAUAGCAUAUAAUAAACGCUGUUAUAAUUUAAACAAUAACACAACAUACCCGCUAUUAUAUUAAAAACAAUAGCAGAUGAUAUGCGCUAUUGUACACAAAACAAUAACAUAAAACACCCGCUAUUAUAAUGUACACUAUAACAAAUGAUAUCCGCUAUUGUAUUAACACUUUUAAUAGCGUCGCUAAAAACCGCUAUGAAAACUUGGCAAGCUAUCGUAGCGGGCGAUAACAUAUCGUUUUUAUUUUCGCUAUAGUAACGAUAAAUAGCGUUUUUCGUCUUCUAUUAAAAACCUAUUUUCCUGUAGUGAUUGCAACUUAUUGCAUCUCUGUUUUGUCGAAAGUGAGGACAAUAUUUUUCCAAGAAUUUCAUCUGUAAGACAACUUAUAGCUUGUGUCAAAUCUUUUGGCAUCCAUUGCCUGAAACAUGAAGUGAUGGGUCCUGUGAUUCAACUACUAGAUUAACCAACCGAAAGCGAUUGCUCUAGAAAGUUGAAUACUUCUAUAAAUACCCUAUAGAAGAAACUCAAAACUGCUUGAAUAGUAAAGAACGUGGGCAAUUAUAAUAACUAGAGAAGGAACAAAUAUGAAAGUUCUAUUGAUAUAGAGAGACUGAGAGAGAGACGAACUGUUCCUGUGGAGGACGUCGAAGAGAGAGAGAGACGGAGAGAACGAUGAUUACCAUAAUUUAGGUUUAGGGUUUCCAAAAAAAAAAUUAAACACUAAUUCCAAAAUGACAAGAGAAAAAUCGUUUAAAAGAACUUGCUAAUUAUCAAUAUCCCAUAUGAAAAAUUAAUUGAACCUAAUCAAACUAAAUUAACCAUACCAUACGAAUUGAACCAAAACGGUUCGAACAUACCUGAAAUAAUUUUGGUUAAAGUUCAAUUUACUAGAAUCGUAUAACUCUAAGGGCACAAUUAUCAGAAUCCCAGUCUCUACAUAUUCUCUUACAAGUAUCUUCAUAUUAGUCACCUUGACUACUCUACAGAUUCGUGCAUUAAUGUCUCUUUCACGUUAAAAAAAUCUUGGGAAAAGAAAGCAAAAGAGUAAUUUUGACCGUCUAGCUCUCUAGUCUCUAUAUAACCCCAAUCGUUAACAGAAUGAAGAUAAACUUAAAAACAUGGCAUCACAAACCAACAAAGAGCUUUUCGUGGGUGGACUUGCAAGGAUUUUGAAAGAACAGCGACAAGUCGAUGUCCGGCUGAAGGCAGGGGACAGCGAUCAGAAGGGUGUAUCUAUAUCUGCUCAUAAGCUUGUUCUGGUCUCUUCCUCUUUCCUUAUUAUUUUUUCAUCAUCAUAUGAUUCUUAAAAAAACAUUUACGAAACGUUCUUUACUCGUACUGAAUUUCAUUGUGAAUGUUAUGGAAUGUUUUAUAGUCUGCAAGAUCUGAGGUGUUUAAGAUGAUAUUGGAAACAGAAGAGAUCAAGGCUACAACUACGCUAGACACAAUCACUCUCUCAGAGCUAAAACACACAGAGUUAGUGGCUUUGGUUGAGUGAUAAGUACCAAAAUGGCUUAUCAAGAUAUGUAACAGAAAGAGAUGAGAUAAUAGAAGAAAUAGGUUGAGAUGCAGAAGAAUUUCAGAGAAGGAGAAGGAAGAUGAAGAAGAUAAACAUUCUUAAGAUUAUAAUCAAUAAGUGUUUUUCAAUGACUAAAGAAGAGUUUAAAUAAAAGACAUUACUAAAGUAAACAUGCCAAACACUAAGCCUUAUAAAAACCCAUAAGGCCCAACUCCUGAACCUAUCAAUACUCCCUCCUUUGAGAGUCACCUUGUCCUCAAGGUGGAAGAAAGUGAAUUCCUUGGACGAGUGUCCUAACUUCGGUUGAGCCUACAGCUGCAACCUUCUUUUUGACACUUGAUUCCCACUUAUCAACCAUCUCCUCAACAUGCAUUUGUGUAACCUCUUUACCGAAUUCAAUCAUUAGCCUUGAAACCACAGUUUUAAAAGGAUGAUACAAUCCCACAACUUCAAACGGUUCUGCAGUCCUUACCUCCUUUGAUAUGACCGCCUCUUUAGUCUGUUAUGUGUGCACCUUUAACACACACGGAGCGGGUUUGGUCUUUCUCACUCUUGGUUGACAUGUUCCGCGUACUUCCAGCUACAACUUCACUGUGUUUCACCCCGGGUUGCCCAAAAAAUGAUUUCUCAUCGUCAUUCUCUUUAGUAUCCUUCUAAGGUUCCAACCAUGAAACUUCUUCCAAGUGUUCUGGACUUAGCUUCAACUCUUGACUUUCAACGCUCUUAACAUGUCCACCUUGUAUUUCCUUAGCGAUUCCUCCACAUGUAACCUUACUCUCUCCUUUUAAAGUUACCUUGUCCUCAAGGUAGGAAACAACAAGCAUUUCCCCAUCGUUAUUUCUCUGUUCUUCAAUAUCCUCUUGCUCAUUUUCACUCUUCAUCUUUACUUUUGUAGUAACUUGCUCAAGUUCUUCGUGCUCAGCACAAAGAGUGAUCCAUUGUUGGUUGUGGCUGAAAGAGAAAUCUUGAUUCUGCCAAUUAACCAUUGUCUCUCCCAGUUUUGAGAGCCACUCAUAACCAAGAAUCACAUCCACAUCAGUCUUGGCCAAGUCUAGCAGAAGGAAAUUCUCAGUGAUUUCAACUUCUUGAACCCAUAAUCUAAUUCCGAGACAAGUUCCUACGCUUUGUAUGCACUGCCUUUGUCCCAAUAAAACUGAAGCUUGGUUUGUAAUACUCGUGGGUAGUUUGAGACUGAAGGCUAACUCAACUAAGAUAAAAUUGUCGGUUGCUCCAGAAUCUAUAGCUACAACGACCUUAUGAUCUAAUAUGAAGCCAUAGAAUCUCAUACCUUUGUUCCUGGUUAAAUCUAUCACUAGUUGCUCCAUUCCCUGUCUCAAGGUAUAACUAUCCUGCUCUAAUUCUUCCAGCUCAUUUAUAACUCCUUUUUUCUUCUUUACCACAUCCAGCUUAGCUUGUACCAGGGUAAGGCUCAUCAGCUCCGCCUGUCUUGAUUGGUAGCUGUUCUCAAUGACGACACAAUUCCAGAAUUUAUGAGAUUAUUACUUUCUUCUAACCAUUGUGUUGUAUCCAUCAUUUGUACAAUCCCAUUCGGUUUCAAUUCUCGAACUGCAGUUUGCAAACUAGGUUGCAACCCUUGUAAGAACAUCUCCUCGAAGCCUUGUCCUGGUAAGGUAACUGAGCGAAGACAAAGAGCUUCAAACCUUUCUCUGUAAUCACGCACUGAUCCUUCUUGUUGUAUUCCCGAAUAAUGAGGUUGAUGAUUUAACUUCAUUGUCGUCUUUGUCUCUCGGCCCAUCAUACACUUAAAUUCCUUCCAGCUUGUAGGUGAAUUCUUUUUCCAGAGAUGCUUUAUCCAUUGCCUAGUCUCUCCUUCCAAGUUAGCAUAAACAAUUUGUAACCUCUCAUGCUCCGAAAUUUUAUUCUCACCAAAAUAAUUCUCAAAGUUAUUUAGACAGCUUCUUAGGUUUUUUCCGUGAAAAGCAACGAGGCUCUGUACUAGCUGAAAGUCCUCAGUCCACGGCUCAGUUCCAGACCAACGUCACCACGGACAGCUGCAUCACACCUCAAGCUCCGUUAAAGGCAAAAGGGGAUGGGAUUCUACCCUUACCGCUGCUGGCAGUACCGAUCCAAACAAUGGAUCCGUCUCAGACAUCAUACGGGUUUAGCCAGAACACCGGUCAGCUAGGAUCUCCGGGUAACAACACUGGGUCACCUGGAAGAAGGUCAGAUCUAUCACAGUAUGAAGGACAGAGCCCAGAUGACUGGUUAUUCAGAAUGGAGAAGAGUUUUCUGCAGAACCAGACCUUGGAACAUCAAAAGUUGGAGGUAGCUAUAACGUGUUUAGUUUCGGUAACAGCUUUAAAUUGGUUGAGAGGUGUGCUAAUGAGAGGAUUGUUCAAAGAUUGUAAUGAUUUUAAGAAAAAAGUUCGAAAAUGAUUUGGACACAGUCGUUGCGGGUCUGUUGUGUGGCAGUUGUUGAACAUCAGACAGAAAGGCUCAGUGGAGGAAUUUAGAGAACGGUUUGAAGAAUUAAUAGUUGAGGUGCCACACAUUACUAACGAUCUUUUGGAAGGAAUUUUCUUAAAGGGAAUGAGGAAAAAUAUAAGAGACCAAGUGAUGCGUACACGUCCCUCUAGCAUAUAUGAGAUUGUGGAGACAGCAUGCCUCAUAGAAGAGCAAGAGCAGGAGAAGACGUCUUUCCACUCAAAUUACAACUCGAAAUCCGUUAGUAGAACAAAUUCAGCUCCGGUGCUUCAUCGAAGCAACAACAAUAGCCCUAUCAAGACACAGGAUAUCAUUCAAGCUAGGAGGUCAUUUGAUGGGGUAAGAGAUAACAGGAAACCGGAUCAGAGGAACAACGCAUGCUACACGUGUGGAGACCGCUAUUUUCCAGGACACCGCUGUAAAAAUCAGAAGCUCAAAUGUUUGGAGUUGGUCGCAACAAGCGAGGCGGGACAGUUACUGGAGGAGGAAGACGAAUCUGAGAGUGAAGAAGAACCGGAACCUAAGGUGGAAGGACAGACAAUGAUGCAUCUUUCGUUGAGUUCAAUGGCUGGCCUUACUAAUGAAAAGUCUAUGAGGAUGAAAGGAUGGAUAGCAGGUCAGGAAGUGAUCGUGUUGAUUGAUUCAGGAGCAACUAGUAACUUCAUUUCUGAAGAAGUUGCUCAGCGGUGCUCACUAACAGUCACACCAACAAGUGAUUUUGGAGUAGCAGUUGGUAAUGGUCAGAUUAUUUCAGGACAAGGCAAAGUUAAGGAUGUGCAGCUACACAUUCAAGGGGUGGAUAUUAAGGAGGAGUUUUUUCUGUUUGCUUUGGGAACCACAGAUAUAGUGCUGGGGUACUCGUGGUUAGCUACCUUGGGAGAUACAAGGAUCAAUUGGGGGCGCCACACUCUGAAAUUCAAGGUCAACGAAGAAUGGGUGACACUAGUGGGAGACCCAGCCCUCUUGAGACAACAGAUAUCUCUUCAUGCAUUGGAAAAAACAGUGAGAAAAGGUGACACAUGAGGCGGAAGGAAACAACAGUUUGGGGGUUCAGAAACUUAUCAAGGAUUACAAGAAGGUUUUCCAGUUACCACAAAGGUUACCUCCAUCAAGGAAUAGAGAGCAUUCCAUCACCUUACAACUAGGAAGCUCACCGAUCAAGGCUAGACCAUAUCGGUAUUCAUUCGCACAAAAGAAUGAAAUGGAGAAGUUGAUCAGAGAGAUGCUAGCAGCUGAGAUAAUCAGACCUAGUAUCAGCCCAUUCUCAAGUCCUGUACUAUUGGUCAAGAAGAAAGACGGAGGCUGGAGAUUUUGCGUGGACUACAGGGCAUUGAGCAAGGCUACCGUUCCGGACUGAUAUCCAAUCCCAGUGAUCGAGGAACUGCUGGAUGAGCUACACAGAGCCACGAUGUUCUCCAAAUUGGACCUUAAAUCGGGGUACCAUCAGAUACGAAUGAAGGCUGCAGAUGUGGAGAAGACAGCUUUCUGUACUCAUGAGGGUCAUUACGAGUUCUUGGUCAUGCCGUUUGAUUUGACCAAUGCACCGGCCACCUUUCAGUCAGUAAUGAAUGAGUUGUUUCGAACCUACCUGCGUCAAUUUGUUCUAGUGUUCUUUGACGACAUUCUGGUUUAUAGCUCAGACGAAGAGACCCACCUUAAACAUCUAGAAGCGGUUCUCCAAAUUCUACUUCAGAAUAAGUUAUAUGCCAAUGAAAAGAAAUGUCACUUUGGAAGCACCAGAAUCUCUUACUUGGGUCACAUGGUAACAGGGAAAGGUGUGUCUGCGGAUCCAGCUAAAAUUGAAGCUAUGGUGAACUGGCCUCAACCAAAGAACAUAACUGAGCUGAGGGGGUUCCUGGGACACACUGACUACUACAGAAGGUUUGUAGCAGGUUAUGGGAAGAUAGCCAAACCCUUAACAGAAUUGCUUAAAAAGGGUAAGUUUGAAUGGUCUGAAGCAGCUAAUAAAGCUUAUGAGACACUUAAAGGAGCAGUUAUCCAGUUGCCAACCUUAGCAUUGCUAGACUUUGCAAAGCCUUUUGUGAUUGAAACGGAUGCUUCAGGGACGGGAAUCGGGGUUGUGCUAUCACAAGAUAAACGUCCCAUAGCGUUUAUUAGCCAGGGGUUCUCUAGUAAGGGCAGAAUUAAGUCAGUUUACGAGAGAGAGCUGUUGGCCAUUGUCUUUGUAGUGGACAAGUGGAAACACUAUCUAGCAAGCAAGAAGGUGAUUAUAAGGACAGAUCAGAGGAGUCUCAAACAUCUGCUUAACCAGAAAGCUGUGUCAGCUAUACAGCAGAGAUGGGCAUCCAAACUUGUCAGUUUGGAUUAUGAAAUUGAGUACAAACCAGGCGCAGAAAAUCGUGUAGCAGACGCUUUGUCCCGACGUCCAGUCACAGAGCAGGUGAUGAACAUGUUGUUGCUGGCUCCAGCUACUCUGCACAAGAUUGAAUUACAAGAUCAAGUACAAGGCGACCCUAGCCUCAACCUCAUCAGAGAAAAGCUUUUAAGUGGACAAGAGUCUGAAAAAGGAUACAGUUUGGUGGUUGGCACCUUACAUAAAGAUGGUAGGAUAAUGAUUCCAACAAAUUCUCCUUUUAUUCCAAAGUUGUUGGAAAGGUUCCACACUAGUCCCAUUGGGGGUCAUGAAGGGGUGCUCAAGACACUCAAGAGAUUGGCGAGUGAAGUUUAUUGGAAGGGAAUGAGGAGAGACGUGGUAGAGUUCCUCAGAGGCUGUCAAGUGUGUCAACAAAAUAAGUACUCAACCUUGUCACCAGCGGGUCUUCUCACACCGCUACCCAUUCCUACUAAGGUAUGGUCGAACAUUAGCCUUGAUUUUAUUGAUGGGUUACCAAAGUCUGAAGGCUAUGAUGUGGUGUUAGUAGUGGUAGAUAGGCUUAGUAAUUAUGAUCACUUUGUACCGCUGAAGCAUCCUUACACAGCCAAGUCUAUAGCAGAUAUUUUCCUUCAUGAAAUAGUCAGACUUCAUGGGUUUCCUGAGAGUAUGGUCUCAGAUAGGGAUAAAAUCUUUAUCAUCAAUUUCUGGUCUUCUCUGUUCAAAUCACACGGAACAUCCCUGGAUAAGAGUACAUCAUAUCACCCUCAGACAGAUGGCCAUACAAAAGUUCUGAAUCGUUGCUUAGAGACGUAUAUUCGUUGCUUUGUUAAUGGGAAACCAAAGACUUGGGCUAAGUGGCUAAUGUAGGCUGAAUACUGGUAUAACACAUCGUUCCACUCUGCGAUUAAGAUGACUCCAUUUCAGGCUCUGUAUGGGAGAGAACCUCCCAAACUCUUGCGAUUCGGUGAUGUACCCACUGCUAACGCCGGCGUUGAAGAGUUGCUGCAAGAAAGAGACUGACUGGUCACUAUGCUGAGAGAGAAUCUACAAGCAGCCCAAGCUCGAAUGCAGAAGUCAGCUAACAAGCAUAGAAGAGAAUUGGAAUUCUCAGUGGGAACUUGGGUCUAUUUAAAACUCAGGCCGUAUAGACAGCUUUCUGUAGCUCAACGACGUAAUGAGAAGCUAUCGCCAAGGUUCUUUGGUCCGUAUAAGAUUCUGGAACGCAUAGGAGCAAUGGCAUAUAAGCUGCAGCUACCAACUGAAAGUUCUAUUCAUCAUGUGUUCCACAUAUCCCAACUGAGACAGGCGCUUCCAGGUUCAGCACAAGCUCAACCCCUUCGCGAUUAUGACUUCUAACUUGGAGUGGGCAACAGAACCAGAAGAGGUAAUGGAGAUCAGAGAGGGCAACACAACAGAAGAUACUAAGCUCUUGAUUAAGUGGAAGGGUAUGCCAGAGUGUGAGAAUACAUGGGAACCAAUGACGGGCAUCACGCAACAAUUUCCAGAUUCUCACCUUGAGGACAAAGUGGCUUUGUUACGGGGGAGUAUUGGUAAGGCAGCAACUCAAGCAAUGGAGUCAGCAAGAGAAGUCAGAAUUCCAAGGAAGAGAGUACCAAAGAAGGUUUAUGAUCCUAGUGGCUGAAAUGAAGCUAAAGGAAGUCAAGGAAAUACUCUGUACCAUCCAGAGGCUUUGACAAUGUCUUUGACAAUGUCAAAGAAUAAGAAUGCCUAUAGUUUUCUUAUUUAACUUUGUGUCAUUUAAGUGUUGUUGUGAGUGAGUGGUUGUAGUUUCUGUAGGGGAACUACUACUUAAGCGGAACUCUAUUUUAGGGUUAUAUUCAUCAAUGAAUUAAUCAACUUUCCUUAUUACUCUUCUCUCUUAUCUUACUCGACUUCUAUCCUAUACUUCUUCUUCCUUUUCUACUUCUAUUCUCUGUUUUCCUUCUUGAUAAGUUCACGCUUAUCAAUUGGCUUAGUGUUUGGCCUGUUUACUUUAGUAAUGUCUUUUAUUUAAACUCUUCUUUAGUCAUUGAAAAACACUUAUCGAUUAAGAACAAGAAAUGUUUAUCUUCUUCAUCUUCUCUCUUCUUCUUCCUGCCUUUCUCUGAACUCUUCUGAAUCUCAUCUCUAUUUCUUCUGUAUCUCACCUCAUUUCUGUUACUUCACUUGAUAAGCCAUUUUGGUACUUGAUAAUCCAGAAUCGAAAUUCUUCUGCUGGUGAAACACACGCCAAGUGUUCGACAAAACGCCCAGGCGAGAUUUCUGCAUUUUUCCUUGGUGUGGGUUCAGAUUUGGUCGUGAGACCUUGAGGCAGCUCGUGAUGUUCUUGUUUCCUCUUCUCAGGUGGUUCUUCAGUUGCAUUCACCGGAAAAAGCGUAGCAAAAAUUUCACGAAUCCCUUUUCGAUACUCCUCUUGUUGAGCUUCAAGCCUUUGGACGAUGGAAUCUAGCUUUUCCUCCACCUUUUCAACAAAUCGAUCGAGUGUUGCUUCUAGAUCAGAGAUUGUGGCGGCUUGAUUGGUUUGAGCAGCUUGAGUAGUCUUGAGUUCAACUCUCAAUGAAAGCACCAAUUGAUAAGUACCAAAAUGGCUUAUCAAGAUAUGUAACAGAAAGAGAUGAGAUAAUAGAAGAAAUAGGUUGAGAUGCAGAAGAAUUUCAGAAAAGGAAAGGAAGGAGAAAGAAGAUGAAGAAGAUAAACAUUCUUAAGAUUAUAAUCGAUAAGUGUUUUUCAAUGACUAAAGAAGAGUUUAAAUAAAAGACAUUACUAAAGUAAACAGGCCAAACACUAAGCCUUAUAAAAACCCAUAUAUAAGGCCCAACUUCUGAACCUAUCAUUGAGUUCAUCUACAGUUCCGGAUCUAGGCUUUCUACGAAAGGGAGGCAACACGUUAGGUCACUCUAUCUUGCAGCCGAUAAAUAUGAGAUUCCGCAUCUACGUGACCUAUGCAGAAUCCAACUUAUAAAAUCUCGUAUUCCUUCUAAUGCUCUUAACGUCCUUAAGCUUGCUCAAAUCCCUUUUGACAAAGACCUCAAUGAUGCCACCUUGGAUUAUAUCAAAACCAAUAUAAGUACAAUUUCUAGCUCUGAUGAGUUCAAGGUUUUCGUUGUCAAUCACUCAAAUCUUACCGUGGAGAUAGUGAAAGGUUCUUUGGGACAGGGGUAGAUCGUGUACUAUAUGUGGGAACUAUUGCCAGUUGUGCACUAGAUCGUGUAAUAAUCUAUUUCACAUCGAUGAAACUGAAAAAAAAAAAAGAUACAAAUAUAAACAGAUUGCUUGUCAUACAAAUGUUGGCGAAAAUAGUAGAAGAACUCGUGAAAAAGCUUUUUAUAGAUAUUUGUAAAUUUUUUAUUUUGCAAGCUUAAAGGGGUGCUCAUAUUUACAAGUGUUACAUAUGUAAAGAGAAGAGGGUAACUAAAAGAUGGGAUUUAAUUGGGACUUUAGUACGGUCUAUAUUACCAUUAGUGUCUCACCUUUUUCUUAAGUCUUGGAAAAUGAAGUAAAUCAAAAGUCAUUUUGACUGCCGUCAAUGGGGUUUACUUUCCUCUCUAUAUAUCUGACCAUCGUUUUCUAAAUCAAACUCAAGUUAUCUUAUAAUGGCAAUGGUGUUUAAUGAACAAUGGCAAGUCGAUAUACGGCUCAAGGAAGGUUGCAACAAAAAGGGUGCGCAAUGUUAAACCCUGUUCAUUUCUCAAUUUGACAGAUCCAUCCAACUGAUCCAUUCAACAUGUCUAUCUGGAUGAUUCAUUCGACUCUUGUUCGUUUUAUUUUUAGUCGGUUCAUUUGACUGGACCAUCCGAAUGAGAUGUUGUUCGUUUGCUUAUCUCUAUCUUCAUCCAAAUGAUUUGUAAUAAUACAAAUACCUAAAAUACCCAUGUUUUCAUCUAAUUAUAUUUUUAUUAUUACUUGUAAACAUAUUAAUUUUAUUUCUUAAUCCAAAAUAUAUUUAAAAGUAAAUAAAUUUCAAAUAAUAGUUUUUUUAUAUUUAUAAAUUUAUUUUACGUUUUUGACGGGAAAACGUGAUUUUACGGUUUUGACGAGACAACUCAAUUUUAUGGUUUUGGCGGAAAACAAAAGUUAACGUUUUUGGCGGAAAAACGUGAUUUUACGUUUUUCGCGAGAAAACAUGAUUUUACGGUUUUGGCGAGAAAACGUGAUUUUUGCGGUUUUGGCGGGAAAACGUGAUUUUGUGGUUUUGACGAAAAAACGUGAUUUUGCGGUUUUGACGGAAAAACAUGAUUUUGCGGUUUUGGCGGAAAAACAGAAUUUUACGGUUUUGGCGGGAAAACAUGAUUUUACGGUUUUCGAGGAAAACGGAAUUUUACGUUUUAACGGAAAAAUUCGACAUUGCGGUUUUAGCAAAAAAAAUUUUAUAAAAAAAUAAUAAUUUUAAAAUAAGAUUUAAGUUUAUUUGUUUUUUUUUAUCUAAAAAUACAUCUAAAUAAUCAAUUGAAAUAAUUAUGGUAUUUUUGUCAUUUGUUGUUUUUGACUGAAUCAUCUCCAUCCAAAUGAUCCAAUUUAGUUCAGCCAAUUGAGUUUCAAAAUUAAGCCUAAAUUUUCAAACUCCUCCAAAUGAAUCAUUUGGAUGGAUUAUCUGAAUGAACCGUUUUUGGCACCAAACGAACAUCAAAACUCAUACCAGAUGAUCCAUCUGACUGAUGAAACGAACAUGGCCUUAAUUGUUUUUGCAACCUCAACAACAUAAUUCGUAUCAUUUAUAGUUUAUGAAGCCUAAACUAAACCAGAAUUGAUCCUUCUGUUUAAACUAGUCACAAUGAAAAUCAAAUGCAUCAUCUUUUUUUUAGUUAAUAAUCAGUAAAAUAUUUGCUAAUAUAUGUCUUCUCCAAAUGUUUAAAAAGUCUCUAUCCAAUAUAAACCAUAAGAAAAUUUAGAUGUCUAAAGUUACAAUUGAAAUAAAUUCCAUUGUUUAAAAAGUAAAAACUAACACCAACAACCAGAAUAAAGAUAUGAAAUACAAGUUUUAAUAAUAAACUAGAUUUUAUCCCGCGGUACACCGCGGUGACAAUUUAUCUUUUUAAAGUUAGUAUAAUUUUUCUUUUGCAAAUUGUAUCUAUCUAUAAUAUAUUUUUAUUUUAUAGUUUACAAUUGUUAUUAAGUAACGUCCUGCCAAACCCAUCCCGCCAAACCCGUCCCGUAAAAAAACUAUUUAUUUAUAUUAAUGUUGAUCUUAUUUAUGAUAUGUUUAUAAAUCAUUGUCUAAAUAUUUUUGUCGAUGCGGAACGUUGAACCCACACAUUUUUUGCUAAUAGGAUAAUAUAUGUUCAUUUUUAAAAUUUUGAAUCAUAUAUUAUAUAAUGAUGUUAAAAAAUUGUAAUAUAUCAAACUUUUUAUAAGUUUAAAUAUUAAUAAUGUUUUAUAAAUUUUAAAUAUAUAAAUAAUAAUAUUUAAAAAAUUAAUAUUUUUGCUUAUAAGGUAAUGACAUAAUAACUCUAAAAGCAAGGAUUUAGAAUAUUUAAAUCUUUAAUUAAAUAUUUUCAUUAAUAAAUAAUUAAUGUCAGUGACAUGACAUUGUAAAUAAGUUCAAAUACAAAAUUUAUUUAUUUAAACAAAAAACGUUUAGUAAGAAUAAUAUUUAUUUAACAAAAAACUUUGUUUUAAAAUAUUGUUAACAAAUAUUGUUUUUGCAACCUCAACAACAUAAUUCGUAUCAUUUAUAGUUUAUGAAGCCUAAACUAAACGAAUUGAUCCUUCUGUUUAAACUAGUCACAAUGAAAAUCAAAUGCAUCAUCUUUUUUUUAGUUAAUAAUCAGUAAAAUAUUUGCUAAUAUAUGUCUUCUCCAAAUGUUUAAAAAGUCUAUAUCCAAUAUAAACCAUAAGAAAAUUUAGAUGUCUAAAGUUACAAUUGAAAUAAAUUCCAUUGUUUAAAAAGUAAAAACUAACACCAACAACCAGAAUAAAGAUAUGAAAUACAAGUUUUAAUAAUAAAUAAUCAACUACACAAGAAAAAAAUGCAACUACUUGUGGUUAUACAACUUAUAAAAUAAAACACCAACACAUUUGUAACAACAACAUCAGAACAUCACGUUGUUUUAGUUAAUCUUUCUAUAUCUUCCUUUACGUUUGUUAUCCCCCAAACUCUACAAAAAAUCUUGCAGCUUCCUCAGUUUUCUACCGUAUGAUGUUCCUUAAUCUGUACGUUUGAGAAGAUAUACGUAGCAUACGAAUGAUCUCUCUGUAAAACUCCCACGAUUCGCUUACUUCCGUAAUAGCUUCUUGCCCGAAAGGGUUUUUCUUGAUGAAAU